This 96202-nucleotide long non-coding RNA is filed under the name Capsicum annuum. RNAcentral describes it as "long non-coding RNA (CANN_LNC013163)". The record is from RNAcentral. Lineage: Eukaryota; Viridiplantae; Streptophyta; Magnoliopsida; Solanales; Solanaceae.
CGGCGCCGACCUCCGUCGCCGCUCUAACGGCCCUCUCUCUCUCUAACGGCUCUCUCUCUUUCUCCCUACCCUCUCUCCCACUCUCUCGCCCCGGUCCCCGGCCCCCGUCGCCGUCGCCGACCUGACCCGACCGCCGAGAAUAACCCAUUCGUAAGCAACUAUUCUCUUCAUUUUCUCCUCAUCAAGAAUUAUGGUAAAUAUUUUUUUAAGCAUUAAUAGGCGUGCCGGAACUUCUCUGACUUUAACGGCCCUCUCUCUCUAACGGCUCUCUCUCUCUCUCCCUACCCUCUCUUUCUCUCGCCCUGAUCCCCGGCCCCCGUCGCCGUCGCCGACCUUCGGCGCCGACCCGACCCGACCUCCGGUCCCCGGCGCCGACCCCCGUUGCCGCUCCCCGCCGCCCUCUGUCGCCGACCUACGGUUCUAAGCCGUCCCCCCCCCUCCGACGCCGGCGGGGUACAACAGCCCAACAACCGAAGCUCUGUCUUCAGCCGCAGCUCCGUCUGCACCCGCCGCCCGGUAGCCAGCAGCCGCAGCACCCAAACGACGACCAUUUCCAACCAGUUCCCUCGGUCUCCAGCAGCCGCAGCUCCAUCUCAGCACCGGAACUCCCCGGACGCCGGUCAACGCUGGGCUUGGUUUCCGGCUUGGUCUACAAGCGUAAUCCGGUGACCUCUAACCUUUGUUAUUUCAUUGUUUAUUCUGCAUUCUUUCAUUCUUCGUAUUAUGCUAGUAGUAGCCCCUGUACCUUGACUUGCGUGGGAUUUGUAGAUAUUGCUUGUUGUCUGUUGUUGCUGUGGUCGUUUCUUGCAUUGCUUGGAUUGGGUUAUCGUCUUGGGAAUCUGUGUUUGGGGCUGUGGGUGUUGAGUCUAGUGGUGUUUGCCUCCUAAUUGAGUAUAGUUUUGUUCCUGGAGUAUUUCUUUGAAUUUGUGUGAGCCUUGUAUUUCUUGCUGCUGCUUUGCUACUACCAUCGUUUAUAUCUUUAUAUUUUCUUAUACUUUCGUAUAGUUGUGGCUGUGGGCGGUAAUGGGUGGAUAGGGUCAGGUCCGAGGGGGUUGGGGAGUGGGGCCGUGGUGGGGGCGGGGGAUGAGGAGAGGGCGGGAGGGGGAGGGGGGCCAAGGUUUGGGGGGGGGGGGUAGUGAAGGGNNNNNNNNNNNNNNNNNNNNNNNNNNNNNNNNNNNNNNNNNNNNNNNNNNNNNNNNNNNNNNNNNNNNNNNNNNNNNNNNNNNNNNNNNNNNNNNNNNNNNNNNNNNNNNNNNNNNNNNNNNNNNNNNNNNNNNNNNNNNNNNNNNNNNNNNNNNNNNNNNNNNNNNNNNNNNNNNNCCCAUAUUGACUUUUUGUUGCUUAGGAAAGGGGAUAAGGCGUUGUGUAAGGACUGUAAGAUCAUCCCGAGUAAGAAUCUUUCGACCCAGCAUAGGCUCUUGGUUAUGGAUUUGGGUAUAAAGAAGAAUGGAAAGAGGAGGAGUAAAGAGUGUAGACCUAGAAUUAAAUGGGGCAACCUGACGCCAGUGAAUGCGUGGGAGAUAGGGGAGAUGUUGGCGGGAAUGGGGGUGUGGGAGUGUAGGGAGGACGUGGAUAGUAUGUGGGAUAGGGCGGCUAGGUGCAUCAGGGAGAAUGCAAGUGAGGUGUUGGGUGUUUCUAGGGGCCGGGCCAGGCACCAUCGGGGGGAUUGGUGGUGGAAUNNNNNNNNNNNNNNNNNNNNNNNNNNNNNNNNNNNNNNNNNNNNNNNNNNNNNNNNNNNNNNNNNNNNNNNNNNNNNNNNNNNNNNNNNNNNNNNNNNNNNNNNNNNNNNNNNNNNNNNNNNNNNNNNNNNNNNNNNNNNNNNNNNNNNNNNNNNNNNNNNNNNNNNNNNNNNNNNNNNNNNNNNNNNNNNNNNNNNNNNNNNNNNNNNNNNNNNNNNNNNNNNNNNNNNNNNNNNNNNNNNNNNNNNNNNNNNNNNNNNNNNNNNNNNNNNNNNNNNNNNNNNNNNNNNNNNNNNNNNNNNNNNNNNNNNNNNNNNNNNNNNNNNNNNNNNNNNNNNNNNNNNNNNNNNNNNNNNNNNNNNNNNNNNNNNNNNNNNNNNNNNNNNNNNNNNNNNNNNNNNNNNNNNNNNNNNNNNNNNNNNNNNNNNNNNNNNNNNNNNNNNNNNNNNNNNNNNNNNNNNNNNNNNNNNNNNNNNNNNNNNNNNNNNNNNNNNNNNNNNNNNNNNNNNNNNNNNNNNNNNNNNNNNNNNNNNNNNNNNNNNNNNNNNNNNNNNNNNNNNNNNNNNNNNNNNNNNNNNNNNNNNNNNNNNNNNNNNNNNNNNNNNNNNNNNNNNNNNNNNNNNNNNNNNNNNNNNNNNNNNNNNNNNNNNNNNNNNNNNNNNNNNNNNNNNNNNNNNNNNNNNNNNNNNNNNNNNNNNNNNNNNNNNNNNNNNNNNNNNNNNNNNNNNNNNNNNNNNNNNNNNNNNNNNNNNNNNNNNNNNNNNNNNNNNNNNNNNNNNNNNNNNNNNNNNNNNNNNNNNNNNNNNNNNNNNNNNNNNNNNNNNNNNNNNNNNNNNNNNNNNNNNNNNNNNNNNNNNNNNNNNNNNNNNNNNNNNNNNNNNNNNNNNNNNNNNNNNNNNNNNNNNNNNNNNNNNNNNNNNNNNNNNNNNNNNNNNNNNNNNNNNNNNNNNNNNNNNNNNNNNNNNNNNNNNNNNNNNNNNNNNNNNNNNNNNNNNNNNNNNNNNNNNNNNNNNNNNNNNNNNNNNNNNNNNNNNNNNNNNNNNNNNNNNNNNNNNNNNNNNNNNNNNNNNNNNNNNNNNNNNNNNNNNNNNNNNNNNNNNNNNNNNNNNNNNNNNNNNNNNNNNNNNNNNNNNNNNNNNNNNNNNNNNNNNNNNNNNNNNNNNNNNNNNNNNNNNNNNNNNNNNNNNNNNNNNNNNNNNNNNNNNNNNNNNNNNNNNNNNNNNNNNNNNNNNNNNNNNNNNNNNNNNNNNNNNNNNNNNNNNNNNNNNNNNNNNNNNNNNNNNNNNNNNNNNNNNNNNNNNNNNNNNNNNNNNNNNNNNNNNNNNNNNNNNNNNNNNNNNNNNNNNNNNNNNNNNNNNNNNNNNNNNNNNNNNNNNNNNNNNNNNNNNNNNNNNNNNNNNNNNNNNNNNNNNNNNNNNNNNNNNNNNNNNNNNNNNNNNNNNNNNNNNNNNNNNNNNNNNNNNNNNNNNNNNNNNNNNNNNNNNNNNNNNNNNNNNNNNNNNNNNNNNNNNNNNNNNNNNNNNNNNNNNNNNNNNNNNNNNNNNNNNNNNNNNNNNNNNNNNNNNNNNNNNNNNNNNNNNNNNNNNNNNNNNNNNNNNNNNNNNNNNNNNNNNNNNNNNNNNNNNNNNNNNNNNNNNNNNNNNNNNNNNNNNNNNNNNNNNNNNNNNNNNNNNNNNNNNNNNNNNNNNNNNNNNNNNNNNNNNNNNNNNNNNNNNNNNNNNNNNNNNNNNNNNNNNNNNNNNNNNNNNNNNNNNNNNNNNNNNNNNNNNNNNNNNNNNNNNNNNNNNNNNNNNNNNNNNNNNNNNNNNNNNNNNNNNNNNNNNNNNNNNNNNNNNNNNNNNNNNNNNNNNNNNNNNNNNNNNNNNNNNNNNNNNNNNNNNNNNNNNNNNNNNNNNNNNNNNNNNNNNNNNNNNNNNNNNNNNNNNNNNNNNNNNNNNNNNNNNNNNNNNNNNNNNNNNNNNNNNNNNNNNNNNNNNNNNNNNNNNNNNNNNNNNNNNNNNNNNNNNNNNNNNNNNNNNNNNNNNNNNNNNNNNNNNNNNNNNNNNNNNNNNNNNNNNNNNNNNNNNNNNNNNNNNNNNNNNNNNNNNNNNNNNNNNNNNNNNNNNNNNNNNNNNNNNNNNNNNNNNNNNNNNNNNNNNNNNNNNNNNNNNNNNNNNNNNNNNNNNNNNNNNNNNNNNNNNNNNNNNNNNNNNNNNNNNNNNNNNNNNNNNNNNNNNNNNNNNNNNNNNNNNNNNNNNNNNNNNNNNNNNNNNNNNNNNNNNNNNNNNNNNNNNNNNNNNNNNNNNNNNNNNNNNNNNNNNNNNNNNNNNNNNNNNNNNNNNNNNNNNNNNNNNNNNNNNNNNNNNNNNNNNNNNNNNNNNNNNNNNNNNNNNNNNNNNNNNNNNNNNNNNNNNNNNNNNNNNNNNNNNNNNNNNNNNNNNNNNNNNNNNNNNNNNNNNNNNNNNNNNNNNNNNNNNNNNNNNNNNNNNNNNNNNNNNNNNNNNNNNNNNNNNNNNNNNNNNNNNNNNNNNNNNNNNGUGGGAAUACACUGGGUUUGUUGUUGUUGUAAAUGUAAAUUAAUAAUUGAAAAUUUAGUAUUUUUAGUUAUGUUUAAAUAAGGAAAGAUUAACAACCUUGAAAAUUAAUAGUAUUUUUAACUAUGUUUAAAUAAGGAAAGAUUAAUAACCAAAUUUUAAUGGGACACCUAAAAUAUUAUAAAAUAAUUAAAUAAUAAUUUAGUAAAAUGAUAAAUGACAGUUUUGUCAAUUGUGAAGUCUUUUAAUGAAGGGCAAAAAGUUCAAGUCACUUUUCUAAAGGUCUUUACACUUUUAAUAUAUUAUAGAUAUAGAUAUAGAUAUAGAUAUAGAUAUAGAUUAUAGAUAUAAGACACAUGUCUCUAUAACAAAAUUGACAACUAUAUACAUAUAAAUAUAGGUAAUCAAAAAAUACAUGAUAUAUAUAUAUAUAUCUUAAACAGUAAAAAAUAUAAAUAAAUACAUAUGUUACCCUCUAGAAUAACAUAAAACAGUUCAAAGACAAAUCCAACGCAAUACAAAAAUACAUAUGGAUAUGCAUUUGUAUUACAAAAUACAAAUACAUGCACAUGCCCCCCAAAAAAUUACAAUACAUUUGUGACAUAAUACAUCUGCCUAAUCGUGUUUGAACUACACAUUUCUUCUUCUUCAUGUAGACACCACAAAUAUUCUUAUGACAAAAAUCUUGUAUUGCUCCUUUGAUAACACCGCCUUAAUACAUUCUUCGAUAUCAUUGACUGUGUGACAUUCAAUAUAUGGUGCAAACCUUGAAAGUACUCUUGUCGUGAAUAUAUGAUCACGCGACACCUAUAGAAUAAAAUAAUGACAUAAAUCUAUAUUACAUGUACUUUUAACGAAAAAAGUAAUACAAAAUAUAUACUAGCAUAUGUUUGCUUUUACAUAAUACAUAUUACAUUACAAAAAAUACAUAUAGCUCUGCAUAUGUAUUUACAGAAUAGAUGUUUGAUCCAUAUGUAUAUUACCAUACAAAAAAUAUAAAUAUGUCUCUGAUAUGUAUUUACGAAAUAAAUAUCAGAUUCAUAUUAAAGAGUAACAAACAUAACUAUACUAUAUAUCUUCAUAUGUAUUUGCAAAAUACAAAGGUGACUCAUAUAAGACAAAAAAAUACAAAUGUAUAUCUUAAAUAGUAACAACUACAACUAUAUACAUAUACAUAUAACUAAACCAAAAAAUACAUCAUACAUAUCAUAGCAUAAUAAUAUGUAUCUAAAAAAUACAUAUACAUGCACAUGACCCAUAAGCUAAUAAAAUACAAAUACAAAUACCUCUUCAACUUUAUCUUCUCCGAAUUCAUAUUCAGAAGAAUUUUGACCAACAGGACUUGCAAUUUUACUUGAUUCUCCCAUUUUCUUUGACUUCCUUUUUUUCUCAGAUCUUUGCAUUUUUGGGAGGUUUGGAGAUGAAGGUUUUCUCAAUCUUUUUUAUUUCAUAAUUUUCGCAUUCUUCUCCGGAUCAUUACGAUGCUUUCUAUCUCACCUCUUCUAUGCUCACUUUUUUCUUCGACCGAAUAGGCGUAGAAAUCAAUUUAAGAUCUUCAUAUUGUGUUAAUCUAAGACUAAAAGAUGGUGGAUUAUCAGAAACUAAAUUAACAGGUGGUAUACUUCUAUUUGAACUUCUAAAAUAUGUGUGUUCUGCCAUUAUAGCAGACCUCCACUAGCAGACCUCCACAAUCUUACGAUAAAAAAUCCACAAAAUUCCUCCCAAAAAAAAAAUGCAAAAACAACGUUGAACCAAAAAAUAUUUUUUUUUAUAGAAUAUAUGGAAGAUUUAACUUGCAAUAACUGUAAUUUGAUAGUUACCUUAUUUGAUGAAACACAAUAUUUAUCUACAGUAUGAGAAAAAUUGGAUAAUUUUUUUUUUAAAAAAAGAAGAUACUUUUGAAUUGGAGAAAGGUAAAAUAAUGGAGUGAAAAUAGAAAAAAAGUAAAGUAAAUGGCGUGAAACACGCCUGUGUGGAGUUUAUGGGCAAAAAAAAUGAUAUUUUUGUUAUCAAAUGUAAUUUUGUGAAAGUGUUGUUAUUUAUUAUAAUUAUGGUCUUAAGUUUGUCAAUUCCUGUAAUUUUUCCAUAAUAAUAAUAAAAAAAGAUUUUGGCUAUAUGGGCUUUUGGAGUUUGGACAAAUAAUAAUAGUAAUAGUAAUAGUAAUAGUAAUAGUAAUAGUAAUAGUAAUAGUAAUAGUAAUAGUAAUAGUAAUAAUAAUAAUAAUAGUAAUAGUAAUAGUAAUAGUAAUAGUAAUAGUAAUANNNNNNNNNNNNNNNNNNNNNNNNNNNNNNNNNNNNNNNNNNNNNNNNNNNNNNNNNNNNNNNUUUUCACUAUUUUCUUAAAUUAUUAUUUAAUUAUAUUUAUAAUAUUAUCUCCUAAAAUAUAUGCGAUCAGGAGUUUAAAAUAUAUGAUAAGACUUUUUCUUAAAUUAAAAGUCCUAAAAUAUAUGAUAAGAGAUAAUUUUAUUUAAUCAUAGUUUACCUUAAAUAAAAAUUGUAUCUUAUUAUUAUUAUACUCACUAUGAAGAUUAGCACCAAUUUUAGAAGUAGGAAUCUACUCUUUUUUUUCCUUCACAUGAGUAAUAACUUUGGGGUAGAAUCUUUACUAAUAUUCUUACUUAUAAUCUAUAGUUUAUAUUUAUAUUUAUAAUCUAUAUCUAUAAUUUAUAAUCUAUAAUCUAUAAUCUAUAUCUAUAUCUAUAUCUAUAUCUAUAAUCUAUUAAAAGUGUAAAGGGUCUUAAAAAUGUUGUUUGAACUUUUUGCCCUUCAUUAAAAAAAUUUGUAAUAGACAAAAUUGUCAUUUCACUAUUUUUUUAUUAUAUUUGAAAAAAAAAAACCUUUUCAUUAUUUUUGAUAAACUAGACAUAUAAUAGGAGUACUAAAACAUUGCCUUAUUUUUUGGCAAAAGAAAAAUGUUGGAGUAUAUUUGGCAAAAUUUAAAAGUUGCCAGUACCUUUAACAACAAAAACACUAUGGUAACUUUUUACCAACUAUCAUAAAAUUAUAUUUUUGGCAAAAUAAAAUUACCUUAUUUUUUGUAAAAAAAAAAUUAUUUUUGAAAAUAAUUUUUUGCUAAAUAAAAAUUAACAUGAGAGUCCUUUUUAUUAUAAAUAGGAGUCCUCUUUUCUCUUUGACAAUCAAUGGAUGAUAUUCUAAAAUAAAUUAUAUAGGAGUCUAAAAUUAACUUCUUUUUUAGUUUAUGAAUACUCCUUUCAUAAAGGAUAUGUGGUGAUUAAAUCAUUACAUAAAUAAAAAGUAUGAAGAAAUAGUUAUGUUAUCCUUUAAUUUUUUCGUUUCUUUAUGAUUAUGUUUUUAAUUGUGUAUUUGGACUGAUAAUAAAUCAUUACAUAGAAUAACAUAGAGUUAACAAGUUUUUAUAGUUAUUGAGUUGUGCUAUAUGUAUAGAUAUUUGUUUUUGCAAUCAACGGAUGAAACAAGGGUAAUAUGCCAAAAUCCGUUUGUAUGAUCCUUCGAAAUUAUUUUUCAGCAAUUAAUUAGGUACUGUUAUUUUAUUUAAAAAUUUUAUUCAUUUAUUUUAUAAAAGGUCUUAUCAAUUGUUCAACAUAUAUUUAAAAAGCAGGAAAUGAUACCUUUAAUUUGCAAUAUGUAGCAAUUGAAUUAUAACAUAUAAGAUCAAGAUGAGGACUUGAAACUUCGAUUAUUAAAUAAUUACAGAUUUCUGACUUUUUUUAUAAUCAUUUUUACUUGGUUUCAAGUUCUAAAUUUGAAUAUCAGUUUGCAAGCAUUCAUAAAUUCAUCUAUGAAUUUUUAAAUUUGAUUCUCGACAUUAUAUUUGCAGUUAAAAUUUUGGAUCGAUAACAUUUUCCAAACUCUUUUGUUUUGAUAAUAUUAAGUCUCAUGCAUAUUGAUUUUUUUUCCUUGGCACCCAUAAUCUUGCUUGAUAUUUGGAGAAGAAUUUGGAUAAGUAAUUGUAAUUAGUCAUGGUGCAAAAAGAACAAUUAAAAAUGGUACAGUUAAUUCUAAUUGAUUGUAUAUUUAAAUUAUUCUUGACUUUAUCACUUAAAUUUCAUUACAAAUCUACAUCUAUCUAUAUUAUAUUAAAGUGUGAAGGAAUCUAUCUAUAUUAUAUUAAAGUGUGAAAGGUCUUAUAAAUAUUGUUUAAACCUCUUGUCUUCAUUAAAAUACUCUCUUUUAGACAAAAUCAUCUUUUUAAUAUUUACCUAAUAAUAUUUACUUAAUUUAGAACUUCAAAUCUAACUAAAAUCAAAUUCUCCCCCCCACCCCCUUUUUAGGACUUCAAAUCAUGCGUAUAUAAUUUUUUUUUAAAACAAAAAACUAUGAAUUCUAUCUUAUAUUAAAUAAAAGGGAAGCAAAAGUUUACCAAAAUUUUAAAAAGUGCAGUAGACACCUUUAAAAAAAUCUAAUAUUUGUUUUAGUUUAGUUUAUUUGAAAUUCAGAAAAUUCUAAUAUUGAUAAAUAAUUUAUGAAAAAAGUAAAAUCUACCAUAUUUAGAUAAUUUCUUUACUAAAGAAAAAUAUUUUGAACUUUCAUAAAUUGAGAAUUUUUCUAUAACAAUACAAUAAUAUAUAAUAUGAACAUAUGGAAUAAGAUUUAUUUAUUUUUGUUCUUAAAUGAUUCUUUGUCGUCAAGAAAUAUAUUUUUGUAAUAUUUAUUUUAUUUACUUUUAUGCAUUNNNNNNNNNNNNNNNNNNNNNNNNNNNNNNNNNNNNNNNNNNNNNNNNNNNNNNNNNNNNNNNNNNNNNNNNNNNNNNNNNNNNNNNNNNNNNNNNNNNNNNNNNNNNNNNNNNNNNNNNNNNNNNNNNNNNNNNNNNNNNNNNNNNNNNNNNNNNNNNNNNNNNNNNNNNNNNNNNNNNNNNNNNNNNNNNNNNNNNNNNNNNNNNNNNNNNNNNNNNNNNNNNNNNNNNNNNNNNNNNNNNNNNNNNNNNNNNNNNNNNNNNNNNNNNNNNNNNNNNNNNNNNNNNNNNNNNNNNNNNNNNNNNNNNNNNNNNNNNNNNNNNNNNNNNNNNNNNNNNNNNNNNNNNNNNNNNNNNNNNNNNNNNNNNNNNNNNNNNNNNNNNNNNNNNNNNNNNNNNNNNNNNNNNNNNNNNNNNNNNNNNNNNNNNNNNNNNNUAAUAAUAAUAAUAAUAAUAAUAAUAAUAAUAAUAAUAAUAAUAAUAAGUUUAUUAUUAUAAAUUAAAAAACGGCUGUUGAUUUUGCAAUAUUACCUUUUUUUUCUCCUCACAUAUAUAUUAGGAUUUCUUACUUAUUCUCUUACUAAGUAUUUUAGGAUUCUUUAAUUAAAUAUUUUAUAUAAUGAUAUAAUAAUUGAGAAAAAAUAGUGAAAAGACGAAUUUAUCGAUUACAGAGAUUUUUAAUGAAGAACAAAAAGUUCAAAUAACUUUUUUAAGACCCUCACACUUUUAAUAUAGUACUAGUUUAGUUGUACGCACCUCGCGCAUGUAACUUAUUUUAUUGAGUUCAAACGUUAUAUCAAAUAAGAUAUUUAUUUAAAUAAUAAAGAUGAAUACAAUAAUUAAAUUCAACAUCUUCUGAAAAAUUUAUUUAAUUAAACCAAUCUUUACCAAAAUAUUUGUUAAGCCGAUCAACAUUCAUCUACCACCUAUAAAUUAUAACAAAAUAAUACGAUAAUAGAGACAUCAAAAUAAUACAACUAAACUUAAUCUUUACACAAAAAUAUUCUCAAAACAGAGAUAUAAAUACAAUACAAUUAAAACUAACCUUUAUCUAAAAAAUUUCUCAAAGCCGACUGACAUUCAUCUACCACCUGUAAAUUCAUCUACGACCUGUAAACUGCAAUGAAAUAAUAUAAUAGUGAUCACAAAGCUUCAAUUUUGAUGAAAAUAAAUCUUGUAUGAGCUAAGAAUUUGACCCUAAAGAAUGACUUGAAUGAAAACAAAGAAUAUGUAUAUAUAUACACACACGUUGAAUUCUAUUAUGUUGACAAAAACAGUGAAGAAGUUGAGGGUUAGAAAAUUAAGCAUCCACCAAUCUAGACAUGCAACUGAAUCAAGUUAGAUGAGCAUCAAUCAUAUUUUUUCAAUAAGUAAAUCGGUUUCUUCUCUAGUUUAAUGUGCAUCUAUAUUUAUAGAAAUAUUUCUUUAAUAGAAUCCUAUUUUAGGAGUAUUUUUCUAUCUUAUUUUAAGAGUAUUUUUCUAUCUUAUUUUAGGAGUAUUUUUCUAAUUGAUCAGUACAAAGAAAAAUAUUAUUAAUUAAUUAUCCUUCUAUAUAUUUUAGGAGUUUAGUUAAAAUAAAAAUAAUUAAAUAAUAAAUUGAAGAAAAUAGUGAAAAGACAUUUUUGUCUAAAGAAGAGUCUUUUAAUGAAGGACAAAAUGUUCAAAUCACUUUUCUAAUGGUCUUCACACUUUUAAUAUAUCAUAGAUUAUAGAUUAUAGAUAUAGAUUGUAGAUAUAGAUAUAGAUUCCCUAUAAAUAGACCAUCUUUCUUCAUUGUAAAUAAUCCUCAAGUAAGAAUCUUAUGAUCUCUUAUCCCUCAAGAGAAAUAAGAAUUACUCUCCAUUCUCUCUUUACUCUUCGUCUUUGCUUUAUAUUUCAUAAUAAGAUAAACUUAUUUGCAAUCAAAAGAAAACGUUGAAUUAUAGAUAUAGAUUAUAAAUAUAGAUUAUAGAUAUAGAUUAUAGAUUAUAGAUAUAGAUUAUAGAUUAUAGAUUAUAGAUGUAGAUUAUAGAUUAUAGAUUAUAGAUUAUAGAUAUAGAUUAUAAAUAUAUAUUUUACACAAUAAUAAUACAAUUUCUAUAUAUAUCUUAUACCAAUGCAUAUUUCAUACAAUACAAUUUUUAUAUAUAUUAUAUACAAAUAUGCAAUAAUUAUAUAAUUUUUUUUACAACUUUUAGCUACAAUCAUUUUAGAUAUAUAUUUUAUAUAUUACUAAUAUAUUUUUUAUACACAUUUUAUACAUGUACAUACAAUAAUUAUACAUUUUUUAUAUAUAUUCUAUACGUAGAUCAUAAAAUUUGCAGUAUGAUAAGUAGAAUAAAAGAAAAUAGAAUUAGGAAAAAAGAAAAUAAAUUUAAUUUAAAAUCAAUGGCAAUGGUCUAUUAUAGCUUAACCGCCAUUAGGUAGCACUCACAUACUAGAUGGACUCAAAUUCCCGUUAAUUGUAUACCAAAAGAAUUUAAAUUUGUUAUUGACAAUAAAAGUUUUAAUUCCAUGUAACUUUUGUUUUCCAUAUAUGGCUAUGGACGUAUCUUUGCUGAUCCAAUUUUAAAUUGGAUUCAACUUUAUAUAAAAGAAAAAUAGUGAAAAAAGUUUUUCAUAUAUGGCCAUGGACUUGCCUUUGCUUAUCCAAUUCUAAAUUGGAUUCAAUAUAAAAUAUUUUGCUUAUUAUUUAAAUUUUUAAUGAAGGAUAAAAAAUUCAAACAAUAUUUUUAAAGUCAUUCACAUUUUUAAUAUAGUAUAGAGUACAGAUUUAGAUAUAAAUUUUCAAAUGGAGUAACAAAUUUGAGUUAAAAAAUCACACGAAUUUUUCUCCAGAACAGAAAUAAAAGAUCACGAAGAUUUAGUCUCCUGAAAACAUAAAUUAAGAUGAGUACAUGAAAUUAUUAACAUAAAAAUAAAAUUUAAUUUCGAACCCUUUGAAUGCGUAAUAUUGAGAAAUUUAAUUCCCCCAUUGUUAUACAGGAUUUUAGAAUAAUUUCUCCUAAAAUAGAACAAAGCAAGUUGUUUUGUAAUAGCGGCACUUCAAAUACCCAACAAUUACUUGUUUCUUUGGCUGCUAAGGACCCCUUUGGUUUGGCUAUUGAUAUCCCAAGUAAUUUGUUGGUGAAAUGAAUUUACAAAAAAUAUUUGGUCAUACAAUUUAUUGUUAUUUGAUAAAUAUUUUUGACAAAUAAUUCAAAUUCUUAAAAACUAGAAGAAAGAAAAAAUUAAUUGUUGGGUCAAAUUCUAUUAUUUGGAAGCUUUUAAAACUUUAAACUUUACCCCACAUUUUUAUAUUUUUAUAAAAAUACUCCAUCUUUUUUUAAGCACAAGUUGUAUCUAUUUGUCAACCACCCUCAUUAAUAAACCUUAUUAUUUGACUCAAGUAUGCAAUAGCAUGUUGCAUGAUACUUAUUAAAAGUAAUGUAAAUAGAAAAUUUAAAUGCUCCUUUGUGAGUUGAGAAAACUUCGAUUGCUCCUACGUCAACGUGUAAAAUUACAUAUAAGCAGAUUAAAACUUAUAAUUCACGAGUUUAACUUUGAUUCUGGGACAUGUUCGUUUUAAAAUGAUAUAAAAUUGUGGAUGAUUUUAAUAAGUUUUAGAACUUAUGGGUAUAAAUCAUAUUACUUUAAAAAAUCAAAUGUUUUUUUUCAAAAAUUAUGACCAAACACAUAGAAUCUUCAUCCAAAAUUCAUCAAAAAUAACUUGUCAAAUAUAUUUGGACAUUUGUGACGAAAAGCUAGUUAGGUCACAGGUACAAAUACAACCUGGUAAUUACAUCGUGGUCAGGAUUGUGCCAUAUAUUAAUUUACUUGCAUUUUGAAAUUUCAUCUCAAUUCAAGCGACAAUUUGCCCAGUCAACACAGCUAGUAUAUUUUAUGAAUACAACAAUAAUUAGGUAGAAAAGUGUCAAUUUUUUAAAAUCUAAUUUGAAAAGUGUUUAUUGAAAAAGUUUUUCUUAAAAAAAAAUAAUUUUAGUGAGAAUUUUUUUUUGGUGUUUGACCAAUAAGUUUUUAAAAAUAUUUUUGAGGAACAAUUAGUAUUUGCUCAAGUUUUCAAAUGUGUUUUUAAGUGUAUUUCUUUUUUAAAAGUAGUUUUAGGAAGAAAUUUCUUUUUUUCUAGCUUAUAAAAGAGAACGUUUACUACUAUCCGGAAGCAUUUGUUUUCUCUCAAAAACUUGAUCAAACACCUUAUUUGAAAAAAAAAUACAAAUCAGUUUUGAGAAAAAACUAAAUAUUUUGAACAAAAUAAGUUUGGCCAAAUAAUUUAGGAUAUAUAACAAAUGGAGUCUAAUUAGCGCAUUUAGCGCAAUUGAUUUGUCAUUCUGUACGUUAGCUUUCUGCUAUUUAGGACAUUCAGUAGAAAUGACCUUAACUUUCCAAUUUUAUUUAUUUUAUUACUAUGCUUUAAAAUAACUGGAAAUCUAGAAUAAUAAUUUAUUGCAAAGUGUCAACUGAGAUCUUAUUUGUUUUAUUAAGAUUAAAAUGUCUAAAUUUGGAUACAUAUAUAAAUUUUAAGGUGUUAUAUUAUAAGAUCUAAAUAUUAUACAAUAAAAACUAUUUAUUUCUUUAACAUCAAAAUUUUCGUUGUUUAAAAAAUUAAUAAAUAUAAAAUUCCACAAAAUACUACUCCUAUCAAAGGUGGCUGUUGUUGGUAAAUGGUACUAAUAGCUAAUAGCGGUGGAUGUAAACGCGACUGCGAAUAGUAGAUCGGAGUAUUAGAUAGUAAUUAGUGAUGAUCAUGCCAAGCACUGACAGUAGAGGUUGAUGAAGGUAGUUGGUGGUGGCGUUGAUAGCUACGAUGGAUGGAUGAUAGAGAUAGCUAAUGGUAGGAUUGUUAAUAAUGACACAAUGACUGGUGAUGUAUAAUGUGGUGACUAACGGUGCAGUGAUUGAUGGUUGUUUUGGUAAUGGUAAAACUCUGUGUUGAUUAAUUGUAAAUAGUGACUAUAAUAGUUGUGACAACUGAUGAUGAUGUUAUAGUGUGGUUGACGAUGUUUGUUGUUGAUGACAUGUAGUUGAUAAUAUUGGUCGACAACAACAAUAGUUGAUAACGAUAGAUGUCGAUAGUAACAAUGAACUGAAAAACUAUUAUUUUUAUAAAAAUCUUGAAAUAAAUAUUUUCAAUGAUAUAUCGUAAGUGAUUGAAACAUAUACCAACAAUUAAUAACUAAAAUCUAAAGUAAAAUCAAGAUAUAUAAAAUAAACAAAUUUAAUGACUAAGAUAUAAAUAAUGAAGAUGAAAAUCUUUAUUUAUUAAAUAUAAAUAAAUGAGACCAAAUAAGGUUUUUUUUUUUUUUUUUUUCAGAGAAUGGGGGUUGUCAUUAUAGAUAGUGGUUCUAAGAGUCAUGAUGGGUCGAUGACUAAUGAAAUUGAGAUUACAUUUUUCAAGAAUAAUGGAUUAGACUGAAUAAAUUAAUUUAAAUAAUUUUUCUAAGAUGAAUUCAAGCUAUAAAAAGAUGAUUACACAUUUGAUCCCUUUACUAUUGGUGAAGUUUGGUCCUGUGUGAUACUUAUAUAAUUAUAUCUAAUUAAUUACAUAUAAGUUAUUAGUUCUUUUAUGUAAGGAAUAUGUUAAUUUUAGAAUAUAUUAUCAUAAAAUAUGGAGUAAUAUUAUAAAUUCAUAACAUAUGAUUAAGUAAAAAAUUAACAUCAAUUCAAUUCGAUGGUUUUGCUUUAAGAGUUAGUGGUGAGUUUAGUGGUGAAUUGGAUAACAUUCAUUCAAGUGGUGAGUUGGAUAACAUUCAUCCACCCUUAACCAAAAAUUCAAAUUUGGAACUCAUUUAAAUCAUGAUCUAAAUUCAUAAUUUUCUUUUAAGUUUAUCCAUCUUAAAUCUAUGAGACGAAUAAGUUAUAAAUAUUUACGUUGAAAUUUUCAAAUUUUAUCUAAAUUUUGAUAUGUUAAUUGUGGAAGCAACUUAUGACAUAUAUAUUUGAAACUUAGCUUACCAUUCGAAAACUCCUAAGUAUUAUUUCCGAAUGAAGUUUUGGUUGACAGUCCAAAACUAUUUAUACAAAUAGAUUAUUUAAAUUAAAAGGGAAUAGCCCAUUAACAUAAUUGAUGGUAUAGAAGAACUAUUACAUCAUCACCAUAUACUUAAGAAUCAAUUGCACAAACUAAUUGGCUCGAGAAGAGUAUAAAUGACUUACCAAAAAGCUAGAAAAAGAUCCGAUCUAUUUAAGGAAAACAUGAUUUGACCAAAGAGAAUGUGCAAGCUUGAAGUCUUUAUUCUUUUUCUGUUUAAGCACAAACACAUCUUUUUAGUAAGUACAUUUCAUGCAUAAAAAGAAAAAAGCAACCAGUAAGACUGGCUGAGAUGAGGAAGGGUCAAAGAUCAAUUCGGUCAAACUCAUCGUAUUUAACUUUCUCUAAUGCGGUUUAUAUCUGUUAUGUGAUUUUUGACCUAUUGUACAAGAGCUGGCCAAAUUAAAAAAUUUUAUUUUUAAAAGUAAAAUCAUUUAAAAAGCAAAAAAUUAUACAGCUAAAAAAGAAUUUAAAUAAAUGUUUGAAAGCAAAAGCAAUCCCUGAAUUCACGUGCCUCUAUCAUAGAAUUCAAAGUCAUAAAAACUCUUCUAUUUUUAGAAUUUUUUACUUAUAUUGCUUUAUCUUUACUUUAAUUAGUUGUUCAAAAAGCCAUUCUUUGAUUAUGUGCAUGCAUGGCUCAUUAAUUUUCCCCUCAAUAUAAUAUAAAUACUUAAAAGGGGACUCCUCCUCCUUUCUGCCUUCUUUAUAUUUUCCUUCUCCCUCCGUCAGUUUCUAUCUAUUCAACUUAUAGUAUGUACUAUGGGAGAGAUGCAACAUUUUUUUCUUAUAGGAUUUGGGUUAAUUAUUAUUUUGAAUAAUGGGAUUAAUGGAUAUCCAAUAGAAGAUCUGGUGGAAAAUUUACCAGGGCAACCAAAAGUUGGAUUUAGACAAUAUGCUGGAUAUGUGAAUGUUGAUGAAAAAGCUGGAAGAAGUUUGUUUUAUUAUUUUGUUGAAGCUGACAAAGAUGCUCACAAACUCCCUCUUACUCUUUGGUUAAAUGGAGGUUUGUGCUUUUCUUCUUUGAAAUUCCUUCGUUCUUUUGGAGUACUUUUCAAUUAUUCUAAUUGAAGUUUUCGAUAUUCAAGCUCAAGAUAAGGUCCGCGUACAGUACUCUAUCAUCCCAAAACUCCACCAUAUGAAAUUUCACUGGAUAUAUGUUGUUGGUGUUGUUUGAGAAUUUGGAUUUAUGUCAAUUGAUGAAAGGACAAAAUUGAGUUUGAUUAAUUUUUUAUAAUUGAAGCGGGAUAAUUAUUGAUCUACAAAAAGAUGACUUUGUAAAGUCUUCAAUAUGAGUAAUGAUCAUAUUAUCUGUUAUCAUCAGCAACGAAAAAGAAAAUAUAAAAUGACAUGAGGUAAUAAUUUCAUAUUAAUUCAAAUUAAUCCAUAUAAUUUCAUUUUUAAUAAGUUUUUGACUAGAACAUACAAGUACUGUAACGUGCUUCUCCAUGAAUAUUGGUUAAUCAUGUGUAGGGGAUCAUGGUGAUUUGACAGCAAAAGUGACAAAAAAUUCAAUAUAGAAAGAUUAUUUUUUCAUUGUGAAUUUUGUUCUAAAAUGUUCAUUGUUAUGUGUAUCAUAUACUUUAUCGCAAGAGAUUAUGUCUUAAUUGAGUUUUUUUUUUUUAUUGUUGGUAAUUAUAUGCAAUUAAUAAUCUAAAUCUUAAAUUCUACUUGAUCUGCAUGUAUAAAUUAGCAUUUUAAGUCUUUCCUUAACAUUGAAGGAACGGUUUCUCUCUUUGGCCCAUUUUUUAAUGGCACACUGAAUGAUUUUAAUAAUUAUGUGGGGGAUAAUAUGUAAGAGCAUUCAACUUUCAACUUUUCCAUUAAUCACCAUUUUUUUUUUUUAAUAUUUAUAUAAUUAUAUAUAUUGAAGAUAUAUGCUCUGGACUGUACUAGUUGACAAUUAACUUGGUUGGUUGGUGAUAUUUGCAGGUUUCGGGACCAAUCUGUUUAAUGAUUUAUUUCUUCAAAACGUGUGAACAAUUCUUAUUAAAUUUUUUAUGUAUAUAAAAUAUAUAAUAAGAAAAAGCAUAAAUUCAACCUUAUUAAGUCAUGUUUUAAAAAAUUACCUAAAAAGAUAUUGUCUAGUCACUCGCCGCAUGUAGGUCGUCUGAGGUUAGGGGACAACUAGACCAAAUUAUUAUAGUACCAUUUUGAAUGUCAUUUACGUAAUAUUCUUUAUAAUUUCACUUUGAUGUCAAAAGUAUUUUCAUUUUAAAUUCGCUAAUGUAUGGUAGUUUUUUAACCAUUAUUUAUUAUGUAUGUUUCCUUAUUUCAGUAUGUUUUUUUCCUUAUUGUUUUGAUUUGCAAUUCUUGAAUCGAGAGUCAUUUGAAAACUACCUUUCUAUCUUCACGAGGUAGCAAUAAUAUUUCUAUCUUCACGAGGUAGCAAUAAUAUUUACAUACAUUUUGCCUCUCCAAACCCUAUGAUCUGAAUUUGUUGUUGUUGUAGUAAGCAUUGAUGAUUCUCAUACAAUGGAGCAAUGUGCAACAUCAUUACUCUAACAUUUGAAUUAAAAGCUUUUUCUCUAAAGUAGUCAUUUGAUUAAUACUAGCUACUCUAGAAAUUAUUAUCUUUUUUAUUUUUAAAUAAAUUUACCAGGUCCUGGAUGUUCAUCAAUUGGAGGGGGUGCCUUUACAGAACUAGGACCUUUUUUUCCUAGAGGUGAUGGCCGUGGUCUAAGAAGAAAUACUAAAUCUUGGAAUAAAGGUAUAUAAUAUUAUAUUUCCUUAAUUAUACAACAAUAUUACAAAAAAAAAAAAAAAAAACGCUCAGUAUUUAGCAUUACUAUUUCUUUAUUUUGAUUGAUUUAUAUACAGCAUCAAAUCUGCUAUUUAUUGAAUCUCCUGCUGGGGUUGGAUGGUCUUACUCAAACACAUCCAGUGAUUAUACUUGCGGAGAUGACUCCACUGGUAUAUCUGUUUAAUAUCUUAAACUUUAAUUUGGUGAAAAACCUAUGGUUAAUUAUGAAAAAGAGAUCAAAGAAAAAUAUUAAUAUUCUCAUUCGUUGUUUUUUUUUUUUUUUUUUUUUCCAGCCAAGGAUAUGCUAACUUUCAUGCUUAAAUGGUACGAAAAGUUCUCAGAAUUAAAAUCUAAACCCUUGUUCCUUACAGGUGAAAGUUAUGCAGGUACGACAUAUAUACACCCUAUACGUAGAAUUAUAUUAUAUACUCAUUGUUCACCUAUUUCGCGAACUUUGUCUAGAGUUAAAUUAAUGUAAAAAGUAAUCAUUAUAAAUGGAGUAUGGACUACUUGUUGAUGGUCACUGUAUAAUCUUUCAUCCUUUGAUUCACCAAUUCUAAUGUAUUUAAUUACAUUGUAUACUCUUUCUGUCCAAAAUAGUUGUCACUUUUAGCUUCUCGAGAUUCAAACUAUAUUAACUUUGAUUAAUAUUUUAAGAUGUAAAAGAAUUGUAAUUAUGUAUUACAGUAUUUUUUGUAUAAGCAAAUCGUGACAAAUAGUUGGAAGGGAUAGAGUCAAAAUGAGGACAUAUUUAUAAUAUUCUACAUCAUUUUUACUUGCUAACUAAUGUCCAUAUUUUUGAUCUGGUGAUAGGACAUUACAUACCACAGUUGGCAAAUGUCAUACUAGACUACAACAAGCAGUCCAAAGAUUUUAAGUUUAACCUAAAGGGAGUAGCGGUAAGAAUACUCAAAAAUAUAUACUUUGAUUCUUCCUUCCUCUAUAUAUUAAAAUCAUUCCUCCUAAAUUCGAAGUCAUUUUUUUUAUUUAUUCAAUUUGUAAUGUAUAUAUCUACAGAUUGGAAAUCCACUUUUGAGACUAGACAGAGAUGUUCCAGCAGUGUACGAAUAUUACUGGUCACAUGGAAUGAUCUCAGAUGAAUUAUAUUUAAGAAUCAAAGAGAAUUGUGAUUUUGAUGAUUAUGAAUUCCCAGUUCCUCAUAAUGUGUCAACUACAUGCAACCAAGCUACUGAUGAAACAUACAAAGUAAUUUCUGACUAUGUUAAUGUCUAUGAUGUUAUUUUGGAUGUUUGUUAUCCUUCUAUCGUCCAGCAAGAGCUUCGUUUACACAAACAAGUAGGCAAUCAAAUCUCUUUAAACUAUAUAUACGUGAAAAUAUAUAUGCUUAAUGUUUGUAAUUAACUUUAUAUUAUAUGUUGGAGGAUGUACUAGGUAACUAAGAUGAGUGUGGGAGUAGAUGUUUGCUUGACAUCAGAAAGAUACUUCUAUUUCAACCUUCCUGAAGUUCAGAAGGCUCUUCAUGCUAAUAGGACUAAUUUGCCUUAUGAAUGGACCAUGUGCAGUGAGUAUGUAAUCAAAAUUAUUUUAAUUUUGAAAAACUUUUGUUAGAAAAUUAAUGACCCCAUUUAUUAGUACUACUUUAAUUUGUUUGUGUUUGAAAUGAGACAGUGUGCUGAAUUACUCUCAAUCUGAUGGUGAUAUUGAUAUCCUUCCAACCCUCAAAAACAUUAUUCAACAUGAUGUUCCUCUUUGGAUAUUCAGGUAAACAAGUUAGAACAUUUUUCUUCCUACAGAACACACCCAAUGUGACACAUCAAAUAUGGAUUCAGAAUUUUAAAUUAGUGAACACAGUACAAUUUCCCCCUUCUAUCACUAUUUAUUUAAUCAUCGUAAUAAUAACAAUAACAAUACAAUACCAUGCUACUGUACUCCCUUCCCAAUUACCUCCUAUUAAUCUUGAAUUCGCUUUAAUUUAUUGUUAUUCACAUGCGCGAUGAUUCUAAGCAUCUGUACUGUGUAUAUAUAAUUACAACAGCGGAGAUCAAGACUCAGUGGUGCCACUAAUAGGGUCAAGAACAUUAGUACGUGAAUUAGCCCGGGAUCUAAAGUUCAAGACCACCGUACCCUAUGGAGCAUGGUUUCACAAAGGGCAAGUAGGAGGAUGGCAAGUUGAAUAUGGGGAAAAACUCACAUUUGCUACAGUGAGAGGAGCAGCUCAUAUGGUACCAUAUGCACAACCAUCAAGGGCUUUGCAUCUUUUCAGUACAUUUGUUCAUGGAAGACGAUUGCCUAACACCACUCGUAUUCCUAUUAAUUCAUCAUACAAUUUGAAAAAUUAAUCUUCUUCUGCUGGUUAAAAUAUAAACUUGAAGUUGAUUCAAGAGGUUAGUUGUCUAUUUUUGGUACUUGUGUUGUUGUGCAGAAAUGUCAAAAUGAAAUGAAAUGGAAUGGAAAGAAGUUGAAUGGAUACAUAAUUUUCAUAUAAUUACACCAAUUAACUUGAAAUUGAGUCGUGUUCGAUUCAUUGAUACUAAGUACUUUUAUAAGUUUUGUAUAUCGAUGGUGUAUACCGGCUGAGUUGCUGCACCGAGAACCAAAAAUAAUUGUUGGGAUAAGUUUAGUAUAUUGUUUCUAUUUUAUCAGCCUGCAAUAUAAUUGUGUUACGUUGCAAUUAUUCCACUCGUACGAGUCACUUUAUCCGUAUAUAACAACGUAAUAAAUAACUACAGAUGGAGUCGAUAGGGUUUUUAUUUCCCGAAAAAUGCAGCCCCUACCAUUAGUCCUUUAUGGAGAUAUGAAAUUCGACAUUGUAUCAAUCGUGAAUUUCAUGCCAUUAAUCAAUCAAGCACGAAGCCCUUGAACACUUUAACGACAAAUAGCACAAGUCUAAAACACUCCGCAGUAUCAAAAGCCCAAAAAAUUCAGCUACUGAGUGUGCAUUACUAAAAUCUAAUGGAGUAAUAAAACUGGAAACAUGUUAAAAGAUAGUAAAGUAAUCCACAUUUAAUUAAAAAAAAAAAAAAGAAAAGGAGGGUGUGAACAUGUAAUAUUAACUGCGGCAACCACUAUAAAGAAAAAGAGAAAUUUAAAUGGCUUCAUCCAUAAAAGUCCAAAAAUUCCAAAAAUUUGUAUGUUUUAUGUAUCAACACGUGAAUCGCUACUUACAGUUGUAUUUAUAAUUUGUUCAUCUAUUUCGUCACUUGUUCGAUGUUUACAACAGUUCACUCAAUAACAAUAAUGAUAAAACAAAAAUGUAAUCGGUACUCUAUUUUUUAUACAACACUUCUGUAUUUAAAACUCUUUCUUAAAUUUCAUUCCUUAAAUACUACUUUUACAAUCAUAGAAUUAAAUGUUAUACAUGUAUAAAUUUUUAAGGAUAAUUUUGACAUAUAGUACAAGAAAAUCUCUUUCUUAAAUAUUCUGCCUAAGGUGUUAAGUGGGCCGGGCCGGGUCAACCCGGAAUCAGCCCGUGAAGUUUAAUCGGUUAGUGGUUGGUCCGGAUCCGAGCCUGGUUAAACGGGCCGGGCCGGUUUCGGGUCCAACAGAUUUUUUUUUAAAAACAAUCCUGAACCGACCCACUUAACCUAACCCGAUCCAAUCCACCUAAACCCGGCCAAAACCCCCCAAAAAAAAAAAAAUUUUCUCCAAUAUAUACUAUAUAUACCCACAUUAGAAUUUAAAAAAUAUAUACACAUACACACAAUUACACAUAUAAUCGUGUAUACGACUAUACGUUAGUUAAAUAUAUAUACUACAAGAUAUAUACUACAAUAUAAUGACAUAUAUACUAAUUUAUAAAACAUAUACACAUGUAUACAUUAAAUAUAUACUAUUUUAGAGUCUAUAGAAGAUAUAUACACAUAUAUACGUACCAUUCAAUAUAUCUACUACUUUAAAUAAAACAUAUACUACAAUAUAUAUACUGCAAUAUAUACACACACUAUAUAUAUAGUUAUAACUAAUUUAUAAAACAUAUACAUGUGUAUAAAUUAAAUAUAUUCUACUUUAGAGUCUAUAGAAGAUAUAUACACAUAUAUACGUACCAUUCAAUAUAUAUGUACUACUCUAAAUAAAACAUAUACUACAAGAUAUAUACUACAAUAUAAUGAUAUAUAUACUAAUUUAUAAAAUAUAUACACAUUAAAUAUAUACUACUUUAGAGUCUAUAGAAGAUAUAUACACAUAUAUACGUACCAUUCAAAAAAUCUACUACAUUAAAUAAAAUCUAUUACAAUAUAUAUAUUACAAUAUAUAUACACACUAUAUAUAUAUAAUUAUAUACUAAUUUAUAAAACAUAUACAUAUAUAUAUACGUUAAAUAUAUACUACUUUAGAGUCUAUAGAAAAUAUAUACACAUAUAUACGUACCAUUCAAUAUAUUUGUACUAUUUUAAAUAAAAUAUACUACAAUAUAUACACACACUAUAUAUGUAAUUAUAUACUAAUUUAUAAAACUUAUACACGUGUAUACAUUAAAUAUAUACUACUUUAGAGUCUAUAGAAGAUAUAUACACAUAUAUACGUACCAUUCAAUAUAUUUGUACUAUUUUAAAUAAAAUAUACUACAAUAUAUACACACACUAUAUAUGUAAUUAUAUACUAAUUUAUAAAACUUAUACACGUGUAUACAUUAAAUAUAUACUACUUUAGAGUCUAUAUUCUAUAUAUACACAUAUAUACGUAUCAUUCAAUACAUAUACUACUUUAAAUAAAACAUAUACUACAAGAUACAUACUACUUUACUUUAGAGUCUAUAGAAGAUAUGUACACAUAUAUACGUAGCAUUCAACAUACAUGUACUACUUUAAAUAAAACAUAUACUACAAUAUACACACACACUAGAUAUAGUUAUAUAUUAAUUUAUAAAAUAUAUACACAUGUAUAUGUUAAAUAUACACUCUUUUAGAGUCUAUAUUCUAUAUAUACACAUAUAUACGUACCAUUCAAUAUAUCUAAUACUUUAAAAAAUAUGCUACAAGAUACAUACUACAAUAUAAUGAUAUAUAUACUAAUUUAGAAAUAUAUACACAUGUAUAUGUUAAAUAUAUACUACUUUAGAAUCUAUAGAAAAUAUAUAUACAUAUAUACGUACCAUUCAAUAUAUGUAUUACUUUAAAAAGUAUGCCACUUAAUAUAAUAAAUUAAUAAUACUUGGUAGUAAAUUAGUAAUAUAUUAAAACUAAGUAUUUAAUUUAAAUUAGAAAUUCAAUUUAAAUCAUUAAAUGGAAAAAAUUACAAAGUAAGGACUAAGGAGUGAAUGAAUGAUUGAAUGUUGAAUUUUAUUGAUUGCAAAAUGAUCCAAAAUUUAUAAUUUACAUUAAUGAAAAAUCUACAAAUUUUGCAUCAUUUUUUCCAACUCAUUCAUGUUAAUAUUAACGGGAACUUGCAUAGGAUAGUUAAAGUCAAUAGGGGGCAAAACCAUGCAUUGGACUUGAUUCUGCUGAGUUCUCCCGUGAAGUCAUAAUUUCUUCAAGUCUCUGGUCGUCCUUCGUCUCCGCCUUCAUUCCUUGAUUUCUUUGUUCCGCUCUAAUUCAAUCUCUAAGACAAACUAGAACAUUCAUUGCAUUACUUCUCAAUGAGUGUUGGUUGUCUCCAAGCUGUUGUCGUCCCUGACUAAAAACGCUCUCCAAUGCAACGGUUGACAUAGGAACAUUCAAGAUAUCUCUAGCUAAUCUUGAAAGCACAGGAUAUUGUGUUUCAUUAUUCCUCCACCAAUCCAUCACGUUGAUCCGUCGUCUGCGAUCCUCUAUCGUCGUUCGAAGAUAAUACUUAAGCUCUCCUCGAUAAGUUGUUGUGUAAGCUCCCGCCUCAAUACUGUUCCAACAAUUCAAAUCAUAAAAGUAAUCAGGAAUACCACUAUAUGCCGGCCUUUUAGAAGAUGAUGACUCCUCGGGAGGAAGAGGAGCGACAGUUGGAGUGAUAUUUGUCGGUAUAGCUAAAUCAACUAAAUCAGCAUAAUGGUUAUAUAAUUUAUCUAUGUAAGCGUUUGCAUCGGCCAUAGCCGUCCACAAAUCAGGUUGUUCUUGUUCUUCAUCAUCAGAAUCAUUGUUAGUAUUUAUCUCUAAGUUAGCAAGAGUACUAAAGUGACACAUAAUAUUAUAUUUCAUGCACGAAUUUAGCAUAGCACCAACCAAGUAAAUAAGGGGAAUCGGAAAAAAAUAUUUUUAAAAUUUAGCAAACAUAGCACCAACAACUUCUUUGUAACCUUCUUUAUUUUUAUAUUCUUUGAGCAAACAAAAAAUAUCGGCUAUAUAUGCCAAAAUAUUACAAACAGUAGGAUAAUAGCACCGAAAAAUUCAACUGUAGCUAUAUAAUUUUUUUUCUAAAACUUAACAAGAUCAUCAAUUACAGUCCAAUCAGAAUCAUGCAGCAUACAUUCAGCCGAAUCAACAAAUGAACCACAAUGUUGGUUAAAAGAUAGUGUAAUAGGAACUCUAUAUUUAUAACAAUUUUGUAAAAAAUCAUACGUAGCAUUCCAUCUAGUAUCACAUUCUUCAGGCAUCAGUAUCGGUGCAGGUCCAUUUUAUUCACAUUUAAGUUUAAAGUCUCUAAAUCUUUUUCUUCGAUUAUUUCCUUGAAUAAAACCAACAGCAAGCCGAAUUUUUUCAAUAUAAAGCUUAAAAAACUUAAGACUAUCUCUUACGAUUAAAUUAUAUAUAUGACAAGCACACUUAACAUGAAAUAUUUCAGAUAAUGGCGGAGAUAACUUAGAUUUUAAUUUUCUAAUAGCAGUCUUGUUGUUAGAAGUAUUAUCAAAAGCAAUACAUAAGAUUUUAUUUACAAUGCCAUAAAAUUCUGCAACUUUAGCAAUCGAAUCAACAAUAAAAUCUCCAGUAUGUUUACGAUCUUCAUCAUACCAAAAAGCUAGAAUAAGUUUUUGCAUAACAAAAUUGCUAUCUAUCCACUGACAAGUAAUUGUUAAAUAAUCAUUUUUAUUAACAGCACGACCAAGAUCAGAAGUUAGAGACAUUCCACAUUGAAUAUUUUUUAACAAUGUUGAUAAAUAAAAAUAAUAUUGUGAAUGAAGUCUAAAAAUAUCGGCCCGACAAGUACUUCUAGGAAUACCAUUAAACAUAGGAUUAUAAAUUGCUUGAAUAUAAUGAAUAAAAGCAUCAAAAGAAUGAAAACUAAAAGACAAACAACCCACAACUAUCAUUUUUGCUAUUUCUUCCCGGUCCUUCAAUUUAUUAUACUUCUUCAUUACCUAAUCGGUUAUUGGGUUCAUUCUAGUUUAUGUUGGCCCACCAACAUCCGCACCACCUUUUGCAAUAUUUAACUCUCUUGCGUGAUUAUCACUUAUAUGUCUCGUUAAUGUACCCGUACCCCCUUACUUGCCUCCCUUUUUUAUGCUUAUAUAUUUGUUGACAAAUAUUGCAUUGCACCUCAGUAUCUGAUAUACGUGUAAAAAAUUGUCAGAUCUUGGGGCAGGGGGAGUACGGGGAGGGCGAUUAAUCGAUUCAGACCUAUCGUUAGCAUUUCCUACUGCUGGUGUCUCACCAAUAUUUUCAUCAUCUUCGUCUAAAUCAACCGCAUCUACUUCAUUUUCUUCUUCUAUAUCAUAAUUUUUCUGAGCUUCUACAUAAUCCAUAUCGUGAGCACGUACACCUAUUUCUUCCUCAAAAGGUUGACUAAGCGGUACCGAAGGCGGAGGCACACGGGUAUAUCUACUACUUGAAGUACCUCUACCGCUAGUAAUUCGAUUUUUACUCCCACUACCACUUCCCGGAUAAAUUUUUUUUACACCUUUAGUGGCUAGGUUUCUUAAUUUAUCCUUAAUAUAAAUUAAACUAAAAAAAUUCAAAAUACACAAAUAUAAUAAAAUUAAAUAUUCAACAAUUAAUACACUAAUUAAAAAUUAAAAAUAAAAGAUGGAACGACAAUAUCAAAUUUUGAAAGUAUCCGAAGGUUGCGACUUUAGAAACUUUCACUCGUACUUUGUAAUUGCAAAAUUAAAAAAUUAAAGUGAACACUUUAGAAAAUAUAUAGAAUAUUUGAGAAUUGAGAAUUGAGAUUUGAGAGAGAAUGAGAUUUGAGAGAAUGAAAAAUUGUGUGGAAAGUGAUUUGAAAGUGUAGGGUAUUUAUAGGAUUUUUUUUGGAUUCAAAAAAAUAUUUUUAAUGAUUUUUUUUUUUUAAAUAUAAUUGGCCAUUAUAGCCAUUUUGGGCUCCCAACGGUCAUAUAGCCGUUGGGCCCCACGAACCAUUUUUUAAAAUCCCGAAACUUGGUUUUUUAAAAAAAUUCAUUAUUCAAGCCUGACCGAUUAACCAACGAACAUGGACCUAUUUUGGUACGGACCGAAUUAAUCGAGCCAAAAAAAAUUAACUCAACCCGAAAUCCGGUACCUUACGGAUCAAACCAGGCCGGGUUUGUUUAGUGGAUCGAUUCGGGCCGGGUCAACCCAACCCGUUUGCCAGGCUUAAUUGUGCCUAGUGAAAAACCAAUCUGAUAUAUCAUGGAUCAUUGACGGAGGGAAUAUUAUUUAUUAAAUUAAAUUAAUGCAUUUCUACAGUGAGAUGUAUAGGGAAAACAAAAAUUGAAAAGAGAAAAGAAACAAAAGAAAACGAAACCUCCAAAAUCAGGCAAUUUUGUGCUUGACACAUUACCAACUCUUCAGUUAAGUGUGGGAAGAGAAAAAAAAGCCAAAGAUAAAAAGAAAUCACAUAUACAUAUACAUAUACAUAUACACAUACAUAUACGUGGUGACACAAGUGAAUAGGUGCACUACACAAAAAUCACCAGCUAAUUCUCUAUUUUCUCUUCAUCUUCUUCUCUUUUUCUCUUUUUUUGUGCUACCAAUUCUUGAACCAAAAAAAAAUUAUAUAUGUACUCUAAGAAUUCACUGUACUUACCCAAUUAAACACUUCACUUUGUCUAGUUUAAAAAUGGUACUUGUAUUUUUCAUUGUAAUUUUAAGCCAUCUAGCAGAGAUCUCCCAAGGGGAACUAAGAGUUGGUUUUUAUAACAGUAGAUGCCCUACUGCUGAGACCAUUGUUAGUAAUGUUGUCCGUCAAGUUGCUGCCUCCAAUCAAAACAUUGCUCCUGUCUUGCUUAGGCUUCAUUUCCAUGACUGUUUUGUUCAGGUCAGCUAUUCUCCCUAUCUAAUAUUUUUCAUUAGGACAUCAAUUAUAUAUAGUCAGAGAUGAUCUCAGAAAGUCACCUUCAUUCUUGAUUCCAAUUUUAUUCGACAAAGAAAGUGACUUUUUGAGAUAAUUACUGUUAGUUGAGAAAUCAAACACAUAAUCUUACAUACGUAUAAGUGAGCCGAGCUGAAAGUAAUGAGUUCAAUUGACCUGACGGUAUAUGUUGAUGAUGAUUAAUCAGGGGUGUGAUGGAUCAAUUUUGAUAGAGAAUGGAGCAAAUGGAGAAAGACAUGCAUUUGGACAUCAAGGAGUUGGAGGUUUCGAAGUGAUAGAAAGAGCCAAAUCUGAAAUAGAAGCUGUUUGCCCUGGCAUUGUUUCUUGUGCUGACAUUGUUGCUUUGGCUGCUAGGGAUGCUGUUGUUUUGGUACUACUGCUACUAGUGUUUCAUUAGUAUAGUUCUUUCUUCUUGGAAUUCUCUCAUCAGUUACGUUUCUCUUCAUUAACUACAUUGUUGAAUUUUUUUUAGUUAGACAAAUUUGUUGUUUUUUCUUUGUUUUAUGUAUGUAUAUAUAAUAAAGUUGAAAUUGGCGGCCAUUGAUUAAAUUACAGGCAAAUGGACCAUCAUAUGAGGUGGAAACAGGAAGAAGAGAUGGAAUGAUAUCGAAUUUGUCAUUAGCAGAUAACAUGCCGGAAGUGAGUGAGUCAAUUCAGAUACUCAAAGCGAAGUUCUCCCAGAAAGGCCUUUCUGAGAAAGACCUCGUUGUGCUCAGUGGUAAUUUUACCUGUAACAACUCUAUAUAACUCCUCGUAAUAUAUUUAAUGUUGAUGAUCUGAAAAAUACAUAGUAACCUUACUACUAUACAUAGUCAUUGUGACGGAGUCACUGUCAGUGUAUAUAAGUUAGAUUUGAUUUUUAUUUUAUAUGCUAUCCCCACACCCCUUAGCUACGGAUCAAGGGUGGUGAGAGCGCCUUCCCCGCGAAACCAAUAAUUUUCGUGCAAGGCUCUCUAUUUAUAUUGAGAAAUCUAUUGAAUAUAUUUAGAAUAUUCAAAUCUUAAAUCUGCCUCUGAGCCCCUUUAUGUUCCAUCUUCUCCCAAGAAAAAUGGAGGCGAAAAAUCACACACACACACGCACAACACAUAGUCACACUUGCAAAUGUGUGGUACAUGCAGAUUUUGUGGGUUUUCUAGUUUGGUAGACAUUGUUGAAGGGAUGUGAACAUUGUCAUUAGCUAAGACACGAUGUUGGAGCUAGGUCCUCGAUCUUUUUACUCUUUUUGGGGUUCGUUAAUUAGAUCCUUAAUUAAUCCUAUUUUAAGGUGAUUGUGAUUUAUUUGUGUUGUUGUAUAUUGCUUAGACUCUUCAAAAAUGCUAUCGUGCAUCGGAUCGUCCAAAAGUGGUGUAUACUUUUGAGAGAACAUUUAGAAAGUCAUAGAAACAUUACUCAUAGGUUGGUCUUUUUGCUAACCAAGUCACCGAGCGGUGAAAAUGGGAUAUAAAGUUAGUGUUUAGUAAUUGAAGAUCACGAGAUUACUCGAUUAGGAAAUGGACCACCUAAAAGUCCAUAUCCACAUUACUAAAUGCAAUCACCAAUUUUACACAUGAUUCUUUGUGUCAUUCAACACUUUAAUUUGCUUUAACAGGAUAAAUUUCGUUAAUAAUCUUUUAAUUCUUUACACUGUCAGUGCCAUAUGCGUGACUUCAAUCCUUAUUGUGAUUAAGCGAGCGAAAUUAAAUCAUGAAUUUGCAGCUGCACAUACGAUAGGUACCACGGCAUGUUUCUUCAUGACAGAUAGGCUGUACAACUUUUCCCCUGGAGGAGGUUCUGAUCCAUCCAUACACCCCAGUUUCCUCCCUGUAUUGAUGGCAAGUUGUCCGCGGAACGGGGAUGUUAAUGCGCGAUUACCGAUGGAUAGGGGCAGCAGCGGGGAGUUUGACGACAAUAUUUUGCAAAAUGUAAGGAGUGGCUUCGCAGUGUUACGAUCAGAUGCUAGUUUAUACGAAGAUGUGGAGACGAGGAAUAUUGUGGAUUCCUACUUUGGGAUUUUUAGCCCAUUUUUUGGGACAUCUUUUGAAGAUGAUUUUGCUAAUGCAAUGGUGAAAAUGGGCAGAAUUGAUGUGCUCACUGGAUUAAAAGGGAGAAUUAGACGUCAAUGUUCCACAUUUUGAUUGCAUUGUUAAUUCUAAUUACUCCUCGAGUAUUUGCUUACAACAUUUUACUUUUGUUGCUAGAGUGGGUUACAGUCCCACAUUGGCUGGAAAAUGAAUCGGUGCUUGUAUGGACUUGGACAAUUACCCUCAUGAGCUAAUUGUUGAGGGUUGAGUUUGACAUAAAUGUAUAUCUUACCGUUUUUAUUUUUGAGUGGUGAGUUCAUUAUAGAAUCAUUAAUCUUCCUAUCCAGGGUGAAAAAAUUGAACCCAUUUUUAAUAACUUGUCCAAGUUCAAACCGGUUAAGUUAUACCUCGUACAUUAACUUGAUUUAAUGAGUUGAUCCGAAAUUGACCAGCCAAAUUAUUGAGUCAAACCCAAGCUCAAACAUUUAUUAUCAAACUUCAGAAAAAUAUAUUAGCUUUCACACCAUCUUUUUUUUUUUUUUUUUUUCCCAGAGCAAGAAAGGAGACGAGGUUGGAUCACGUUGGGCCGGUUGGAUUAUGACUCGUUUAUUGAUUUGAGUUUUUUUGACCUGUCCAAAUUUGACCCCUGCCCAUUUACUCUCUCUUUGUUAUCAAAGGGCAAGCUACCGCUAUGUGCGGGUCCGGGGAAGAGCCGGACCACAAGGGUUUUUUCUAUGCAACCAUACCUUGUUACUCCAUGCAACUCAUGUGAGUUAAACUUGUUUAUAUUCCUGCAAUCGUAUCUGCAAUUCUGCUAAAAGUUCACGAGAAGCCUAGUCUCUACACUCUGCCUUAGUUGAAUGAUGAAGAAUUUUAUUCAAUACAUUAAAGUUUGUAACACAACCUAUAUUGAGCUGGCAAUUCAGUUCCUCCAAAAUAUAAGUAGGAUGCAUCUGGCUUUUGUAGUUUCUCACUGUCCACAUUACUAAACACAAACCAAAUUGACACUACUUUUUUUUUUUGUAUCUAUAUGCCAUUUCUUGUAUGUUCUAUUUCAGAGUGAAAUUAUUGUUCUCAAUUUGGAUACGGCUUCUUAACAACAACUUAAUAAGCACAACAAAAGAGGAAAAAACAGCAAGACAAAUUAAAAGCACUUCAACACCGCUAGCUGUUUUCGUCAGCAAAAAUCUGUGUAGCAAACCCAUUUUUCAACAUAAAAUUUUGUCCAAUUCAUACUAAAUGUCCUAGGGGAAUAUGUUGUAGGUCCUACGUUCUUAGGAUUGAAAUGAAAAAAUGGAAUAAAGAAAACUUGCACCGAACAAAUGAAUUUAAUUUGUAUAUAUCUAGUUAGGGAGUAAAGAUGUUGUUAAAUAAAUGUACCAGCUACCCGACAAUUUGUCAUAUAUAUCAAUCAUAAUAUAUUUCUGGUGGUUAGAUUGUUGUUAUUAAAAUAAAAUCACAUAAAAAUCAAAUGAUAAAAAAGUAACUGGAAGUGACGCACGAAGCUUUUUAUGCGGUUUGGACAAACAUACCUUUUGUCAAAUUUGAUAGGUCGUGUAAAAAAAAAUAAUGUUUGAUAAAAUUAUACAUUAUUUAUUUAUUAAACAAUAAGUUCUAGUGAUAAAAGAAAGUAACUUUAUUAUAAGUUCAAUUCUUCCUUUCCUUUUUUUUUUUUCUCCCUUGUGUUAUUAAUAUAGAACAAAUCAUUUCUAGCGUUAAUUACGAAAUGUUCAAUAUUCUCUGAAGAGAAUUCAAUUCUAUUCCAUGACAUAGAUAUAUACAUGUAUACAUAUAUAGAAAUUUGUCGUGAAAAUAUCUUCAAUUCGCUUGCUUUAGAUCUCCACUGAUAAUUUAUGUGCCAAUACUAUAAGCCAUGAACACCAUUCAUUCGAUCAUUAUGCAACGCUCUAAAUCUUUCAUUAAAUUUACAACUAAACAAAAUAAGAUCGUAAAAAUGAAUAAUAAUUUUUCUCUUCAUUUUCAUGUCUUUCUAUGUCAGUCCAUUAGUUCUCGUUAAGUUUUGAAGUAUAUUUAAUUAAUUUUCUAUAAGUUAAAUGAGUAAAAUAAUACAACUAUAUGCUAGUUUUAUUAAAUUAAAGUGGCAUAUAUGGUAAUCGAUCCUACGUGAGUCUCCGAAAAAUUGGUACUGCCUUAAGAUCUUCAAUAAUAAUAGUUUCUUUUCAUACAAAUUUAGAAAGAAAAAAAAAGGUUUGUAAGACAGAAUUACAUUGAUCGCAAGUCAUAUCUAUGUUUUGGAAAAAUAUAUAUUUCCAUUAGCCUCCCGAAAAUGAUGCUAAAGAACAGAAUAUUUCUAUGGUCAUUGGAUUCAGGGAAUUAAGCUGAGAAAAAAGCAAGAGGGAGAAACAUAAAAUUUAAUUAGAAGAGAAGAAAAAAAAAAGAGCUGCACAUACCUCGUUUCUCCCAUUUCAUUUUCUUUCUCCAAGUCCCAAUAUUUCUCAACGUAAGACUAGUCAAUUUGUAAUGAAUAUGUUUAUUAGCUGGAAGCUGGUUUGGGAUUUUACGUAACAUUUCAUGCAUGCACGUUUUCAAUCUUCGUUAUAAUUUAAGGGUUUUUUUUGUUUAUUUCUUCAGGUUAACACAGCCAUCGUUGUCAAUAAUUCAAGAGAAAAAAACGUACUUUUAGCCUUACGAUUCAUGGGUCCAAGUAAGCUUAGAAAGGCAAUAGGGGCAGUGAAGGACCAAACUAGCAUAAGUUUGGCCAAAGUAGGUAGCAGCGCCUCCUUAUCUGAUCUUGAAGUCGCCAUCGUAAAGGCGACGCGACACGAUGAGUACCCACCGGAGGAGAGACAUAUAAGGGAAAUUCUAAGCUUGACUUCUUAUUCUCGAGCCUAUGUUGGUGCAUGUGUUGGUUUCCUUGCCAGACGCCUUAGCAAGACCAAGAAUUGGAUUGUGGCUCUUAAGGCACUCAUGUUGAUCCAUAGGCUGUUGUGCGAUGGGGAUUCAUCCUUUGAGGAAGAGAUUUUCUUUGCCACAAGACGAGGGACAAGGCUUCUUAACAUGUCUGAUUUUCGUGACUCGAGAUCUAACUCAUGGGAUGGUUCUGCAUUUGUACGGUCGUAUGCUUUAUACCUUGAUGAACACUUGGAAUUCAGGAUGCAGAACCGCAGGGGAAAACGCAGUGCAUUUGCGUACAGCGAUGAUGAAGAGGAGGUUCGUCAUAAUGCAAGGGGAGCGAAAGCCACUCCGUUGAGGGAAAUGAAAGAUGAUCGUGUUUUCUCAAGGAUUCAUCAUCUCAUGCAGCUCCUCGAGAGAUUUUUAGCCUGCCGACCUGCAGGUUUGAUAUUUGUACUUCCAAACUCCCAACUUUGCUUCAAUAUUUCUUGCCAAUUGCCAAAAUAUUUAUUCAUCAGCAAUGCGCAUUUGAUAAAAGAUACAAAAUGCUACUGUAUGUUUCAGGUACGGCAAAGAACAACAGAGUCGUGAUUGUGGCUCUAUAUCCAUUAGUGAAGGAAAGUUUCCAGCUAUAUUAUGACUUAACAGAAAUCACGACUAUGAUGUUUGAUAAGUUCAUAGAACUGUCAAUUCCAGACUCUAUAAAGGUUCUUGAGAUAUUCUUCAGACUUAACAAACAAUAUGAGGAGAUCGAGCAGUUCUAUGAUUGGGGUAAAGCGGUUGGAGUAACACGCACUACUGAAUAUCCAGAUAUUGAGAUCAUUCCACCAAAGAAACUCGAGCGUAUGGAUGACAUAAUACGGGAAAAGUCCUUCAGGGAACAGACCAGGAAGGCAAUGCGGAAUGAACCAACUACUGAGAACGUUCAAGAAACUGAAAUGCAGGAACCAGAAACUGAACCGGAAGAGGACAUGAAUGCCAUUAAGGCAUUACCAGCACCAGAGGUCUUCCCCGAAGAAAAGACACAGGAAGAGGAAAAGAAAGAGGAGGUGAAAACCCAAGAAGUAGGAGACUUGUUAAACUUGAGUGAAGAUGUUCCAACUUCCGAAGAACAUGGAGAUCAACUAGCAUUAGCAUUGUUUGAUGGUGGUCAAGCGGCGACCAAUCCUGCAACAAGCAUUUCGCCAUGGCAAGCAUUCAACGAUUCAGGAGAUUGGGAGACAGCACUGGUUCAGUCUGCGAGUCAUUUGUCAAACCAGAAGGCCUCCCUCCCUGGAGGCUUUGACACAUUAAUGCUCAAUGGCAUGUACCAACAAGGAGCAGUUGCUCAGGCAGUAGCCUGCUCAGGUGUUGUGGCUACUGGAAGUGCAAGCAGCGUAGCACUUGGCUCAGCAGGACGGCCGGCAAUGCUAGCAUUGCCUGCACCUCCAACUGCAAAUGGUGGAGCUAAUACAGCCGCACCAGGCACAGAUCCUUUUGCAGCUUCACUGGCAAUAGCUCCACCAGCAUACGUUCAGAUGUCCGAGAUGGAGAAGAAACAGAAACUACUAACAGAAGAGCAGUUAAUGUGGCAGGAGUAUCAGAAAAAUGGAAUGCAAGGACAGGUAGGAUUUCCCCAGGUGCAGCCAUACCCUUACCCAUAUAACAUUGGUGGUUACAGGCAAACCUUCUAAAGCUUUCACUAACAAGAUACACAACAUUGUAAUGUCAUUUUUCCUGUGGUCAGUCGUAUCUCAGUAAUAAGAUAAGUCAUGAAAUUGUACAGAAAGAAACUGGCAUCUGGAAGAAGAGCUAUGCAAGUUCACAUCUAACCAAUGCCUGCAUUGCCAGCUUUCUGAGAAAGUCAGCUUAGCUACAAUAUUGAAGUAUGAGAAUUGCAAAACUACAUGUAGACAAGCUCCGUUAUCAGUGUACAGAAUGUAACAUUUUUUCAAAACAAAUUGCUAGUGGAGUCUUAUUCUUUCUACAGUUUGAAGUGGUUACUCAAGCUGAUAUAUAACAUACCAUGCAUUUUACAUCAUAAGAAAUGACAAACAUGAAUGAUAGCAAAUACGAAUUCAUGUUAUUAGCAUCUCCAUUCAUGGAAAUGAAGGAAAAUACUAAUUAACACAGAAUUUAGCAGACAAGCCCUAAAAGGUACAAACUAAGCACAAUAAUCAGCUUGAAUAAUUCGCUCACUCAUCUAGGACUAAUCUCUACACAGUUAACGAAGAUAUCAAACUCAAAACGAAAGGUUACUUAAAUUGGGCAGCUUCACGUCAUCCUGCUUCUUUACGGAGACACCCAACUGCAUUCCUACUGAUACCAAGGUCUCCAGUGAUCUUCCACUAUUUUCCAAGAGAUCCUCAUCUACCCUUAUGGAAUCCUGUAUAUUUCAACAGAUUAGAUUCCAAAUCACUGAACAGCAACAGGAUAGUUAAAUUUCAUAAAACAAAAUAUUUCCAUAUUUUUGUUUACUACUCCCUCUAAGGAAUGUCACUUCCAAAUGUACACUUAGAUUGGACGUAAUAGACAAAAAGGAGAGAAGGAAAGGGCGAAGAACUCUAUGCAUAGACCCACAAAAUGUUUGAUUUUCGAGAUAACAUCGUGAGCUGGCUAAUAUUAUGAGGCAAAUAAUUCACUAUCAGUCCCUAAAAAGUUCAUGACCUCUAAAUUCUGUGAAUGCGGUCGUUUUAAUCUGUCAAAUCUUGUGACUACAUUUCCAUCUUAGUAUUCAGAUCUUUGUGGCACUGACGUUUUGAUCCAACAUUCACUCUCAUAUAACAUUUGUUGGACUUGCAACUGCUCUAUAAAACUUGACUUACACUUUCGCAAGUAUCCUUCUGAAAUAACACUCAGGCAACACUUUCUAUUUUGGUUCUGUAUGUAGCAUUUUCAUCUAUCAUAUGGUUCUUCUUGAACAUCUAGUAUAGAUAUAUAAACUAUUCGAAUUUAGGUACCAGAAUCCCAUCUGUUCUCACCUCAAUUUCACCCUUUAUUGAUUAAACUUGCAAUGCAUAUACUGAAUCUUACUUCAACUUAUAUUAAAACCUUUCAAUUUUAGAGUGCUCCUCCAUAAUUCAAGCUUUAGGUUAACACCCUCACUGGUUUUGUCAUUAGCACAAUAUUGUCUGUGCAUAUAGCAUGAACCAUAUGAUCUCAUCAUGUAUAGUAUUAGUUAGCUCAUCCCUAACUAGUUUAUAUAAAUACGGCCUUCUGAUCCCUGGUGUAAACUUACGGUUAUGGAAAUUUUUUUAAUCUCCUACUACUGACCUUACACUAGUGAUGGCUCCUGAUACAUAUCCUUUAUGGCAACAAAAUAGAUAUAUUAUAGGAAACAAAUUUUCUAAUAGACGAAACUGAACAGAUUUUCAAAUAAGUACACACUAUUUAUUACAAUGAAGGAUAUAUUCGCUAAAAGGUACAUAUUUACUAAAAUUAUUCAGGGACUUAUCAUAAAUAUAAUCCAUGUAUAAGUUGUUUUCGACCAAAUCAACCAUAAAUGAUCUGAUACUCAUUGGAACAUAAGGCACGUAUAUGUUAUAGCUUAAAGUUAACCCAAGAUGUAGUUCUACAAGAGGAUUAUCAGAAAUAUUUGCCCAUUGAAGUGUCCGGAGAGUCUUUUUAAGUUACCACUGACAUUAGAUAGGCUUGCAAGUAAAACCUACUCUCUCUCUCCAUAUUUUUCUUUUUCUCGGGGCAGGCACCUAAAUCUUGGAAACGAUGCACCAACUUAUACCUGUUCCAAUUUAUGGAACUGUCCUGUGUCUUUAUAUUAUUGAAAAUAUGAUGGAUCUAUUAGUCAUUAGUUCAAUACAAUAAAAAGAAAAUACUUCCACUAAAUUAAAUUAGAACCUGGCUGGACAUGUGUUUGUGUCGGAGACAAUCUAAUCUCCGUAUCUUCUACUUGCAAAGUAGAUCAUCAUGUUUCCUAUGAUGACAUUUUUUGGCUCAAGCCAAAUCAGUCAACUAAACAAAUAUGUUUAACUUCAAGAACAUGCAAUGAGAUAUCACCAUGACAGUGUGCGCCCACAAUGAAUCCACUAGAUGGGCAGAUACUACUGUAUCAGUAAAAGCAUUCCACAAUAUGAUUUGCAUAUAUUCGAGUAAUAAUAAAUUGUAGGUUUAAAGGUGCUUGCUUGAAAGAUGUUGCACACAACCAACAAAACCAACACUUCAAUCAAAGUGAUUACUGCAUCAGGAUUUGAUAGGGGAAGGAGAUCUCAUUUGAAAGCUUCAGAUGAUAAAAAGAAGCUUAAACAUCACAAAAUAGACAGACUAGAACAGUUCUACAGCUACACUUCACAAUGUCACUGGCAAAAUAAAAUUUUUUAAGUAAAAGGGAAAAGCUUGGUGACCUACCUUUUCAAAGACACAAAUUACGGUACUUCCACCAAAAGCAAAAUAUCCAAACUGUAACCAUGAAAAAAGAAAUACAAAUCAGACAUCAAACAAGAUUAUUUAAUUCUAAGACAGCAAAACCUCGCAUCAUAAGCACCAAACCUCAUCCCCUUUUUUCACAUAGUCGCCCUUAUUUCUGGAGAAAUUAAUGCUACCAACCAUUGUUGCUCCAAUUGCAACAAAUGCAACCUGCAGUCAAUUAAGCAAAGCUUCUUUCACCAAAUUGAGCAUAUUGAAACACGUAAGGUCAUAGAGUUCAAUGUCUGAGCCAACAAGUCAGAGUUGUUGAAUCAACUUAGAAGGUUACAAGCAAUUAAGCAUUAGUAACAAGUAUAGUUAGAGCUCCUACAGAAGGAUUGAAGCUUUAGUGAGAACAUCAACUCAACACCUUAGACACUACACACAUUGAUGACUUAAAAUAGCCGCAAGGAGAUGAUAUCAUGAUAGAGUGUCGUGUUAUGCCCAUGUGGAGAUUUUCAAAAGAUCAGCUAAUCCAUCUAAAAAUGAAAUUCAAAAUAGAAGUCACACAAAUUGGCCUAUGGAUCUGAAUUCUGACAAUUGUGUCAAUGAGAUAUGUCACUACUCACUAGAUCCAUUGCUUUGAACCAAACACAGCCUAAUGAGAAACACGUUAUUAGAUAAUAAUCAGACGCUCCAUUCUGAUAAAGAGGAUAUUAGAUGUAUCACUCUGAAUUUUCUGAUAUUCAUAUUGUCCACUUUGGAUGGGGACAUCAAAGGGAUCCUGGUUACUUCCAGUGCUUUAAGGCUUUCGUUUGGAUGCUAAUAUAUAUAAUCUCAGACAUCCAUUUUUCUCUCAACUUCUGCCUAAUGGUAUAUCCUAGUAUAUCAUUCUGUUUUUCAUUCUCUCAACUCAAUCACUACUCCAGCCACUUCCUCAGCCUGUUCAACUCACUCUCUGCUCUAGACCUAUUAUCAACCAAUUGAACCAUUUGUACUCAUGAAUUUAAGCCCUUUGAAUUUUUAUUUUUUUUAAAAAAAAAAGAAAUAAAACUAACAUAGGGAAAAACUGCAUUCCACAUGUAAAUUAAUAAACCACUUUACACUAAUUGGAGGUAUUAAAAUAUCAAGCACAAAAUUUCCAAAGGUUUACAAUGACAUGCUACCCACCUAUCAUCUUUUAGAUUUGACGGUUACAUUUCACAUGGUAUCCAAGCAAAUUUAAGGUCGUUUUCUUAGCAUAAGUCUGUUUUCCCACCCUUCAUCUUCAUACUUUCUUUCCUCCAAAACCAACACUUACUCAUUCAGCCUGUUAGUUAAUUCUCUCAAAUUUAGGGCCACUCAUGAACCUGGCAAACCCACUUUCUUAGCUCCAUGAAAACUCCAUAAUCUAUCAUAGAAUUACCAUUGGCCCACUCUUGAGCCUGUUACACCAUUUCGGGCUCCUAAGAAUUAAGUUCAUUACCUUUCAAAACAUUUAAAGAGGACAGAAUAAAACUUCAAUCCAUGUGUGAACUCUUGGAUCUGGAUACAAGCAUAGGAGGGAGUUAGAGAUAUACAAUGCCCUACUUCAGUUGUAAAAGAAUUUAAAAGGGUUCAAUUGUCCUAAACUACUCUACCCAUCAACUUAAAGUUUUGGGUGAAUGCUUAAAUUCAUUUCAUAUUACUGAUACCGAUUAUCAGAAGUGACUUCUAAAUUAGCAUGGCCAAUAAAGGAUAGCAGGACAUAUAACAAAGUAGUACAUCAAUUUUUCAUGAAAGGAGAAUUAUUUUUAAAACUAGCAUGAAAUGCAUAAAAUGGCAUACCUUCCCAAAGUGUUCUGUGGAAAUUAUAGACACAACCCUCUUAUUCUCUGUGAAGACAUUGCAGUAUUUGCUAUUCACAGCAAUAGGAUUCACCUAGAAGAAAGAGAAGAAAAGGGGAGUGGGGUGAGAGGAAUAACAUGCAUCAUUUAGGAGGGUUUAAAAAUUACUCUGAUAAAGAAGCAGAAAUACACUGCCAAGAACAAAUAAGCCACUUUCAAAGAAGCACUACAUUUCACAUACCGUAUACAGGCAACCAGGUAUUUCAAUAAAUUUCUCGAUAGUUCCAGACACAGGAAAGUGGAAACGAUGAUAGUCCUGUAUUUGGGUAUAGCAUACCCAGAAGAUGUAAAUCAGAAUAUAAUAAUGGAAAUUUACUUAACCAGAAAUAAUUUAAUAUUGAGGAAUUUUUACAGAGAUAUUUAAUAGUGUGAAAUAGCUCCAACAAUGAAGAAAGUUCACAACAGUCCCACCUGUGGUGCCAAGCGAAAUAUCACUAGAGCUCCAUUGACAAAUUCACUAGAACACGUUUCAUCCCCAAGAAGACCUUGGAUGGAAAACUUUCGACCCUGAGGUAAUCCAUAAGAUACCAAGGUAGUUUGCAUUACAAAGUAAACGAGCAUAAGCUUUUGAAACUUCUAAGAUAUCACAGUAGCUCAAAAUGAUUUAGCAUUUCCGUAAUGGAUGUUACAAUAAAUAUCACACACACAAAGGUGAAAUAAGAGAAGCAAAAUCAAUUCGGAUAAAUGUCUACAAGGGUUAUAAUGUUGUGCCCAUGUGAUAGAAAGUUGAAACAUUUAUUUUAUGUUGACCAACCGGAUAGGCUCUACAAAUAAUCUGCACUAGGCGAUCAUUACUGGUAUCAUGAGAAACAGCAACAUUUACCAGAAAUAUGAAAAAUAGACAUUUGUUAACAAUAGAUUUACCUUGAUCCAACAUCUUAUACUAUCAGCAACACUGUUGAAUGCCAUCAGACGGCAAUCAGCAGCACAUACAGCAAUAUCAUCACAUUCUUCAAAAGCAAUAGGUCUUGCACCAGGCUUCAACUCUCUAAUGAAAAAUUCGUUGAAUGUCUGGAAACCAAAUUUACGAGACCAUCAAAGAAUUGAUAUGCACCGCUAAAGAGAACUUUAUUAAAACUUUACAAUAUCAGUAAAUUAUGUGAACAAUAAUCAAAUACAAAUAAAGUGCAUUGGGUUGAUCAAGAUACAAUACAUCCAAGUGACCGGUAAUCUUCCUCGCUGUAUAAAUUAGCUGAUAACAAACAUGAGAAAUGAUUUAUAAUAGUGUCCCCUUUUAUAUAAAUUGGAACUCCCAUGUUCCUUUGCUAAUAUUGAUAGGUUUCCAGAUAUAGAUUAUUUUCUGGUAUGAACUCAUCAAUCGAUCGUAUGUCCAUGUCUAAUAACCAACAGUCAACUGAAACAAGUAAUAUACCACAAACAUUUAGCACAUUACAUCUUUGACUUAAGGUAUGCUAAUAAUUGUGCUCUAUUUCAAGUUACCAUCUCAAAGUUACAGCUACUCACUAGCGGAAACAAUACUAUGACACGAGAAAAGAUUGCUUCGGUUUAUCUACUUCUACUAUAUGUAAGACCAAAUUGAAGCAUAUGAGAGGAACAGACUGAACCAUAUUCAUUCUUUUCGUAAUUCAUAGCACUGCAAAUAUCAGUUCAUUCCUUUGCAACCAGUCCAAAGACCUAGUUGGAACUUCUUUAAUCUUCAGAUCAAGUGUUACUUCAUUGAUAAUGGGAAGCUUCCAUAUACAAGGAGCACACCGAAUUGAAGUGAAGCAAGAAAGAACAAACUAUACUCUCUCAAAUGAAAGCGAACAUUGCCUGAAGGACUUAGCGCACCUUAAAAUGCUCCAACGGAUACUUGACUUCAUCCAUAUUUAUUUGAUCCUGAAACAGAGUUAUUGAAGUCAAUCACAGCAAGUUACAAGAACAAGAGAUUUUCUGUGUACUUGAAAAGGAACUAUACGUAGGCAUAGCCAAGAAAUAUAGAAACUAUAAUAAACACAAGCACAGAACAUGCUCAUCACAAAAUAGCCAUGCAGCCAAAUCACCAAACAAAUGAUCUCAUGUUCAGCAUCUAAAGAUUGGGGCUUUUAAUAUAAUAAUGAGGGCAAAACAACUGGUUCUCAUUACCCAUUUCAGAACCAUGAAACUGUUCAGUCAAGGACCUUGCAAUUCAGUUUUCCCUCUUUCACAAUUUCACUUCGUCUAGACACAUAAGGAUCAAGAGUAUAAUUCAAAUCUCAUAGUACUUUAUACAGAAGUAGGCCCAAGAAUAGAGUAUAAAGUUGUAAUUUGGAUAAUUCUAGAAUAUUUAUUAGGAUAAAUGUCCUAUUUGACAAUUGAAUUCUUGCAAUGAUCACAUACUAAGAUUCCGCACUCCGAGAAAUCUUUUAAUAUGCAUAUAAACGUGACUAUAUACUGUAAUAUCAGAAGUAAAAAAGCGUUGAAGCAAACUUCUUCCGAUACGAGGAGGAUGAACAACAUUUCAGGAUAAAGGAUAAGUGUCCUUUAAGGAUAGAGAGGAUAGCUUUUUGUACAUGACACGUGGAAGGGAAGUUGCAUUUAAUCAAAAGAAGUAAUUUUUGUCAUUCAAAUCUCUUCCAGGCACCUACAAUAUAUUGCAACAGUACCCAGAGAGAAAUAAAUGGAGAAAGCAACAGGAUAAUAAUUUUAAUUCUCCAAAAAGUAGAACUUCUUUCCCAAAGUUGGCUGUAAGACAUUACAGAAAAAUUGGUAUAUUGAAGAAAAAGUACAGAAUCUAACUGUAGUUGGCUUAGGCUAGCUAGUGAUUCUACUAGGAUGAAAGAAGAACCAUGUAUAAUCAGAAUUAAUUAUGACAUCAUAACGAUGAUCUUGAUGUUUAACUUGGAUGAAUACCUUAAAAAAUUCAAUGAAGUUAGGUAUUUCUUUAGCAGAUUCAGCAGAAUCCAUUUUCUUGCCCUGUUUUUCAGAGAGGCUCCGCAAGAUUUCUUUUGCACCUGUGCUACAGUUAAAAUGGUAAUAAUCAGCAAAAUGGAACCAUUAUCUAUGGACCAAAAACUGAAACAAAUCAAUAUCAUCGUGGUGACUAGAUGGAUAUACAUAUAUAGGCUCAUAUAUAGAUACAGUGUGUAUACGAUAAUUGCUUCUUACAAUUAAAGAUCUUAACAAGUGAUUCAGUCAAAAGCAUACCAUUAUCCAUAAGGCCAAGGCCAAAUUUAGACUGAUAUAUAGCUCUCAUGGACAAGACUAUCUUCCGAUCAAUUAUUUCCUCCACUAGCCUUUUCUUUUGGCGGUCAUAAACCUAACAAAGCAAGGAUGCAACAUCAGAGGACAAAAGAACCUUUUCUUCCAGCAUGUUCUAAUUCUCAACCUUCUCUGCCAGAAAAUGCUGUUAGGCAAAAGAAAGAGAGAAUGAACGAAGAAAAAAUAAACAGAUAUCCAGUUGUUCUUUAUAAAUAUUACAUGAAUGCAGUAAAUGACCAUGGAGAAAUAGGUAAGCCCUCAGACAUUGUUAGCAAUUAAUUUCAAAAAAAAAUAAAUGUGAAGAUCAAAAGAAGGUGAAUCUCAAAGAAAGAAAUGAUACAAGAUCUUCAGCUAAUUCAAAAUAAUAAUCUUUGCAAGCAAUUGGAUCAGAUAAGGCACUUCAGAAUCCUCAAGAGAAUCCCAAAUUGAUAAAACAAGAGAAAAAUACAAAUAUAAAGGAAUUGGACACCAACAGGCUUGCCCAAGAACUAGAAUAAGCACUUCUAUGCAACAGCGUGUAGGAGUCUACUUAAUUUACCAUCUGAAUAUCGCCAAGGAAUCUACAGUGAUGUUUCAAAAUAGGCCGAGUUGCCAAUAGGUAUCCAACACUCUUUUACUACGAGGUGAUAAUUUCAAGAAGGCCCAUUUCAUCAGCUUUAUGAAGCAACAUGCCAAGAUGGUUUAGAAACAGAAUCUGUAAUGAAAAUGUGAUACCAGAUCCAGAGAGAAAACACAGAGGAAGAGUUCUCAUUUGUAAAACAUAUGGUCCUGGCUCCAACACCGCACCAUGUCAAUUUUGCAUAAUAUUUCAAAACAGUGUUAAAGCAGUAUCUGAUCGCCAUGCAUAUGGCUGAAGUCAGCAAAAAAGGAAAAGCCAAUUGGUCUUUCUGAUAAAGCAUGUAAGAAGACAAGACACGUAAACACACUUUAGUGUCAAAGAUCCUUCAUCCAGUUUCUACAGAAAAAGGAUGUUCCUUCCAUAUAUGCAUACCAGAGAGGAGAGAAACAUUUCUUGUGGGGGAUGGCGUAAGGAUGAGAGAAUACCAAGAUAUGCGAUGCACUUGAACCAGACCUUAAACCGAUAUCAAAAGUUGAAAAAUGGGCCCAUUCACUCAGUUUGAACAUCCAUCUACACAGAAAUUGUAUAAGUAUGUGAACUUCAGUAUUUCAUAAUAAAAAUCAGAAGAAUUUCAAAAAAUAAUAUAACAAUAAAGAGGCAUAUAAUUUUAUUAGGAAUAAUUAGACUCAGAAAAGUUGCAUAAUUCUCACCCACUUGAAGCCUCCUUAUCAGUCAAGAAUCCUCCUGUCAUAACCUGAUUCCCAGUCCCCUCAUCAAAACACAAGGUCAUAUGAAUCAUGUUAUUCAACCCAUCCGAAACUUCAAGAACUUCGCCACAAACUGGACAGCAAUUGAUUAUGGGUUCCCUGAAAGAGAAGAACAUUAAGUCAACAGGAGAAAAGACCACAACAGAAGGAUUAAUGUCUUCCAGAUUCAAUGCAAGGAUAGAUAUCAUGUAUCUUCACAACAGGCAAAGAACUCUGGACAAAAGUUCAGCAAUGUCCAAAAAAGAUUUUGACAAGACGACUUCACAAGGAGGUUUCUAAUCAUCUCUAGAUAAAUGGUUUUAUGUGUCUCCCAACUCUAUCCACUCCUCAUGUACAUUGUAAAGAAUAAUUGUCUUGUUAGCGGCUACAUACCACCAUAUAAAAGAUUUUAAAGACAACUAUGUUUUUUCACAGGAUAGAGCAAAGAUAAAACAACUACGCCUUAGUCCCAAACAAGUUAGGGUCAGUUACAUGAAUCUUCACUUCUCCAUUUAAUCUUAAUUCAUGUCAUCAUCAUACCAAAUGAAAGAAAAGUGAAAAUAAGUUAUAUUCAAAUAAAUAAUAAUAAUAAUAAUAAUUGUUAAGAGUCUGACAACGGAAAAAGGAUGGACAAUUGGUCCCUUAUAUGAACUUUGACAAUACUCCCCUCAUGAGCUAGCUUUUGGGGUUGAGUUAGGUACAAGAUCCAUUCUUUACAUGGUAUCAGAAGGCAAGGUCAUCCCAAUUCUUUGUUCACCAAUGUUGGGCCCUCAAAUUAUAUUGUCCAUGCUCCACUUAACGAGGUCUGGGUGUGCGGAGGAGUGUUAAUAGUCCCACAUCGAAAAAAGGAUGGACAAUUGAUCUCUUUAUAUGGAUUUGGACAAUCCUCCUCUCAUGAGCUAGCUUUUGGGUUGAGUUAGGGCCAAGAUCCGGUCUUUACAAUAAUAAAGGAUCGUUUGGUUGGGAAUAAGUUAUCCUGGGAUAAUUAAUCUGGGGAUUAGCUAUCCCGGGAUUAAUAUCCCACCAUAUAUAAGAGAUAACUUAUCUCAUCACUAUAGUGUAAAUGGUGGGAUCAAUAAUCUUGGAACUAACUAAUACCUCCAACCAAACGGAGGAUUAAAUAAUCCUGCAUUUUAUACCACGAUUACUAUAACUUGUACCUCAAACCAAACGACCCCUAAUAGAAGUCCGAUAACAAGACUAAAACCUAUUCCCAACUAGUGGAUAGUAUCUAUAUGGAUUUUUUUCUCCAUCUUGCCCUAUAUUUAGCUAAGUUUGCAUGAUUCCAAGAAAUUAUACGUUUUUCGGAGAUAACUUCCUUCCAUGUGAUUUUAGGUCUACCUAGUCCCGUUUAAACAACUUCAAUUACCAUGUUUCACACCAAUGGAUCGGUGCAUUCGUAAAUUAACGCAAGACAUGACCAGACUAUCUCAAGUGAUUUCUCAUUUUAUCCUAAAUGUGUGCUACUUGUACCUUCUGUAAAAUGUGGUCAUUUGUUUAGAAAGGUAACACAUUUUCAUAUAUAAAGGUAUAUUGUGCAAGCUUUGAAGUCAAAAAAAAAAAAAAAAAGGGAGUCUUGUGCUUCUAUUUUGUGAUGUUUGCUAACAGUUUUCACCCUAAAGCAUAUAUUUGUUGGAAAAUCCUUUUUAAGAAAUGAAGAGCCUUAAUCCCCCACCCCCCCAACCCAAAAAAAAAGACAUGAAGAGCCUCGUACACCUAUUUUAUGAUGCUGGCUCAUGCCUUCCUUUCUGCAGAAGAUACUAUUUAAAAUCUUGAAAAAAAAACUUGCAAAGACACUAAGGAAACAUCACAUAUCAAUUUAACUCUUCUCACCAAAUCUUUGGCCAGACAAUUGUGAAGUAACAAAUGGGAUCUAUGUGACGUUUGCAUACGAUAUUAGAAAGAAAGAAUAGUUUUGUUUGGUUCUUCUUUAGAUCCUUCUUUGGUUUAUAAUGGUAACAUGUAGUUUUUGUUUCUUUUGCCUUAAGUGAACAUCAUAGCUUUACUAAAAGGUUGUCACACACCUUUUUUUCAACAAUAGAAGAACAAGAUGGCAUAAGGAGUUUAUUUUUUGCAUCACUCAACAUGUACAAGCAAGCACUUAUGCACAUUUUUCUAUAUAAAUAAAAUCCUCAAUCAGUUACCAGAAAGAAGAACUAGGAGAACAGAAAAUUUUGAACAUGAAAAUCUCUAUUUUUGAUGAGAAAGAUUUGUCACCUUGAAGUUUCUACAAGUUCAAAUGAAGCCUUCUAGGUAUAGGAAGAUCAGAAAAUCCAAUAAAUAUUCGUUUCUUAAGGCUUGUAAACCACCUUUAACUUUGAAUGUACAAACACAAUUAUAGUGUGAUCUUUAAGCACAAUAAAGAAGGAACAAUGCAGGAACUUCCAAAAUAGAGUUGCAUAGCACCCCAAAUGGAAAGUGUCUUUGGUUCAAUGGGUCCACUUUGUUUUCCCCUAGAGUAGUUAAGCAUUCAACUUCCCUUUGGAGUUGCCAUCACCCUUCCCCGCUUUUCUCUCAGUUCCCUGCCUCCUAAUUGCUAGAACUAUAAGGGGUCGUUUGGUUGGGAAUGUAGUUAUGCUAGAAUAAGUUAUACUGGGAUUAUUUUUUGUUGAGUGUUUGGUUUGUUGUAUUCAAAAUAAUAUGCAUGGUAUAAUUUCUAAGAAUAAAUUAAUUAAUUACCAAAAUACCCUCCAUCUUGUUUAACCCUUUUAUAUAUAUAUUUAUAUAUAUAUAUAUAUUUCUUUUUAAGCUUUAAAUAUUUAUUCUUAAAAAUAAAACUUUCAUCUUAUUUAGCUUAAUUUUUUUGUGUGUGCAUUUUCAUGAUUAUAUCAUGUGUAGUUUAAAAAUAAAACUUUCCUCUUAUUUAGCUUUAAUUUUUUUACGUGUGCCUUCCCAUGAUUAUACCGUGUGUGUUUAGAAAAAAAAUCUUACUACAUCUUAUUUAGUUUGAAAUAAAAACUUUCAACUUAAGUUUGUUAAAGUAAAAGAGGAUUUGUUGUUUAUGUCAUUUCAUUUAAAUACAUAUCACUCAUAUAAUAUAGAAUAUUAAAAUUCAUUUUAAUCAAUAUCAAUUUUUAAGUGAUUAAAAAAUUAUUUAAUCUAAAAUAUGUAAUUCAACAAUGAAGUCGACAUUUUUAUUAUUUUUUAGAGAAAUUAAAAUAUAUAAAUAAACAUAAUAAUUAUCCAAAUAAAUUUAACAUAUAAUAUAUUCAUAAAUAAAAUAUAUAUAUGUGUGAAAUGAAAAUCAUAGGGUUUGAGAGUAUUUUUGUCAUUUUAUAAUUUUAUACAAAGGAUAAAUUGUGUUGGGAUAGUAAUACCACCAUAUGUGUGGAUAACUUAUCCCGGUACUAUUUAUUUAUCCCGAAUAUUGGCAACCAAACGAUGGAUUAAAAAUUUUAUCCCGGAAUUAUUUACUUUAAUACCGCACACCAAACGACCCCUAAAAGUCUCACUUGAUUAAAUAGUGGAGUAACGCAAAUAAAUAAAAGAACUCAUUUAGAUGCUGAAGUUCAUUAAACCUGAGCAUUGAAGGGAUUCCUAGAAAAAUCACAUUUGAUUUCAGGCAUGCAAAUUUUACGAGGCCUUACUUUUCAUUUUGCAUAGCCAGAAGUGUGGCUAACUCAUCCAAGCUGACAACACCAUCACCAUUUCUGUCAGCUUGUUUGAAUAUCUCCUCUUUCUGACAAACAGAAUAAAGAUUGCUAAGCUAUGGAGUCUUCAUAAAGAAUACAAGAUGUACUUGGCUUAAUAAUUGCAAAAUUUGUAUCUAGAACUCUUUGCAGGUUUAGCUUCUUUUUAAAAUGCAAUUAUAUUUUGUUGAGAAAAGGUUAUUAGUGAAAUAACAGUAUGAACAGGAUGUGAUCUGAAUGAGAAAUCAAUUCCAAUAAUGUGUUGCAUGGGAGGCUUUAAAAGAACUACAAUGAGAGUUUAGGAUACUCUUCAGAUGCGAACCUUCUCAGCUGCCAGUUUAUUUCCAAACGCAUCAAUCAAAUCAGAGAACUCAGUCAAUGAAAGCUCUCCGUCUUCAUUACAGUCCUGAAAAGAGAAACAACACUCAAAUUCAUAAAUCAUCUCAUUACCAAACAGUAAUAAGAACAGAGAAGGAAAUCUGACAGUGUAGAUUAUCAAAAACUGAAAAUGAUUUACAUAUUGUAAGCACAUGACCUUUACAUUCUCUCUACCUUGUCUCUUUUAACAGAAAGAAAUGAGUGCAUUUUUGGUCGACCUGGUCAGAAAGAAACAAUACAACUUCUAAGGAGUGAAAGGUCCAGUGUGGAAAGUGAAACAGACAGAACAGGGGAUGGUCCACAUUGCACUACACAACAAAAAAAUAUCACUUUUGUUCCGAUAAAUGGAUGAUUUUUUGAUACUUAAGCACAACUUUUGUAAAAUUGAUCCUGUCUUGGUGUGACAUGGAAUAAUCUUGAUAAUUUUUUUAAAAAAGAGAGAAAAUAGAAAAGAUUAAACCAGUUCAUUUGAAUUAAGAAAUAAAAAAGAAAGAGUUGAAUGACGGGCACGCCUGUGUAGGUGAGACAGAGCUUCUAGCCAGCCUAUACUACAUGGUUCUUUAGAAGGAUCCACCAACAGAUCACUUUCAUCUAGAAUGACAACAUAGAUGGAGUUUUCACAUACCACUAUAGAUAAGAUGCGCUUAACAAAGGUUUUCUCUGUCUCAACGGGGUCCUGCCAAGAAAAUGUAAUCACAUAUCAGGAAUGACGACCCAUAGAAACCUACCAUAAGCAAUUAAAAGUAGAUGGCAACCCAGCAAAUACAAACCUCAAUGCAACACGAAAUAGACAUACGGCCAACAAUUGUGGAGGCGGAUGAUGGGUCUAAUAAGUCAAAAACCUCAGUAUCAGAACUGGAAUCCUGCAAGACCACUUAUUCUCUAAGAAUUGGGCUAAGGGUUGGUCCCAAAAAAAGGAAGAAAAAUCUUACUCAUGAUAGGAAUUUCGCCACAUCAAACUAUCCAAAAAUUGAGUUACUAUUCAGCAAAUAUAGAUUAACCACAAGAAAUAUGGGAUACAUUUGGGAGAAUAGUAUCAUUAAUUAGAUCCCUUUGACAACAGAAUAACUUUCUCAAAGUAGAGGAAAGAUGCAAAUAUUCCAAACUGCGGAAUGCAGUGCCAAACACCAUACCUACAUUUUUGAAAAGCCAAGGGGCUUCUGUUAAUGCUUACAAGUAAAAAACUUCUUAAAGCAUUAUCUAUGAAACUACAUCAAUGUCGAUAUAACGUCCUUGUUCUUGCACUGAUUAACAUCCUACUUUGGACAUAUGAGACUUGCAGGCUACUGACUUAUCCAAAUGCUUGAAGAAAGUACCUGCUGUUUGAAGUGGUAACUUCUAAAAUGCUACAAAAUCCAUGCAUAGUGAAUAAAGUGCCACAUCCAUAUUUUAUCUUUUGGUCAAACAAAAACAUAGCGUUGCUUUUAACAAGUUUUUGCAAAUUCUUAAUACUUGUCAUUAAAGUGCAUCUUUUGUCUACCUCUUAUCACAGCUAACAUUGUAAUGCGCAAAUACACAAUUGACAUAGGGCCUAUCACACAAAGGCUUAGAGUUCAGUAAACUUUACAGGGAAGGAUGAUUCAAAAUUUAUUCACAUUGUUAUGUGAGAACAAUUUGAAUGUGUCCUUGACAAGUGGAUUUGGCCUUCUUUAACAGAUGUUUUAAUUUCUCAAUGACAUAGUAAAUCUAUUAAAGCAAACAAAAUGAAAGCAGAAAUUUCAUUUCGGCAAACUGCAACAACAUACCAAGUGUUGGCCCACAAGUGGGAUCUAGGGAGGGUGGUGUGUCUGCAACCUUACCUCUACCUUGUGAAAGAAAGGGGGUUAUCUCUAAUAGACCCUCCGCUCAAGUAAAGCAUAUCAAAAUUAGUAAGACAAGGAGAUAUAGUAAUGACGAAACCAUAUAGAAAUAAUGGAAAAAGGGCAAUAGCAACAACAAAUAGUUGAUGACCAAAGCAAAGAAAACAACAUUUAGAAUUAAAAUUGAAGAAUACAAUAGUAGGAGAGUUGCCGAUUUUGUCAAACUGUAAAUUAAAACAAGAUGAUUCUUACAUACAAGUAAUAUCAAUUACUUGCACCUUAUAUUAAAAAAUGACUUAUCCAUAGUUAACAACAUAAACGUGACAAAUACAGUGCCAUUUGUUGCAGAUAUUUGCUCAAUCUCAAGAGCAACUCACCUGAGUAAGAAAUUCAAGUAGAUCUACUUCACAGUAACCGAUCAGAUUGUUCCUCGAAAGUCUGUUGGUCUGUACCAUAAAUAAAAUAAAUCAGUAGUGAGUAAUUUAUGAGGAUUUUCUCUUUCCUUUUAUAUUUUCUCUUUUGUAGCGACUCGGAGGAUAAAACCAGUACUGGCAUUUCCAAGUGCAACAUCAUGCAGAGAUGAAAAUGAAAUAACAAUAUCUUCCUCCUGAUAUCUUAAGGAACGGGAUUGGGAACAAAAAAUCAACAAGGAGUUUUCUGGUUCCACUCAUAUCAACAUAAAGAUGAGGUUUAAUCUUGCCCCCAAGAACUGUAUAUAAAUCCCAGGAAGCUACAUAAGUCAUGAAUGACUGGCAUGACAGAAAGCAUAUAUCCUAAUUUUUGCAUUGACCAAUAACAUUCUCAACAUGAACCAUGAUCACCAGAAAUUAUCAAGCUCCUCCAUUCACCUUUUUCUAACCUAAAAUGGUCAACCAUAACCAGCAAGAGAUACAAUCUAUUUAGACAACCACAAGUAUGACGAACCUCAAAAACAGAUAUUCUUGCAAGAUGUGCUCCGUUUCUUUCCAAAAGAAGCUUCCUUUCCUAUAGAAAUUAAGGUUGAAUAACAUCAGCAAAAGCAAUUGACACAGAUGGCUUAUUAAUAAUUUAAAGAAGAAACUAAAGAAGGUCAAAAUAGCUUCUAGAACUUGCCAUUAUCCUCUCAAGAAUUUGGAUGUGUUGGAAAUAUAAAAUGCCCCAUCAGGUAUAUACGAGCAUCAGAGGGGUUUACAAAAAUUGGGAUAAUUCACACAUAACUAGAUCAUUCCCUUAAAAGAAUUUGGUUGGGUGGUUAAAUUCUUUCACGUGGUAUCACAAUAAACUUAAGUAAGCUCGUGCAUUCACCAUCACCUGUAUGUUCAAGUUUCAUUUCACGCGUGUAUGCUAGCACAUUCAGAUAGUUGAUAGAGAUGUACAAUGACCUAACAGAUGUAGUUCAGGAGGAGGUACAAAGGUUUCCAAAGGAAUGUAUAAAGAUCUUGGCUUAUUUACUCAUAUCUUAUGAUUUUACUUGAUUGAUCAGGUUCUCUAGUAAAUAGCAUAACCCAGAAGGAAACACUCUAAUGCAAUGAGAUGGUAGAAGUAAGUCUGGUGUGUACUAAACAGAAUAAAGAUUCCCAGGAUUGCAGGGUCAGUGCAAGCCCACUCUAACCUGCCUAACUAGAUUUCAGUUAUCAUACUUUCAUACCUUGCCCGGGCUUGAUAAACAAAAGGCAAGUUAAACACAAGAAAGAUCAUCAACACUUACCUACGAGGAAACUUUUGCAUGUACAAGGACUAGAAUUUUUUUUUCUAUAAUCACCAUAAGCAUCUUAAAUAAGUAUGUGUGUUUAAUAAAUGUGGGGAAGCAACAAUAAUUGUGAUCAAAAAGGUUUAAGCAGUUAUUUGUGCAUUGACAAUUAAAAAUAUAUAUAUAUAUGAUUUCACAAGCAACUUAUAGUAAAUGUAGUACAAAAUAAAGUAUUUACUCACUGAGUUCCAGGUUGGCUUGUCAGUUCUGCAAAGAAAUACAUAGAACAAAAAGAAAAUCAUUAAUUUGUGAUGUAAAAGGUAGAGAACCUGAGCACAACCAUGCCCUUUUUUUCUUUUUCUACAUUAUAGAACGGCGGGAGAAAAUCAAGUGAAAAUGUGUCAAAUACAUCUCCUUGGCAAGAAUCUAUACACCCUCUUGCAGUUCUUAAUACAUAAACAUGCAGUAGCAGAUUGAUAAGAGUGCCAAAAAACAAGGAGAUGGUGUACAUCUGUGCAUAUCAUACUUGGCACAUAACCAUUUUCUGGAGAUAUAAUGAUCCAAAGCAAGCAAAAUUCCAAAGAUAACAAGAAUCUCAAUACAGCACAUCAAGAUAAUAAUGCUAUGAACUGUUGUAAGAUAAACAGAAGAUAAGAAGAAAUUCUCCAACUUUUUGCUCCAAAAAUACUUAUAAUGCGCAAGAGCUAUCCAGUUGCAACUCCAAAUAAACUAGCGGCAGUUUUCAUGUCUGUUACUAUUAGUGCAUUUUGAAGUAUCCAGGCAGGUAUAAAGAACCUAGUUAAGCUCUUUCAUUUACUCAACUGUCCAGCUCCCACGAAAUAAGACCCAUGGAUAAACUCAAAAUUUGUUCAUCGCUUGCAUGCUCACAUCUCAAUCGCAGUUUUGUUAAAUAAAACUGGUACAUCAUAGCUUGAACUCAUUCGUCUUUGUUUUGCUUCUUGAGAUCUAGAAUAAUUUAAGUAAAAGGCAGUUUCAUUUUCCCCGAAUUAUCCUCAAAUUCUUAAACUAAUUCUAAACAGCCUUUGAUUAUUAUAUCCACACCUAACAUACUGAGCAAAUAGCAUAAGCAAACCCAACCCCUAAAUGUAGUUGUGGACUACAAGAAGUGGCAGAAGUAAAUUCUCCAAUUAUUUUAUUUAUAUACAAAAUACAUGUUUUAUCUGUGUGUAUGUACUGCGAACUUUGUUGAAGACACAAUUCAAUACCAAGAAACUGUCUGUAGAAACAUGUACUUAACUGAUCGGACACGUGAGUGCGAAAAGUUUGUUCACCAAGAGAAAUACAAGCUAGCCAUUUGUCCUUGAAUUUCAUCUCAGCCUGAAACAAAGCAACCACAAGUUCAUCCAUGCGUGUAACUUAAUACACACAUUGUUACAUUUACCAGACUGUGUACAAAUUCUUGCAAGCUUUGUAGGAUUAGUUACAGAAAACUAAACUCUGCAUCUUUUCAAAGCUUAAAUAAACAUUCAAAUAGCACAGAAAUAACAAAAUACAAAUAUUCCAUCUGUAAGACUGAGUGAGAAAAAAAUUUGCAAAUAAGUCAGAGAAAAAUACACUCUGCGUCUUUUCAGAACAUAAAUAAACAUACAUAUGGCACACAAAAUAUUCAUAUGUUUUAAGUAAAAUUUUGCAAAAUUUGUAAAUUAGUUAGAGAAAGUUACACUUGGUAUCAUUGCAAAACUUAGAAUAUGUAUACAUGUGCAUUGUCACGCACAACAUGCAUAUACGUGUUAUUACCAGAUUAUUUAUACAAUUUUGUAAAAUUCAUAGAGAUCAUUUACAGAAAGUUACGCACUGACUGUUUUUCAGAACUUAAAAAACGCGCAAAUAUGAAGGAAUUCAGCAAAUAUUAAUAAGCCAGUAGCAAAAUUUGAAGGUAUUACCUACAGAAAGUUUAACUCGGUUUUCUUCAGUACUCUGUGUAGGUAAUUCCUUUAUACGAAUUCAAACACACAUAUACGUAUAACAUUUAGCAGAGUGAGUGCAAAUUCUAGUUAGAGAAAAAUACACUGAUGAUCCGGAAGANNNNNNNNNNNNNNNNNNNNNNNNNNNNNNNNNNNNNNNNNNNNNNNNNNNNNNNNNNNNNNNNNNNNNNNNNNNNNNNNNNNNNNNNNNNNNNNNNNNNNNNNNNNNNNNNNNNNNNNNNNNNNNNNNNNNNNNNNNNNNNNNNNNNNNNNNNNNNNAAAUCUUCUUCCUUAAGGAUCUUAGCGAUGUGAUUAUGUGAACCGGAGUUGGAACGACUGCGGCGGUGCAGACGAAGUCGUCGACGGAAUCUUCUCAGCCGCGACGGUUUGGAGUCGCCGUUGGUGGAAUCGCCGGAGGAGGAAUCCGGUCUGGAAUUUCCAUGACCCAUUCUAUGUGUAUCUGCAAUUGUCUAAUGAAGAAAGAUCGAAAAGUAGUUUAACAAACGGAAAUUUUAGUAAUAAGAAUGUGAAGAGAUGGUUGAAUUAGUGGAAUGGAAAUUUUGACUAGGACCACACUGCGUUGAGAGAGAGUGGAUGAAACUUCAUUUGGACUUUGUCUUUUUCUUGUUUGGUUGUUAUUGGCCAAAUAACGCCAUUUCCUUUUUUUCCUUUUUUUUUUUUUUUUGAUAAUUAUUACUACUACUACUUUCUAACACAAGUGGGAAUAUCUUUUCUUAAGUUUAAUUAUUCUUUUCAAGUUAUUUAAUUAAAGAGAUUAAUUUUAAUGUUAAUGCAUGUGCGAAGUAUAUAGUCUGAUUUGUGGAAAAGUUGCAAAUAAUUCCAGCUCGUAUGAUAGGGUGUGUUUAGAUAGAUUAAUGGUCAACCAUCUCUUAAUGAAUAAGUAAGAUCGCAACUUGAAUUAGUCUAAUGGCAUAAAUAAAAAUUAGAAAAAUUAGAGUUGGGGUAUAGAAGAACAAAUAGUAAUAUACACUCCACAUGUUUGUACAACGAAUAUAUUAAUUAUAAGUUUAGAUAUUGGACACUUUUAAUUUUUAUUUUAUUUUUCAAUGGAUUAUUGUCAAAUAAGAAAUUUUGACAUGUGAUAUGUUAUCAAAUGUUAAAUUGGUACAAAUCUCUUUCUCUCUAUAUAUAUGCAUUUUAUUUUUGCCCAUGAAAGAGGGAGGGGAUGUUAAGCGUUAAUAUGUUAGUUCUCGUAAGUAAAUUGAAGGUUAAAUACAUAUACAGACCCCUUAACUAUUCGAUUUUUCCUGCGUAGACACCCCAAAAUAUGUCAAUUGAGCCCAAUGCGUAGCGUUGAUAUGGUGUGGCAUGUGUAAUGCACUCUCCCAAGGGGGAGUGAGAAACCAUAAUUAAUUUAAAAUAAUUAAACAUACAAAGUUCAAUCAAUAAAAAAAAUACAGUAAAAGAUUUUAUUUUAUUUUUUUAAAAUAACCAUUAUCUUCCUCUCCAUAUCUUCUCUCCAUCAAUAGCUUCUUUAAAAACCAUUCACUUAUAAAUUGAGUGAGAAAACACAAUUAAUCAACAUAAUUAAACAUAAAAAACCAUCAAUCAAUAAAAAAAAAACACAUUAUAAAGAAAUUAAAAAAAUAAAAAUAGUCAUCAUCUUCUUCUCCAUAUCUUUUUCUCCAUUAAUGAUUUCUUUAAAAAUCAAUCAUAUAUAAAUUGAGUCAGAAACCAUAAUUAAUGGCUUCUCCGUAUCUUCUUCUCCAUUAAUGACUUUUUAAAAAAACACAUUGAAGAAAUUAAAAAAAAAUACAAGAUACAAUUUUAUUUUUUUUUAACUUUCUGUGUUCAAUCCGCAAAGGAGGCUGGGGGGAGGGGGGUUGUUCAAUCGACGAAGGGGGUGGUGGUGUUUGGAAGAGAAAGGUUGUUGGGGNNNNNNNNNNNNNNNNNNNNNNNNNNNNNNNNNNNNNNNNNNNNNNNNNNNNNNNNNNNNNNNNNNNNNNNNNNNNNNNNNNNNNNNNNNNNNNNNNNNNNNNNNNNNNNNNNNNNNNNNNNNNNNNNNNNNNNNNNNNNNNNNNNNNNNNNNNNNNNNNNNNNNNNNNNNNNNNNNNNNNNNNNNNNNNNNNNNNNNNNNNNNNNNNNNNNNNNNNNNNNNNNNNNNNNNNNNNNNNNNNNNNNNNUAUUAGUUUAUUUAUUUUUAAUUUAAAUUUAAGUUUAUUAAAAAAUUAUUUUUAUAAUUAUUUUAAAUUAAAAUUUCACGUGUCGUUAUUUAAUUCGCUACUUCGCCAUAUCAUCAGCGUGUGUAUUACAUGUAUUUUAUAUUUUUUGUUACGUCAUCAAAUUGGGCUCAAUUGAAACUAUUUGUGAAGGAGUAAAGAGUUCAAUAUGUACCUAGCUUAAUUGAGGUGCCUAUACAUGAAAAGUGAAAUAGUUGAGGGGUAUGUAUAUAUAUAUAUAUAUAUAUUCCGUCUAAAUUGAAAGAUUUGACAUCUACCAUGUGUAAUGCUUGUUAGGAGUAUUGUCAAUGUGGUGAGACUAGAAUCAUGGGGCCUCUAAUUAAGCUAGUCAAAUGCACAUUAAUUACCAGCUAAAUUGGUUACUGGUCCACCAAUAAUUCAGACAAAUGUUCUUCUUCUUAAUACUCAUUACCCCAGCUAAUUUUCUCUACAAUAAUGUGUAUAUGUUGAAGGGGAAAAAAAACAUUAACAUCGAUUCUCCAAAAUUGUAUUUUACAAUUAUAAUUAGUAGGAAAAUAGGAUAAGGUCUUUUGGUCUCAUUCGAAAGAAGAAAGAAAAACAGGAGCACAAAUUGAUUGUGUCAGAAAAGAGAAUGAGAAGUUCGUUACAGACGGGACAGUAAAGAAAGUUGGGAGCAGAGAAAAAUACAAGCCACAAAGCAUAAAUUGGGGUCCAUUUGUUUCUUGUAUUGUACUAGGAAGAGGUUUUAGCCAAUCUCUCCAUGAUCAAUUUUUACAUUUUUACACAAUUAUUCUUUUUGUUUAUUUACGCACCUUAAUUUAUUCGAUUGUUUCUAAAAGCUUAUAGGAGAUCGUAUGACAAUGUAAUGUGUGUUAUAAAUUAAAAAAGAAAAAAAUAUUUGAAUUUCUUACAACUUUAACCUACCGAUCAUAUUCUUAACGAAUCAAGAUAAAACUUUCAAGAUUUGAAUCCUAAAAUAAAUAAAUUAAAAAAUUACCCCAUCGCAAGCAUUGACUUCCAACCCACUCUCAAGGGGAUCUGAUAUGUCGAUCUCCAAAUAGUUCUGCUUUGUCUUCCUCUUCUCUUUUACCAUCUCGAUUCGAGUCUUGCUGUACCACAAGAAUGUAAAUAAAUUUUAUAACGAAGGAGUUGUAAACCUCAUCCUAGAUAGCGUAGUUCUCAUUAGAUUACUACCAUUUGAAGUAGAACUUGUUUUUCAACCAUGACAUGUUGAUUUUCUUGUAGAAGCUAGAAAAUAAGAACAUCAAAAUGAAAGCUAUCACCAAUUUGAACAUGCUAUAGGGGUUUGAUCCUAUCGAAAAUGCAACUGAAUAAGUCACGAUAGGUAUCAAAUUAGAACCAAGUAAAGGACAAUAUAAGUUGAUUUAUUUUGAUAAAGGGGAAAAUGAACCUUUGUGGAGGCCCAACAACUGAGAAAGCAUCUUGGGUCGAGUCUAAGAGAAGUUCUUGUUUGUCCAGCACAUAAAUUCCAUGUUCUUUUUUGUAUUUUUUUAAAAGAAAAAUGGCUUAAUUCAUCUUCGUUAAAUAAAUAUUUUCUAUGUCGACUAACUACAGUCUAUCUACCUCUAUGUGAUAGUGACAAGAUUUAUGGUACCCUCUAUUCUUCUCAGACUCUAUCUGUAAGAUUUUACUGACAUAUGCUGUUGUAUGUCAACUAAUUUGAUCACGUGAAGUACGCAUGCCUUACAAAUAUAUUAAGUUUUCUUUUUGUGACAUAAAUUGUCCUUUUUUUGACAAAAAAAAAUAUAUAUUAUUGUCAUAGGAUACUUCAUGCACGAAUUUUUUGGUGGGUGUGUGAUUGCAACUAGUGAUCGUGGUAAAAAUAAUGUCCCACUUAGAACAAGUAAAGAACAUAUCCAAAAUGACAACUAAUACCACAAAUCUACUUUUAUGGAAAUAAAUAUUAUUAACAGAAUUAGGAAACUUUAAACUAGAAAAACAUGUAAAAAAUAUUACUCCCUUCAUUUCAAAAUAAAUGAAUUAUUGAGUUACUCACAUUUUCUUUCAAUAUUUAAAAUAAAUAAAUUGUUCAUUUUUCAAGAGACAUGUUAAAAAUUUCUUUCAAUUUUACCCUUUCAUUUAAUGAGGUUUUUAAGUACUUCACAUUUUAUAGGAUAGUAAUUUAAGAACAAUUAAGAGAAAAAUAAUGAAAAGUAACCUACAAUUUAUGACUUAAAAGAUUUUUCUUAAAGAGUGUGCCGUACCUCGACAAUUCAAUUAUUUUUUAAUUGAGGGAGUAACAAAAUUUUUUAGUAGGAGAAGUUUCCAAACCUCUUAACAAAACAUAAGCCUAUAGUAGCACUGCUUUCAGCCCUAUUUUAGGGCGUGAAAUUCAGCCUUUUGGGCUUGAUUUCUUCAGCAACUUUGGGCAUGCAAAUCAGCUUUUCUUGGGCUCCUUUGGGCCUCCAUGUGGUAGCUACAUGGGCUCUCAAUUGGGGCUUCAUGUUGGGCCAAAUCUCACUCAUUUUAGCUUUGGACUUGAAUCAUGAAAUAUCUAGGAAAAAUUACAUGAUAAGGCCAUUCUUAAGACUUAACUACCUAGAUAAUAGUAGUUCAUUCUUCUCCACAAUUUUUGAACUCGGUCUUGGACUCUUCUUCCACUAAAGGUAUAUUCUUAUGUCUCAUUUUUGUACAAUUCUUCCAUGAUAAGCAUCUUCUUGAUUUCUCACUGAAAUUCAUCAACUUUAUGGAGAUAUGCCAUCGUAGAUGCUAUCAAAACUCCAAAUUUAGGUUAGAUUUUGAACCAUGGUCGUGUAAACUAUUUGUUGGUACGUUUGGGAUUAGUAAUUUCAGGAUAAGUUGCAUUAAUUCACUUUGUUGUUGGUAAUGGCCUUGGUGAAUGUCUUAUCGUUCUUUCAGGACUUGACUCUUAAAUCUUAAUGGGAUGUUGCCUCCAUCUCCAACUCUUUCUGUGGUUAGUCAACUUCGAAUAUGAUGUAAAACCAUAUAUAUACAACACGAAUGAAAUAUUGAUAUGAACUUCAAGAAACGUUGGUUUAAAGAUUUUAUCGCUACAACUUUGAAUGUAUUUUCUUUUUAAAUAACUUUAAAAGAUAUUUGCCUAAUACUUUAUUCGAUACUAAGUGGUAGCCAUUAAUAAAUAGUAAGUAACUUGUUGUAAUAGAUUAAAUCGUAUUCGAUGGAUGCGACCAAUAAUAUGCCUCAGCAAGUUUGCAAUGCUCCAAAUUUGACUUGAGCAUCUAAAUUUAGGUCAAUUGCACUAAUAGUGUGAAAACAUUAUUACAUAUUGUUGGUAUACAAAGACUUAAAUCCUUGCUUAAAAUAUAUUUCGGAAGAGUUUCAAGAAAUCAAUAAGUUGCAAUAAAGCAAAUUAGUGUCAUUAUCCCAUGAAUUAAGGUAAGCGUGCAGAUAAUUCUACUUUCAAUUUCAUUGGAAAUGCAAUGCACCAAGUUUGACAUAUAUUAAUCUAAUUAAGGUCACCCAUAAAAAGGAGUAAUUAUAAUGAACAAAAGGCCCAACAUUUCACUUUGGAGGCCAAGAUUUUACCACAAGUGGUAUCUCCACCACCGUGGGCACAAUUAUAACUUUCAUGAAUGUGCCCAUUUUCAUAUGUUUACUAUAAACUAGUUAUAUUUCGUACUUUCGAUCUAACAAGUUAGCUAGUGGUGUUUGACUCAAAGGCUUAUUUUCAUGCUUUGACCUUGGAAUUGAUAUCUAUGGGAUGCAUAUAUUAUAAGCAUAAUUAGCUAGCUUUACUCAAAAGCUACAUUUGGUCCCAUCAAUCAUUUCUUUGUGUUAGUUUCUCCCUGCCAAAUUCAUCUAAGUUCAUCAUAUCCUACCUAUACUAUACAUUAAAGAAGUGCUUAAAAAGAAAGGGAGUUAACAAGGGAGGAAGUUUGUUUUCAUAUGCAGCAAUAUAUAAAUAAAUACAUGUAACUUCCAAUCACUCUUUCUUUCUUCCAUUGAUGUCUUUAUCAGAUAAAACCAAACAAAAAAAGAACUUCAAGAACAAGUUGAGAUAGGGCCAUGAAGAGCAGCAUGUUUUUGUGCAAUCAUAAUGGCUUUCAAUUUGAUUAGGUCAUACCCAAACCAAGCAAAGUUCCAAAGAAAGCAAUUUAUAUUGGUGAAACUCAUAACGUCAACAUAUUGAGAUGAUGGAGUUGCCUUUGUUCACAAGAAAGUAACUUAACUUGUUUUAAAAAGUGUGUACCUACACAUGCAAACUCCCACCUCCCACUAAACAACAACAACCAACUUGUGCAAACUCUAAAAACGACACAUUCUUCAAGUUUAACUGAAUUCAUUAUACAUUUUAUGAAAUACGUACAUACACAUACAAACACAGACACGUGCAAAACAUAUAUACACAUAGUAAAAUUUUUUUACUCGCUGAUUCUAGAUUCAAGAUUCGCCAUCUGAACCUAGCGUAAAGUGGGAUUUUUUCUAAAUUUUUUUUUUUUUUGGGUGUGAGGUGGAGGGGAGUUGGGGAUGGGGUGCGGAUUUGCUUGCUUGUUGAUCUCUCUUUAUGUCAAAACAUGUGCAGUUGUUUGUAAAUGCAGUCUUGUAAUGUAUGGGUGAGAUGAUUAGAGAUGUUCAGUGCUUACGAGCUAAUUAAGCAAUGAAAUGAUUUAAUUAUAUGUACUUCCGAUGGGAUUUUGAUAAGAACCAAAGAAUUAGUACACGUGGUGAGGAGGACAAAACCUUUAAUUAUUCUGACAUACUUAAGAAUUAUUUUUCUCAAUAAGACAAGCUAACAACCGUGUAGUGUCUCGAUCUUCAAAUUUAAUUUGUCUGAUGAUAAAAAAUCUAAUGCAUGGAAAUUAAUAACCUCUUAAAGUGUUAAAAUCAGUACAUAAUAAUAUAUUGGAUACUAAUCCUUUCUCGGUAAAACUUUUGACUGGUAUGCAAAUAAAUAAAAUGGCCCCAUGAAUUUGCUUUAUAUAUAGUAUUUAACUUUGGUAGAUUUGAGUCAAAAAUAAAAAGAAGUAGAGACAUUGAAAUCUUUUGUUCACAAGAUUAGGCUUUAAUGUUUGGUUAACAUAUAACAAGGGAACGCUCAUCACGUUUUAACAGUAAUUAGGACCAUAAAAAGCACUUGGAAUUAAUCCCAAUUGUAAAAAGGAGUAAUUACUAGUAUUUAGAAUCCUUAAAAAGUAAGCUUUGAAUUCUAAGGUCAGUUUGCCAUUUCACAUUUCACAAUCACAAAAGCACUUUAAUUUGAUUUUGACAAUUGAAUUUGAGCCCCUUCGUCCUUUCAAUUGAUACUGGAAUCAAAAAGGUUGAAAAGAAGUCUUUUUCUAUUUGCAAAUUGUCAAGAAUAGAACCUUAAUUAUUCGAGAGUUAUCUUCAAACAAAUGGUGGAGUACCACAAUUAAUUAAUUACUACCUCUAUUUCAGUUUAAUUGUUAUGAUUUAAUUUUGUUUCACACGACUAUUAAAAAAUAAAAAAUUUAAGUUAUAGUUUAUAAAGUAACUCAUAUUUAGUAAGAGUUCAUUGAUUGUUUUCCUCCAAAUAAUUCUUAUUAAUUAAUAUUAAUGGUAUAAUUAAAAACAGAUGUCAACUUUAGUCUUGAAAUCCUUAAGAGACAAUUAAUUAUAUUGGGACAAUAUGUCAAGCUUAAGCGACCGUUAGUUUAGGACAGAGCGAGUAGCAGAAUAUUCGAUAUACUUUAAUUGCUACGCACUUUUUCAAAUAUGAAACACUUCUUGUUACUCAACUAAUUAUCUUUUCACUAGUAGUAUUUAUUUGAUAAACAAGUUUGACUAGUAUUUCAUAUCUUACGCUUUUUCUAUUAAAUGGUGGAAAAUAAAAUAAAAUAAAAUAGGAUGAGAAGAGUAUCACUUUCUAAAGGAAAUUAGUAGAACCACUUCCUUUAAUUUGAUGCACUUUUCUACUUUUCUUUUAUACAUUCACCAUUGAGAUUUCCAUCUUUAUAAACAUUAUUAUUACUAAUUUCUUUUCUUACUAUUGUAUUGUCUUUGUCACCUUUCAACUUCAAUAAUCUUCGUUCACACUCCACAAAAAGUCGAUUUUCAUACAAAAUCACUAGGUGUUUUCUGUGGAAAAUACUUUCCUUCCCCAAGGAUAUAAUCAAUUAACAUUAUUAUCUCCUUUUCUUUUUAUUUCUUUCAAGAAAUGACACAUUAGUCGAUAUAUUAUGCAAAUUAGGCGUAAUUAUAGCAUUUGCAAUUGACUAAUUGACGCAAUUACCUCGUGCAAAUCUAACUAAUUUGAUGUAGUAUCAAAUAUAUUGGACCUAAUAAAAUCAACAAUUCAUGACUGAUACAACAUAUAUGUCGUUUUUAUAGUGUUUUUUUUUUCAUUUGUCAAGUUGCAUGUGGUGAUUAUUUUAGAAUGUACUAUAUAAUGCCUUCAUAUGGGAACCUUCACGUGUGUGUGUGUGUGAUUUGUGAAAUUACAAGGGGGGAUGGGAAUGCUUACAUAAGCAUGAUAUGAUGCUUACAUAAUCAACCACCACAAAAUCAUAAAAGAAAAAAGAAAAAUAACAGAAUAAAAAACAGAAAAUGAAAUUAAAAAAAAAAAAUGUUCCUUAACUUGGUGACACAAGACAACUACCAAAUACCCAUCAUAGCACACAAAAGCUAAAAGGGCUACUGAAAGAGUAUAUACUUGAGCAGUAGUAGCUAGAACUAACACACAUAUAUCAAAAGUGAAGGAACAAGAAAAGAAUGCUUUGUUUUCUCCUCUUUUGUUUUUGGCCUUAAUCCAAUAGUUCCUUCACGUGACAACUUCCAUCAUAUGUAUCAUUCUCCAUUCUCAAAGUUCAAAUUUUUAUGUACGCACUCAAUUUAAGCUACAAGUGAAAAUAAUUAUUCAAAAAAUAAGAUAAUCAACCUAUUACAGGAAGUAAGAUGAUACUCUAUGAAGUAUAUACUAUAUACUAUAUUCAUUAUCAACGUAAACAAACUAAAUCCUAUAAAUUUUAGUGUCGUUUAUUCUAUGUUAUUAAGUGGAUGUUUCUCAAUAUUAAUUCUUGACGUAACACCCAUAUCAUAGCAUUCUAAGUUAUCAAACAGAUAUAUGAAUACACAUCGUGCCGGUGCUUUAUCAUACUCAAAAAGCAGCAAAGAAUUUGAUGACAUACCCCAUAUAAAAAAUUGCUCAUAAUAUAUAAAUAUAUCUAAUGUAAACAUUAAUUUCAUGACUAAGAUUUUUAGCUUAAUCUCGACUAGAAGAAAGCUUACAAAAACCAAACACAUAAUCAGAUUGUUUGCAACAAAUUUUACAGUGAUGAAUAAUAAAUUACAAUUACAAAUAAAACAAUAAGAAACAAGAAUAUUUUAUUAAUAACGAAUAUGGGUACAAUUCUGUCCUCCCUUGAUUGAUAUCUCAUGAUUUUUUCCAUAAUUCGAGGGCCGUAGCGUAUUUCUCGAACAUAGGAAUAUGGAUCUCCGUAAUUCGAGGACCGUUAGUGGCUUAUUCUCGAACAUAGGAUGAUCUCUUUAUUAAUACCCCAUAAUUUUGUGGGAUAUUGGAGAUCGCGAUCUUUUUACGAAUACCCAUCAGCUUAUGGAAUAUUCAAGAUGUCUGUUUCAAGGAACAUGUUACCCUUUAAGUAGGCGAGAUUUAAGUUGAAGUAGUCUUCUAGAACUCUAACAGAAUUUGAAUUCUUAUUAAAGAGUGCACAAAUUUUAGAUGUCUACACAGAUAUAGUAGUGAAGGAGGAGAAAACAAAUGAAUGAAACACCAUCUCCAAAAAACAUUAACUUCAAGACAAGCAAUAUAGUUAUAGGUAUACAGCCAUCGAGUGGACAAAUUUUAGAAGCAACAGAACGUACGUAGGGCCAUAACUCAUAUGGAGUGUGGAUAAAUUGCAGUGCAUGUGGUUGCCCUUCGCAGAUCAUCUCUUGAUUUUCUGUUCCACAUGGCAUGAUAUAGAGCUACCUAAGUACACAUCACAUUUCAACCUUGAUCUUUUUUUUAAUUUUUUGCUAUUGUUGGUGUCUACAUGGUAAUAGUACUUUUUAUUUAAACAAUAAAAAAAAUGUAUUGUACCUUUCAAAUACCAAUCAUAAAAUAGAAAAUCCAAUAUGGGAAAACUUUCUUCCAUAUAUCGACAUUGCAUAGUGAUGAUCUUGAUUUGUUACAUACAUUGUUUUCAUUUACUAUGAAAUUAAAGUAGCUAGCAGAGCUAAUCAAGUUGGUGGCAGUUUUGCAUGCUACAAAUUAACAAUACUAAAUAGAAAUGUAAUUAAGGUUAAUUAGAUCCUAGCUUAUUGGAUCUAAUUAAUUACACAUACAAUUAAUAAUGACGUAGAUCCAACUAGCUAGCUAGUGCGGCAAACUAAUUUCAUCAAGAUCAUCUAGUGAUAGAAAAACUUCAUCCAAGCAUGAUAGCUCUGUGCCAUUAUCGUCGUCAUCAUUAUCACAAUUGCGCUCGUAUACACGACAUAUUACCCAACCGCUAUAGUCCUGGAAAUAACAUAUUAUAAAAAAGAAUACGUUAAGAAAAAGUUGGUUCACGAGCCAUAAUACAUAGCAACAACAAACAUGUCUAGCGUAAUCCCACUAAGUGGUGUUUGGGGUGGGUAGAAUACUCUUCGUAGUCCGUACCACUACCUUAGAGGUGAGGUAGAGAGGCUGUUUCUGAUCGACCAUCGGUCCAAUAGCCAUAACAUAUAUAGUUUAAUUUUCAUAAAUCAAGGUGAAUAUAUACUUACGAUUUUGGAACGGCUUUUUCUCCUAGAAGAUGAACGGCUACUUGCAGAAGCAGAAGAAGAGUCAGAAAGACUAAAUUCUUGCAUAACCCAAUUGGUUCUGGCACCUUCAGGUUUCUCACCAAGGUAAAAAGCAUAGUAUUUCUUCAUGCCAAUAUUACUGUCACUUGAACUUGAGAAUAUUGGUUCAUCAACUCCUAAUGAUUUCCAGUAUCCGUUUUCAGUGAUUCUACUUUGUGUCCUCCGGCUAUAGAAAUACCAUUUGUUGCCUUCUGCCAUUGCUUUUCCUGUCCAAAAAAUCAUACAAGCGAAUAUAUAUUAUUAAGUGAUCAAUAAAGCAUGUGUCUCGAUCUCUAAAACAGUUCAAAUUUUUAAAUAAGAUGAUCAUAAAGUGAAGUCAAUAAGUGCAUAUAUGUACUCGCGCUAUCUGACGAGAUAUAAUUUAUAAGCUUUCAGAUGAAUGAUCACAACUGAGAAUAACAUAAGAGAUGAUAUGAGGUGGAGAAAUGAAAGUAGAGAAAAUAUAUAGUAUACCAUCCAAGUCCCAAGGAUCAUAAGGGUAAAGAUCAAGAUCAGGAAUGACAUCAGGAUGACAAGGUAAAAGAGCAACCUUGCGAUGGAGAAAAUGAACAACUAACUCUUCAUCUGUUGGGUAGAACCGAAAGCCAGGUGGCAGGUUGACAUUACUAUCCCCCAUCAAUAUGUAGUUUUUGUUAACUAUAUGAAGAAGAAGAAGAAUAUAUUAGUACAAUUGUAUGUAGUAGAGGAGGAGGUAGCAAUUAAGGACAAAGUAAUGGUAUAAAAGAUAUGGAAGUAAGAUAUUUAUAGACAAGCAUAAUGGAGAGAGAGAAUAUUAAAAGGGAUUGACGUGAGAAAUAAGGUGCUUUAGGGGAUCAUCAACACCACCACCACCAUACUUUCAUUAAUUUCCCAAUUCUGUGUGUGUGUGUUGCUUCAAAGAAGGUUUUACUUUCUUUGAAGGAAUAAAUAAUUAAUGCUAGUAUAAUAUAUAGUCUGAUGAUUUGGCUGGCGGCUCUCUUUGCUCCAAGGCGGCGGGUGCCUCCUACACCUAUUUAUCUGAAUAUUUGGUUCCAAAUCAUACAUAAUGGGACCUGCUUCUGUUCGACUAUGACAUCUAUACUAACUAAAAAAAAAUUAAGAGUUAAUAGGAAAAACCAAAUUACUUUAAACAUCCCAUUUUUUAAGUUUUAUAUCCAAAUUAUCGUUAUCACUUCUAUAAGUCUUCUAUCUGAGCUAUAUAUCGUUAUUAAUUUCUUAAAACAUCUCUUAAAACUUGAAUAAUUAAUAGCUUGAGAGAAGUAUCAUGCUGAAACUAGUUUAGAAUACAAUAAGUUUGAUACAAAUUUUGUAUGUUUAUUAAGAAAACCAUUAAUAUGUACACUCAAUAAACUUCAGAAUCAUAAACUUAAUUUCAAAUCAUGAUAUUAUCACAUGAAAAAGUAUGUGAAAGCUAAUUACGCAUUUAUCACUUCUCAAAUGUUUGUUAAACCUCGGGCUAGGCCUAUAUGGUAGGACAUGGCUUCAUAAACAAGGUGAUUAUAUUGUACUUACAAGAUGAUCUGUAUAUAUUAUGUGCGUUUUAUUACUAUUGGAAGAUCUAAAGUUUAUGUGAUAUGUAUGUAUCAUUAUAUAUUAAUGAAAUAUUAAUUCGGAAAUUAAAGGCUCGAUGUAAUUUUAUAAGAUCAAUCUUUUUAAAUUUAAAACAAUAUAAUAUGUUACAACUUGAGUUUGACUUGCAGAUACAACUUGUUGAGUUCUUACUUUUUUUCAGGUACACCCCCUGCCCCUGGUUGCCAAUGGAACAGUGAUGGAUUUGCCUACAACAUCUUCAACGUUCAUUUGUGGAAAUAAUUAUGGGAUUUCAUAUAUUAUUAUAUUCUUUAUACGAGUCAAAAAUGGUUGAUUUUUGAACGAAGUCUCUAUGUGGUGAUCAUGUAAAUAGUGUCCGGAAAUUUUACUUUUUUGGAAAAAUUCACACAUAAAAUUAGUCACUUAGAUGAGAUAAAAUAAUUUUGUGAUUUGUGAUCUUAUUGAUAUAUAACGGAUAACUGAUAUUUCUCUCGCGAAAAAGUCGUAGUGCAGCUAAGUAAUUUUCUAAAUUAGUAUUGUAUUAUAUGUUGAAUUGUUAUUUUUUUUUUUUGAACUUUUUCUUAUGUUUACUUUUUUUAUAUUUUAACUAUGUUUAUGAAAAAUUUGGCUUCACUGUUUUUGUUGUUAGCUAUGAGAGCUUUCCACCAUAAACUUACUAGGAGAUGUGAUUGUGACUUUUGAGUAAUUACCAUUAGCAUUUACUAGUGUUUAUUGACAUUGGAGAUAUAUCAGUAGCAGUAGCAGGAUGAAAAUGAUGGGCAAUUCUUGGAUCAGAACAAAAACUGGGGUCACAUUUGAUGGUUAAAUAUAUCUCGUCUACUAAAUUUUACAAUGGACAAAAUUGGGGUGGCUUCUUUUUUACUUUGGUCCCUAAAAUAGAUGUGUACCUAUACUAUAGUAGGCUAUUAGCUACUCUAUACUUAUUGGGAAAAUGUGGCUCAUCAUCACACUUCACGCUUAUAUCAUUCUUCCUCCUCAUUCCAUCCACGUGUCAUUUAGAGAUCCAGAGUACAUAUUAUUGGGACUGAUCAUAAGUAUAAUUUAUCUCUUGAAAUAAUUGAGUUCUUACUUCUUAAGUUCUCCCUUAUUAGGAGAAAAAAAACAAUCUCAUUGUUAUUGAGGAGGUUUUUGGAUAGGUUAACUUACAACCAUUACUAUGAUCUUGGUCCCACUAAUUAAUCUCAAAUCUUUAUCUCAUUUACAUUUGAGCCAUUCAUUUUGGAUAAACAUGAUUAUAAUGGGAUAAGUAAGUAACCAACAUUUAUAAUUUCACCAACCAAUGGUAUCACCAAAUUAAAAGAACAUGAUCAAUAAGAAUUAAGCCUUUUUAUGACCUCCAACUUGUUAGUAAUUUCUUCUCUGAUUAUUGUUAAUAAUUAGUGCAUAAGAGACUAAAUAUCAGGUUCAUGGACUUAUCCAACAAAUCGAUAACUUUCUUGUAAGAAUAAUGCACAAAAUUUUGUGCCAAAGAAUAUUUUUUUCUUUGUGGUGCGCCCAUGCCACAAAUACAAUAUAGGUACUGUGCAAGCCAUUAUUAUUGGAUUCUUCUGAUAGACAAGUUUGUGCUUUCAAAGAAUGUGUCCAUGGGCAUAAAUAUAUUUAUAUGUAUAUGUAUAUAUAGCUAGAGCUGCUGUGAGUUAUGAUGGCAGUAAUAAUGAGAAAAAGACUAGGAAGUUCAAACAAGAUAGUGACCUCAAGGCAUUAGCAGAAUCCUCUCUUUUUUUCACUUGUAAAAUUACUGUCACUGGAAAAAAACGUGUACCUCAUAAAAUGCCCCUUUGUUUUCGUCAUGGUCUAUUUGGUUUAAAUCCAAUUAAUUGGAAGCUGAUCAAUCUCCUGACUUCAUUUUUGUGAUAAUUGUAUAAGAUGUCUCUUUCACCACUUUGGGAUAUUGCAACUUGCUUAGACCACGGUUGAUGUAAUAGCCGCUUGUUAAUCCAAAAUCUAAAAGCACGAAACGCCGAUUAAAAUUGUAGUGGAGUGAUAAAUAUUUCUUCAUCUAUAAUUCGAGGUCUCGCAUUCAAGUUUUGGUAUAGAGUUGUCUCUAUUAGGGAGCGUGUUACUAAUCACUAUUGAAAUUUUCCGACGCAAAUUCAAAUUUAAUCUAAUCUCGAUCAAGAAUAAACAGAAAUCGAAGUUAUCUUUGACACUACUAAAGCGAUUUUGUUUUACUCACCUACCAAAUAGAUUUAGCACAACUAACAAGCAACUUUAGUAUAGAUAAUCCAAAGAAACCCAAUGUUGGUACAAAUCAACUGUUUUCGUGUUAUAAUAAUUGUACUUACCCUAUAAAUAUUGUGUCUUUUCUCGAUAAUUAUCUGAACAUGACUUAAUGGUUACACUAUAAGUCCUUGUCUAAAUCUUUGUAGGACACAAAGGAUAAUGCACCAUCUAGUUUGAACAAUUAAUCGUUUUGAUAAAUUAGAUUUAUUUUAAAGUAUUUAACUAGAAAAACAAAACAAAAUAUUUAUUACUGUUUCUUUUAUCAAAAAAUUAACCUUUUCGGCUUGAAUUUGUGGAAUGUUAUUAAGUGGGACACUUACAUGAUGAUUUUAAAGUUUAAGCAUAUAGAAGUACUUAUUAUUUGACUAAGACUAAGAAAUAUUAUUUUCGAAUAGUGAUAAGUAAUACGGACAGCAAACAAUAAUUAUCUACAACAAUUGACAUCAAUUUGUGUGGGAAAAAAAUUGGCUUAAAUCAUUGUCAGUCACUUAAAUUUAUCCCGAAAAUUCACUUAGACCCCUCAACUAAGGCUUGUACCUAUCAGAUUCCUAAAGUGCUAAAUUUGGUACUUAUCAGACACAAAAUGCUGAUUUGGCAAGGAGAGUGCGCGUGAAUAGUGUCUCAAAUGAUUUUUUUUUUUUUUAAAUCACAUUUAUUUAGUACAAUAAUAAAUUUUUAAUUAAAAAAAGAAAAAGAAAAACAGUGGAAGCCAUGAACUUUAGCCGUGGAAAACUGUUCAAAUUGUUAAUACAUGAACUUUCCGACGAAAGUUCCGGCUAUGAUGGAAAACUUUAACAGUGGAAAACAAUCUUGUUAACAUAGAAGAAUGGCUGGCGAUAUUAACAUUAACAAUGUAUUAACAAUUUGAUUUAGGUGGAAAACUUUAGCAGUGAAAAACAAUCUUUUUUUUAGAAAUCAAAUUGUUAAUACAUGAACUUCUUUUCUUUUUCUUUUGAUUAAACUUUUCAGAAAAGCUUAGUGACCAAGAGCAUAAACAAGUUUCGCCGGAUUACUGAGUUACUAAGUUUUGAAAUGCAAAUUCUUAAAAUUGAAUUUCUGAUUUAUAUUUUUUGUUCUUCUGGUCGCCAUUGAUUUCGUCUUCAGUGGCAACUUAGGAUGACGAAGGGAAGUUGAUGGAGGAGGGAGGGGCGGGGUGGGGUAGAUCAAUUGUCAUUUGUGGGUGGGUGGGUGUGACGACAUGGGGGGUUAUGGUGAAGAAGACAACUACUAGGGGGUGGUUUUUUUUUUUGAAUUAAAAAAUUAUUAUUAAAUAGAUAUUUAAAUAGAAAAAUAGAAAAAAUUAAAAAUUCUACGUAUAAUUUUUUUUUUGCCACAAUUUUUUUUUAAUUGAUUAAUUUUGUCACGUCAAGCGAGUGUAUUACACACACUCUAUGUUUGUUAUUGAUUACAUAAAAAAUAUUUGAUUGGAUCAAAAUUUAAGAUGUUAGGAAUAUGAUAAGUAUAUAUUUUAGUUGAGGGUCUAAAUUAAUUUUCAAAAUAAGUUUGAGGAUCUACCAAUGUCUUAAGCCAAAAAAAAAUUCAUAAUUGCAAAGAUUAAUGAAAAGUGAACUUGCACUCAAAAGUCAUUGUUAUAUGUAUAUUUGUGUGUUAAAAAGUAAGAAAGAGCCGUAAUAGAGUUUGAAGUGACUGAAUCUCUAGUUGUGAAGUGUGAACAAGUGAUGACUACAUUGUUGUGUCAUUUCUUUGCUUUUUUUAAAAAAAAUAAUUUUUAAUUUUAUUUUUCUUUGUGUAAUUUGGAUAUAUCAUAUAUAUUUUGUGGAGGGCCACAUUUUAUUUUUUUCCAGUGUUAGUGGCAAGAAUCAAAACUCAUGUUUAUCCACGAAAGUUCAUAAUGUGACCAGAGGCGGAGCUAGCCUAUUAAAGAGGGUUUGAACGAAUCCUUUUUGACAGAAAUUUAUAUUAUUAAUAUGCGAUUAAAAUAUUUUUUGUUUAUAAAUUCUAGAUGUUGAACCCCCUUCAAUGAAUUUUUCUUAAAACUUUAAAUCCCUUAACAAAAAUUCUAGCUCCGCCUUUAAAUGCAACGUACUUCACUUUUUGCCUAACAAUUUGGUCAUCACUUGCAUUCUUAAGAUAACGAAUUACUUAAUGGAGCUCUGGAUUUGGAUAUAAGAAUAUCUGCUAUGCGUCCAAUAAUAGAAACCAUUGGAUUAGGUUAGAUAGAUUAGAUAAAAAAGAGUGAGAAUUUAAUGGUUCUACUUUUGGUGUGUGGGGGCGUGGGGGUGGGAGUGGGGGUGGGGGAAGAGAGACCAAACAACUACAAUUACUAUUUGUUGAGUUUUGGGAAUUGUGUGCUAUUGUUUUUUUUGUAAUCGUAUUUUCUAGAUCAAUUUGGGUGUAUUUUGAUUAAUUUUAUGAGGUAGUAGGUUUUUAUUAGGUAUAGUUAAUUAAAAUUUGAAUUUAAGACUUUAUGAUUCUCACCUACGUUUUAACCUCUAAGCCACUUUGGGUGCAUACAAUUGUGCUAUUUUUAUGACAAUAGACAGGUAAAAUUUUGGGUUCCAGCUUAAUUUAAGUAAAGUUACAUAAAUCUCAAUUCUUUUGGAGCUAAUUAUUUUUUAUCGCAAUUUUUCAAAAAUUAUUAAAAAAAUCCUAAUUAGUCCAUAGAUACAUCACAUUCUUUCGAAUAUAUCAAUUAAUUUUAUACGAAUACAUCUCAUUCUUUCGAUUCAUCAAUUAAUUUUACAUGAAUACAUCAUAUUCUUCUAGAAACAUCACUUAGUUUCACAUAAAUACAUCACAUUUUUAAGUGAUGUAUCUAAACUUUUAAGUAAAAUUAGAAAUUUAUGUAAAUUAUUCCAAAAAAUUAAAAUUUUAAAUAAUCAUGAUAAAUGAAGUUAUAAUAUAAUAUUUUUUUUUCUUAAUUUAAAUACAAUUAAACAGUCCAUUUUGAGGGGAAAUAAUCCCUACCAAUAUCAACUCCAACACGUUUAAGAAUGAGAAAAUAUUUAUCACCUCAAAUUUUUAUUUAAUGUAAUAUUUUUAAGGAUCAUUUGGUAGAGUGUAUAAGAAUAAUGCAGAAUAUAGUGUAUUAGUAAUGCUUGUAUUAGUUAUGCUGAUAUCGUUUCUUAUACAUUAUUUGGUUUGAUGUAUUAGAAAUAAUAUAUCUACAUAAUUUAUAUAAAAGAAAUGUUUGUUUAUAAAAAUACCCUUCUUUGACUUAUUACACUUUUUCUGCAAUAAAGUUUUUUGUCAUCUCAAACAUAAUCAGUAUUGUUGAACUAGUAUAUAGAGGUUUAAGAUUAAUUGCAAGACUUUCAUCUUUACGCAUGAAAUAUUACGCCGACGAAUUAACAUAGUCGAAACAAAAAUAAAAUAUAAGAUGUAGAAUUAAGGAAUAGUCUCAAGAAUUUUUUUUAAUUUUUUUAAAGACCCUAGAAGCAAAGUAAAGAUAUGUUGCAGUUAUUUAAAUCAACUAUUCAUUGUUGUAAAUUAAAAUGAUGGAAAAAGGAUUGUAAAAUCUUUUGAGAAGAUUUACCGUUGCAAAUUAAAAUGGUGGGAGAAGGAAUUAUGAAAUAUUUAAGAGAAAAAUUGAGGAGUAUUAAGGUCAUUUAAUAAAUUAAUGCAUGUCUUUAAAGUCUUUGUAUUACUAAUACAUAGGAAAUAAUGUGUAUCACUAAUACACACCUCAAUAUAGAAUAAUGUGUAUAACUAAUUCUUGCAUUAGUUAUACAUAGGCAAAAAGAUGUAACAAAUAAGAUACUAGUAACACACACAUUAACUAAUGUAGGGAUUAUAUUUUUUCAAUACACUCUAUCAAACUAUCUUUUUUUAAGUAUCUGAAUCUUUGAAGGGAAAGUAAAGACAAAGGGAAAAGGAACAAAAAAGAACAAUUGCAUAGGGAGCCAUGUGGAUAAUAAGCCAACUCAAGAUGGAACUGCAGCUACCAUUCAUCAUCUUAUCUUCAGUACAUCCACUAAUUUGCUCAUAAAUCAUGGGCCAUACCAGCACUAACUACUUGGGCUUUCCCUUUCCAUGGGCCUAUGGCCGAUCCAGCCAAUUCUGAAAUGGGCUUCAGGGUAGGCCGGAAUGUAUAUCGAUGUGAUGAUACAAGUAGGUAUACAGCUAGCAAUAAGCCUCUCAGAACUCAACACACUAAUUCCUUCAUGAAUUAAACAACAGCUUUAUUUUGAAACCCAAAAGCAGCCGUCUACUAGUGGCUAUUUUUCAAUUACAAGUGUUGUUUUGUGAAUUUUUCCCUCUUCUGGCAUUGGUCACUGUUAUGAACCAUUUUGGCUGAGUCCAGAAUGCAACAAGUCUUACGUCAUAUGGCUGCUAAAAAAAUGUGAUCAAAUAAUUCCUUGGGCAAGGAGUCAUGUGUAGUGCACAAGAUCAUACAAAUGCGGAAGUUAACAUUGCAAUUUGCGGACGCUUAUAACCUCGGCAAAUUGCAAUUUCAAUCUGCCACAAUUUACCACUUUUUUUUGUAGUAUUACUUUAGUAAUUUGUUGUCUUUUUUAUUCUUCUACUAUCUUCUUUCUUGUACUUCGAUUAUCGCAGUAUUUUGUUGUAGUAUUAGUCAUAUCUUUUUUUCGAUCUGCUUUAAAUAAAUUGUUUUUCCUUGAGUCGAUGGUCUAUCGAAAAUAACAUUUACCUCCCAAGACAAGGAUAAGGAUUGCAUACAUUCUACUCUCCAAGAUCGUACUCGUGAAAUUGCAUUGGAUAUGUUGUUGUACAUGGGGGGUAUAUGUGAUGUGAAAUUCAUGCCUUGUCUGGUGGUUUUUAGGACAAAAAUAAUGAGCAUGCCAUCCACAGAGAGGCCACAAGAUCUUCAUUAUCUUAAUUCCAGAGUUUUAGCAAAGUCACUACAAACUUUGAAGACUCCACUAAUCAAACACUUAAGUUUGCUUCCAUAAAGUAUACCAAUGUCCUUGUAUCUGUCAAACAAACAAGUUUACUUUUUAUUUUGUAAAAAGUUAAAAUUAAUCUUAGCCUAACUCACACUCAAAAGCUAGCUCAUGAGGAGGAGGAUUGUCCAAGCCUUAUAAAGAAACCACCCAUCUCAUUGACAAUCAAUGUGAGACUUUUUUCUCAAUCUUUAACACCUCACCUCAUGUCUAGUCCUAGUUAACUGGGCGUGGACAAUCUCCUCGAAUCUAAAUCGGGAGCCCAACAUUGGGUGAGAAUGGGCCCUUCUCUGAUACCGUGAUAAAAUGUGAGCUUGAAAAGCUCAACUCUGCAACAAUGGUGAACUCUUAACAGAAGAGAAUAGAAAAGAAGCUGGAAACUGUAAUUUGUAUUGAGAAAAGUAUCUAAUCUACCCUCUCUUGUACAUCAACCCUCUAUAUAUAGAAGUGUAGUGAAGAAGCAGAAGAAGAAAGAAAAAUAUUUCGAUGACAGCUGGCAAUACAGUUGUUCGUUACCACAUCUACACUAACUUCUAUGCUCACUACUUAACUACGAAUGAUCAGUCACAGGAUUAGUAACUAACUGACAAACUAGGACAGUCCAUAAAAUGUAAUAGUACUCAUAGAUGAAAGAGAAGUUUUCGAAUAAUAUAUGAGGAUUGUUGUACAGGAAAGCACUUGCAUCAACACAGAUAUGAGUCAUAUAUUAUACUUUCUUAUUGUAUUAUAAAUAUGGAGUGUGCUCUAGCUAAGAAAGCAAAAUAUUAAAGUAUUCCAGGAAAGGUGCCAUCCACAUAGUGGCCACAAGCUCUUUCAUUGAAGAAUUCAGAAGGAAGAAAUAGAGUUGAUUCAUUAAAGCCAAAAAGCUCUAAUAUAAUCUUACUGUUGUUUAACAUGUGAUGUCCUGUGGUUUUAGGAUACAAAUAAUAUAUCUUUCAAUUAAAAACAAGCAGAACAGUACUGCAUCAAACAACAACCUAGUGCAGCUUUUGCUAAUUUUAACAACAUUAAACAUCAUGCAUCCACAUUUUUUAUUUCAAUGUCAUACAAGGCAUAAUUACAUUACAUUAGCUGAUCCGCCAAGAAAGCAACUACUAGCAACUAGCCAAUAGAGGAAAAAAAAGGUCCAUCUAAAUAUUAAAUACCCACCAAAUGGAGGUGGUUUUAUGAAGAGAGAUUUUGAAGGAAAAAUAAGGAAUAUACAAAAUAACUAUUACAAGUGACAACAUCAUAUCCUAAGUAUUUAACAGAACACUUGCAGAGGAGUCUCACAAAACUGAUACAAACAUUUAUACACAGUUAAUUCUAAAGGAAAAACUGAAUAGUAGUUCACGAAAGUACAAAUCGCAAAUCUAUUGUCUGCCAAGAGCAGAGUGAACAGCUUCACAUUAUUGCAUUUUUCAGGUUUCCCCCAAGCAAAGUCAUGAGGCCACCACCAUGAACUCUGCCCUCUGGAACAACAUACUCAAAGUUGUUGUUUGUGUUGCGUCUUCCAAUCCCAAGGUCGGUGCUUCUGUCAUCCGGCUUCUCUGAACAAGUUAAUGAGGCCUUCAUUGACAAGGGUACCAAUACCUGUGGUGGUAUAAGUUGCUGUCUUUCAGCUGGCGUAUCGAGUGAAUGAACCGAAUCUGAGACCAUGCUCACCAUAGAUGAAGAACGAUUGUUCUCAAAAGAGCUCUUUGCAUGAGAGGCAGCAGGGACCAGUCCAUGGAAAAGUCCUGGUCCGAUCAUGCCUCCUUUAUUUGUAUUCUUCCCAUUUAACAAGCUGCUGUGAGCAGCACAUAGCCCUCCCCUGCCCCUGGCAAACUUCUCGCAUUUCCCCUCUCCCCAGCUACAACGCUUACCACCACCAUGAGCCUUGCAAAAGUCGGUGCUUCCUUGAGCACUCUUUUCACAGUUCUCAAACUUGCAGCGUUUCCCCCCUCCAUGCCUAACACAACAAUCAGUACGCCCUCUAGCACUCUUGGUGCAUCCUGGAACAGCACACCUCUUCCCACCGCCAUGGGCAACACAAAAGUUUGUGCCACCGUGUACGCUUUUGGGGCAGAUACCACCACCAUCAAAGAGACACCGCUUUCCACCACCAUGUGCUUUGCAAAGAGGCGUACUCCCUUCAGCUCCUUUGGUGCAGCCAGCAAAUAUGCAACGCUUUCCACCACCAUGUGCUUUGCAGAACAAAGUGCUCCCCUGUGCGCCCUUUGAACAACUAGGGAAUUGGCAACGGCGUCCACCACCAUGUGAAAUGCACAAGCCAACUUUCCCCUCAGCACUUCGAGUGCAUCCUUCCAUAUUGCACCUCUUUCCUCCACCAUGCUUGAUGCAAAGGCCUGACUUGCCACGUGCUGCUCUAGUGCAACCUCCAGCAAAGCCACAACGCCUUCCACCACCAUGUGCUAUGCAGUAGUCAGUCUUUCCUUCAGCACUUUUAGUGCAUCCCAAGUGCUCGCACCUCUUCCCUCCUCCAUGGGCCUUGCAGUAUGCAGUCCUACUUUCAGCACCUUUGUUGCAUCCAGGUUUCUGGCAUCUCUGUCCCCCGCCAUGCCCAAUGCAAAGACCUGUCGCUCCUCGAGCUCCUUUGGAGCACCCUGGAAACUUGCAUCUCUUGGGAUUGGUUAUUUUGCGUGAGGAUGUAGCCAUUGUCGUUGGUUCAGAGAGGUUACUCAUGGAGUAGUCAGAGAUACAAGAAGGUUCAGAGCUCAGCUCAGGGAGGUGGAAAUGGGAUUUUGCACCCUGCUCUAAAACUUCCUUAUUUUGGAAGGAUCGUUGGCUGUUCUCAAUUCUUGGAGCCAGAAGAAGUGAAGGCAUGUAACCACCCGACUUCUUGGCUGAUGUGGAACCUUCGUCCAGGAUAGGGAUCGCAGGUCUUUUACCAUCUGGAGAUAGCUGAUUGAUAUGAAGAGGAGCACCGGCAGAACUCUGAGUGAUAGCCGAAAAAUCAAGUGCAUCGGAAAUUUCAUUGGUGCUCCCUGAGAGGCCAAGUUUGAGGAUAGAAUCAGUCUCAGAUAAUACCCCGUGAUUCAACAAGGCUGUAAACCCUUUAUCUUUAUUAGAUCCACAAGGGUAAUAGUCGUCCGAACAAAUUGUAGGCGUUGGCCCCAAACCAAGCACCAAUUUACACCCGUCAUCAACAGCAUUCUGUUGCAUAAUAUGGCUUCUGCUGUUGGUUCCACUGCUAACAAAUCUCACACACUCAUUUCCUCCAUAACCAAAGCAAUCUAAUCUUAAUGUUGUAUCACUCCUUGGGAGCUCAACAUCUGGAACACGGUACAUACUGCUCUUAUUAGGAUCAAAGGAUGUUAUCAUACUACACUAGGAAAAAGUUUACCUGAAAAAUAAAAUGAACUAAACAAUCUUAUCACAAAUUAAUAGAGAAACUCAUAAAUCGAAACAAAGCAAGCGAGUAAAUUAAAUCCUAGUGAGCAACUCCUCCACUCACAAACCCUGAUGUGUCUGCUCGAUCCAUUUUAUCUAAUCUUGGAGAGGGACAUCAAGGGCUGUAAAUAAGACCAGGACAGGUUUCAGGAUUAGAAACUGAUGACAGAAGGUACCAGAAGAGAAUAACAAAUCAUGUCUCUCAGUACAAAUCUUAGUUUAAUAACCUGGAAAAAAAGAAAAAGAAAACAGCACGGCAGAAUUCCUCAAUGGUUAAAUAUGGGAAACGGGAAGGCUUUCUUGGCUCAAGCAUAAUAUUAACAAUCACAAGCGAUAUUUCUGCAUUAUCUACUUCUCUUUAUUUAACAAACCAAGGACAAGUUGCACUUUACAUAAAUCAAUGUUAACAAUAAAAAGCUUAGCUUUCACCUUCGAAAGUUAGUCAGGAGAAGAACUUUUUCCACAGAGUAAGUUGGUUAGAAUCGGCAUAAUUUUAAUGGCGUAGAAACUUACUCUGAUUACAUUAUACGACAAACAGAGGACCUUAAUCUACUUAUUGGGAAGUCAUCAGCUAGGAUAUUAGGUGCUUCCUUUUUCCAAGUGAAAUUCCAAUUUCUCAUGCCUUUGACUAAAGAUCACUACACUAGAGAGGAGAAGUAGAAGCUUCAAACGAAUGAUAUCUACACAAAAAUAGUUCAAGAAUCGUAACCGAAGAUAAGUAAAGAUUAUUAUAUAAAACACCAAUUUCUUGAAAUACAAUCAAGAUUUCUAAAAAUACUGUCCUUAUUGCCUCUUUUCAUUUUUUUGUUUCCUUUUUCCAGUUUACUCAAACCCUGUAUAUGUAUUAAGAAAUCUACUAAUUAUGUAAAAAUACUAAAUUCAGUUGGUUUAGUGGCAUCUCGAACCUAUAAAGUUCAAAUCUUGGAUCCGGCUCUAAGUUGGGGUUGACCUUUAACUUCACGUAUUAGCAACCCCACACUAAUACACUAUCCUAUUUUGAACCCAACAACAACAAACACAGAAUAAUCCACAAGUAGGAUCUGGGGAGGCUAGAUGUUAGCAGACCUUAUCCCGUAGCUUCCUAUUUCUAACCAAACAAAAAUGAAAGAUACUCCACUCUCUGAUCAAUAAAUUAUAAAUCUGAUAUAUUACAUCUUACACAACAUUUAUAUCAAUUCAGUCUGCAGUUAUUUUGAUACCAUUGGAAAGAAGUUGAGGUGUAUAAGGAAAGUGCCACAACCCAACAUAAACAAGGAAGCAAAUUGUUCAACAAUCAUUCUUGAAACUCUCUUUAUGACCUUGUCAAAUACAAAUUUUGCUCAAGUACAAACUGUCAAAAACUAACCAACUACAAAACGGGAUCGAAACUCCAAAAAUAUUGAAACAAAAAAAAAGAACAAGAGAUUCAAAACUUUGGCCUAAGAGUAACAACAUAAUCAUGUUAAGCAAAAAAGUACUUUAACAAAACACAACAAAUACAAUAAAAAAGUUAUCAAUUAAAUAGUUUUGGGAUUAAUUACACAGCAAAAGAUAAAGAAAAAAAAAACAAAUCUUUCAUAAUUACGAGAUAAAUAAAAUAAUUUGCUGUUCGUGUAAAAAACACAAAAAACAGGAAACUAUAUCUGUAUCUUUAAGUACUUGAGAAAGCGAAAAAAAAAAAAAAACAGAACAAGGGAGAGCUACUAUAAACAGAAAUGUGAGAAAACACAGCAUUUAUGAGCUAAAUGAAAACAGACCGACACGGAAUUAUUAUCAAUAAAACAAAAAGAACUAAAUUACAGGUACCCAAAUUGAGAAAUGAAUAAAGGAACAAAGAGAUUGAAAGAAUGAAGAAAUGAAGAAAAUACCCUUUGGGGAGGAGAUUCCCAUUAGAGCAAAUUAAGCUGACAAUUUCAAGAAUCAAAUUGAAGGAAGCCACCCUCAGAAUAUAGUAUUCUUAUUAUUCUAGAAAGAGAAGUGAACCUUUUUUGUGCUCCUACAAAGUGGAGUAUAAAGAUAAAUAAUAAAGACAACAAAUAGAGAGAGGAAGAGAGAACAAUUAUUAGGUAAUACUACUUUUUUUUUGAUAAAUAAAAUUUGAUAGUAUGUGCUUCCGUUCAUCUCUUAUAGUGUGAUGAUCAAGCGUACACCCAAGAACUUCUUGUUGGUUUUCAUUUUACAUCUUUGCCCCUCAUCAUCAUCUUUAAUUAACCAGCAACAACAACACAUCUAGUAUAAUUCCACAAACAACUUAUCUCGAUUUAAAAGAUAAAAGACAAACAAUUCAGUAAAAAGAAGUAAUACAAGUAUAAGAAAUUACAAAUAAUAACAAUAACAACGUAGCAAUACAACAAUACGAUAAUAAAAUAACAUGAUAAUUAAAGUACAACAUAUAAAUAACAAUCAAAAUUGAAGGACCAAAACUAUGAGAGCAGUACUAAUAUGGACAGAUAACAAAACAACACACUAUUACUUAGUGACCUUUAAAAAAAUGAAAUGUUCCAUACAAAUAUACAUAUUGAUUCUAAUAUAGAAAAUGGUCAAAACUCAGUCAACCUUUAUUCCAAAUCUCAAUUACACACCUAUAUUUUGUGAGGAUUUUUAAACUAUUUUAAAGUGGAAUAUUUACAUUCUCAAAAAUUAAAGCCCAGAGAUUAUUUCAAGCAGUGAGCUGCACUCGCUGCCACAUAAUAUUACUUUUUUUAAUAUAAAAAAUUAAUUAUUUUUUUUAUUAUAUUUUUUCUUUUGUAUUCUUUUUUAGCUUCCUUUUCAAUUUCAUUACUUUUUUUUAAUUUAUUUCAUGUUCUUCCACAAUAAUGAUUCUCCAUUCUUUUGUUCUUCUUUUUUGUUUUCCUUUCUCUUCAUUUGAUUUUCUUCAAUCUCAAACCUUUGUUAAAUAGUAAAUUCAAAGUCGACUAUUAAACUCAAAGUUUAGGAAAAAAAAAUUACUUCAAGAACGAAAAUUUGCACUGCUGCACACAUUUGCUUCAAGAACAAAAUUUUUUAUUUCUGUAUUUGUUAUGUAAGUUCAAUUGCAAACUCGUUGUUCAAUUGGAACUCAAGAAUUACUAUUUUUUUCAAGAAAUGUGAUGUUGAGAAAGCACGCAAAUUGUUCGACGAAAUGCCUCAAAAAGAAUGGAGGAACUGUAUGAUUUCUAGUUAUGUAAGAAAUGGGAUAUUAGAUUAUACUCAACAAAUGUUUGAUACAAUGACGAGCAGAAAUCUCGUUUUUCAAUCCUGUUCCUUUUUCUUUCCUUUUUUUUUUUUUUAUUUCUCAACUAUGAAAAUUGAUGUUGAAUUUACGAUUGUGAAAAAAAUUGGUGUUGAUUUUGAUUAUGUUGUUGAUUUGAUUGUUUCAAUUUCAAGAAAUGUGGAUUUGAAUGAUGAUUUAUGGUUUGAGAUUGAAAAUUCAAUCGAUGUAAAUUUAAAAGAUUUCAAGAUUCCACAAAAUGUGCAUAGAGCAUUGUUGGAAGUUUAUAUUUCAUUUCAUGAGAACGAGGAUUCUCGGUAUGGUAAGUUGGUUAAUGAAUAUGUAAGUUUGAAUAAUCUUAGUGUUUCGAGGAAUGAAGCUUUUAGGGAGGUGAUUGUUAGUUUGGAUGAAAUUGUAUUUGGUAUAGUCUAGUCAUUUAUUUAUAAUAUUUACUCUAAAUUGAUUUGUUCUCGCUCUCUUUAAAGAGAGUGAAAUACACUUUCUUAUCAUAUCAGUAUUCAGAAAGUAAUAAUUUCAUAAAAUAUAAAUAUAUAAUUAAAAUUCGAAGUAAAUGUUGAGGGAGUAUUUGAUCAUUUUCUCAUUCUAACAUGAAAUUUUAGUUAAAAGCGAAUAUAUCUCAAAUUAUUUUCAUUUGUUUGUUUAUUUGGGUUGGUGAUGAUGCCCUUUACCGUCAAUAGCAAACCAGUUGUAUGAACGGUUUAAAGCUUACGGCCCCAUUGAUAUGAACGUCGUAUACUUUUAUGUGACUGCGACAUUCCGUAACUUUACCAUUUUAUCCUCAAUGAAGUUGACAAAAUGGACAAGAAUCUAAGAGUAAAAAUGUCAUUUAAAUUUUUUUUAAUAAUUUGUAGGCCAUAUUUCAGAUGACAUAACCAAUGUCAGCGGAAAUAAGUGGCCAAUGUUAAAUUGUCCUGUCAUAGCCCGGCCCCCCCCCACCCCGCACGCUCAACACCCCGCAACCCCACUCGCUCGAAAAAAAAAAGAGAGAAAGAAAACAGAAAGAGUGAGCUAUUAACCGAAAAAAUCUAAAUAAACAGUAGGUGGGCAUACAGAGGGUACAGUUUAUAGUUAUAGUUAGCUGCUUCUGACGUAGGCAACCUGUUUGGUACUUUUCUACUCCCUCCGUUCAUUUUAAUUGAUCCUCUUUUUAAAAAUAUUUAUUUCAAUUUAGUUAUCUCUUUUGAUGAAAUCAAAAGAAUUUUAUUAUGUUCUUCUAAUACUAUCCUUAACAUUAAAUGACUAAAUAAAAUAUAUUUACUCAAAUUUAUAUUUUCAAAGCGUAAUUAAUAAGACUAAUUUGAUAAAAUAAAUCCCCUAAUUAAUAUUUUCUUAAUGAGUGUGUCAAGUCUAUAGGGGCCAAUUAAUAUGAAACGGAGGGAGUAUUUCAUUUUUCGUCUUUGUAACAUGUUGUUAACUGAAAUUGAUGUAAUUAUUGAAUAGUAAAUAUUUCUUUCGUUCUAUGUGUUAUUAUUUGAUUGGACAUAAAAUUUAAGAAAUAAGGAAAGAAUUGUAAUAUUUAUCAUAUUGUUCUUUAUUAAAAAAUGUGUUAAGUAUUAUUUUUUUUUAAUUAAAUGAGAUCAAUAAAGAUAAAAAUGAAAUUUUAUUUUUAAAUAGUUACCAAAUAAAUAAAGAUCAUAUUUUUUUUUGACAGACCAAAAAAACUUAUGACGCAAAAAAUGAGACGGGCGAGUAUUCAUUUAGUAAUUAUAUAGUUUAGUAAUGAUUAAAUGCUUGUUUGUUAUAGUGCAAUUAACAAAAAAUUAUGAUGCUCCCUUCGUAAACUUCAAGAUUGAUAAUUUUUUAAACUUUAUAAAAUCAUCACUCAUUUUUUAAACUCUGUACACAAUCAAAAAAUAAUGCAUAAAAUGAAACGGAAGGAAUAAUAAUUUUUUGUAUAUGAUCAAAAAAUUAUUUAAUAAAAGUAAUCUAAUUUUUUUUAAAAAACUUAUAUAAAUAAGUGUUCUCAUAAAGUUUUAACGGCUCAGGUCAGUACCAACGUAAGUAGUACGUAUUUUGUUUACUAAUGAGAGGCCUAAUUAGUAGGUGCCAAAAUAGUUUAUAAAGGACUAGUGACCAAAUUAUUAUGUAUGACGUCAAUAGCACAAAUAAUUAAAAAGUUAGAGCACGAGGCUUCCUCACUCCCCAUUCGCUACAUCCAGACGUUUCCAAAUUGGAUACUUCCACCCAUUAAUUUUUUUCUUUUUCUUUUUUACAAUUUUAUUAUUCACUUCAGUUUUCAUCCUUUAAUUAGUUUUACCUGAUAUCUAUCAUCUUUUAUGAGCAAUUUAAUUUGCACAUUUUAGCUAAUUUUACAAAAUAUCUAUCAUCUCUUAUAAAUAAUAAAUAUUAAUUUUAAAUUUUUAUGAUACUUAAUCUAAGUCAUUGAACAUUAGAUCACACUUCUAAGUGCUCCUCCCAUUCAUUUUAAUUGUCAUGUUUAUUAGGAAUAAUCAGCUUAAAUUAAUAAUUAUUUUAAAUGAUUAAGAUAUGAUUAAUUAAUUAUCUAUUUUUAUUCUUAUUCCUAUUCGAUAAAUUUCAACAAAGAAAAUUACAAUCAAAAGAUACUCCUUCUAGUUUAAUUGCACAUGCCUCGCGCGGAUAACGUUUAAUUAUUUAAAAUUAAAUGAUUUUGUUUAUUGCGCAGAUUUUUAAUAAAGCAUAAAAAUUCAAAUCACUUUUCAAAAAUCUUUCACGCUUUAAACUAAUAAUGUAAACAUAAACAUAGACACAUAUAUGUUUUACUUGUUCCAAGUGAUUGAUAGAUCAUCACUUUUGUGUUUACGUACCUCUCUCCCUUGUUGCCACAGGUUAAGAGAGACGCACCAAUUUAAACCAUAUUUGUGUUACGAUUAUUAUUAUUUUUCUAUAUUUAAAAUCUUUCCUUAUUCUUAAAGUCAAAUCUUUAUAAAAUUAUUGAUUACAUUCUUAUCACGUAUUUAAGAUUUUUUGAAAUCUGGUACUUCUUAAAUUUUUCUUAUUCUAAUAGUUUUACAUUUAUUUUUAGAUUUUUCAAAUCUUCUUAAAAUCAAAUUUAGUUGAUUUAGAAUUCUUAAACUAAUGAAAAAAGUAUCGAUUGUCAUUAAUUUUGAUGAUUUCUAUUAAGGAAAGGUUUUAUCAUAACUAUAUUUAAUUAAUUUUCAACUCUUAAAUUAGGAAUAAACAUUGUAAUUCUGGUGACUUCUAAUAAGAAUUUUUUUUACCAUAAAUAUAUUUAAUUAAUUUUAAACUCUUAAAUAUUAGAAAAAAUAAUGAAAAGUCGAUUUUGUCUAAAGCAAGGACUUUUAACGAAAUACAAAAAGUUCAAACAAUAUUUUUAAGUCUUUCACACUUUUAAUAUAUUAUAGAUUAUAGAUAUAGAUAUAAAUAUAGAUUAUAGAUAGAUUAUAGAUUAAUAUAGCUAUGGAUAAGUGAUAUUUUAAUUUCUAUUAUUCCUUAAUAAGUGUUAUUUUAAAAAAAUUUGCACUUUUUUUUAAUGCAUAGAUGUGUCUAAGGGAAAAUAGCUACUACUUAUUUAGAAAGAGAGAAAGUAAUACUUCCUUCAUUCCAAUAUAAAUGAAUUAUUGAACUAUUUUUUAAUGUUUAAAAUAAAUGAAUUGUUCAUUUAUUGAGGAAUAUUUUAAAAUUUAUUUUAUUUAAUCUUUUUUUUAAUGAGAUUUUUAAGUAUUUUACAUUUUUUAUGAGAAUAAUUAAAAAAAAAAUAAAAAAUAAUAGUAAAAAAAAUCUACAAUUUAUGUUUUAAAUUUUUUUCUUAAUAAUAUGAUAUAUUUUAAUAAUUUAAUUAUUUUAAAAUAGAGGGAGUAUUAGAUUAAAAUUAAAGAAUCCUCCCAACCCUCAGUUAUUGGGGAUUCCAAGAAGCUCCAUAAACUUGCGUGGGCAUUCAUCCACAUUUUCGUUAAUUCUUAUCCAAAUUUGACCAAUAAUAUUCUAUAUAUCUCCCCAUAUGUUUGUGACAUAUUUAUUCUCACGCUGUCACUUUUUAACAUGAUAUAAAUAAUGAUUGAUAUAGUAAUUUUAUUAUAUUAUUUUUAUUAAUAAAUAUUUAAUAUAAUAAAUAUUAAAAAAUAAUUUUAAAAAUAAAUAAGUAAUGUUGAAGAUAAAAUAUAAAAAUAAAAUUAUUAUUUUUUAAUUUGUUAAAAUAAAAAAUAAAAAUUAAAUUAAAAAAAUAAUGACAACUAAAUUUGAACAUAGAACGUACAUGCAUUCAAGAUUCAAUAUAAAUCACGUCCGCUAUGGCUACUUAUUUGAGAACCUUAUUAAUUACCUGUGACCAUAAACUUACAAGAUAGAACCUUUUUUGGAAUUACCUGUAACUAUUUACUUACAAGAUGGGAGCGCUAUAUUAAUCUACCAGUUUCAGUUGAUAUUAUUAAGUAAUUUUUUGAAUAAAUGUUUCAGAAACUUCAAAAUUAUAGUGAACCAUAUCGAAGGAAUAUUUACAUGUGUUUAUAUAAAAUUUGGUUGUCCAUACCAGAAAAUCUAAUUCCUGUAUAACUUUAGGUAACGUAUGAUAUAUUGAUGCCAUCAAAUUUUGCGAUACCAGAAUUUAGGUUUAAAUGAUAUUAUAGGCUUGCAUGCCGCCACAUAAGUAGCAGAAAAUGCAGGCUUUACAUAAUGAUGGUGGUGCAAAAAGUUAUAGCAAUUUUGGGCAUGUCAUCAAUAAACAUAAAAAUUAGAAACAAGUGGCCGGCAUGUUACUAGGUGUCUUUUACCCUUAUCUAUAUAUAUAAUCAAUAAUCUCUCUGUACAUGUAAUAUAAUAUAUAUAUAAUAUAUUAAAAAUGUGAAAAUUCUUAAAAAAGUGAUUUAACUUUUUAUCCUUCGUUAAAAAAACUCUUCUUUAGACAAAAUUAUCUUUUUAUUAUUUUUAAUUCAUUAUUUAAUUAUUUUUAUUAUAUUAACUAGACCUCCUAAAAUAUGUGAAAUUCCUAAAAUAUAUGGUAGGAGAAUUAAUUAAUAUUUUUCUUUCUACUAUACUUCCUAAAAUAUAUGGGAAAAAUUUAUUUUCCUAAUGAUUUGUUCGUGUUUGUAAUGUCACCUAAAUUUUCCUACAUUUAUGAAAAAUGUUGGUUUUCUAAUGUAGGCAAACUACUAAAUUUUCUUAAGUCUAUGGGAAAGAUUGAUUUUUCAAGGUAGGAAAAUUGUUGUAUAAAAAAAUAAUUAUUAAAAUAUAUGAAUAUAUGGAAUAUUUUUAAGAUAUUAAUCAAGUACUAUAUAUUAUUUCAAUUUUUAAGUAAUAUUUUCAUCUACAAGUUGUUUGCUUAGAUGUUUUUCUUUCUACUGUCCAGUUAGAAAAAUACUCCAAAAAUAGGAUCCUAGUAAGGAAAUACUUCUAUAAAUAUUGAGAUUACGUUAAACUAGAGAACAAGCCGGUUUGCCUAUUGGGAGAAUAUGAUUGAUGCUCAUCUAACUUGAUUCGACUGCAUAUCUAAAUUGGUGGAUGCUUGAUUUUCUAACCUUCAACUUGUUCACUAUUUUUGUCAGCAUAAUAGAAUUCAACAUGUGUGUAUAUAUAUAUCUUCUUUGUUUUCAUUCACAAUCAUUCUUUAGGGUUAAAGUUUUCGCUCAAACAAGAAUUAGUUGGAUCAAAAUCGAAGCUUUGUGAUCACUAUUAUAUUUUUUUAUAGUUUACAAGUCAUAGAUGAAUGUCGAUUGACUUUGAAGAAUUUCUUGUGUAAAGGAUAGGUUUAAUUGCAUUAUCGUAAUAUCUCUAUUAGUUUGUUAUUCUGUGAUAGUUUACAGUUCAUAGAUGAAUCUCGAUCGGGUUUGAGAAUUUUUUAUGUGUAAAAUUUAAGUUUAGUUUUAUUGUUUUGAUAUCACUUUUAUCGUAUUAUUUUGUUACAGUUUACAGGUGAUAGAUAAAUGUUGGUCGACCUUGAGAAUUUUUUUAGGUAAAGGUUAGGUUUAGUUGUAUUAUUUUGUUAUCUUUUACAUGUGGUAGAUGAGUAUCGGAGGACUUUGAGAAAAUUUUUGUAUGUAAAGAUUAAAUUUAAUUGUGUUAUUUUGAUGUCUCUAUCAUUGUAUUGUUUUGUUGCAAUUUACAGAUGAUAGAUGAAUAUCGAUAAACUUUUAAAAAUAUUUUUGGUAAACAUUAGGUUUAAUAAAUAAAUUCUCCAUCUUCACAUAAUAAAAAAAUAUUAAAUUUAAUUAUUAUAUUCAUCUUUAUUAUUUAAACGAAUAUUCUAUUUAAUUUAAUGUUUAAACUCAUUAAAGUGAGGUGCACGCGUCUUUACCCCAACCAAAUAUCAUUCACUUACUUGCCCCCCCGGGCAUCCGUCCCUUUUUUUUUUAGAGUCACUCUAUAUUUAUCUCCACGAAGAAAAUGCAUUGAUCCUAAUUAUUUUGAUCCGUACAUGAGUAGAUAUUUCUUGAAAAAAAGAAAUUGACAUAUUACUGUGUUUUUGGUUUGAUCAUUAAAUUAAUCCCACAAAAUUACAUAUAUCUUUCGUAACCAACCUAAAUUUUGAGAAAAUCUCAGAAGUACUAUGUUGUCAACCACAUAUAUUCAUUAUGGUGGUCUCAUGGAAUUAAUGGGGUAAAAAAUGUUAAUUCUAGAUUACUAAAAUUCGUGAACAAACGUAUGAUAGCGUACUGAAUUAGUCAAUGAACUAUAAUUCUGAAGAAUUAUAAUCUGUAGAAAUAAUGUUUUUCAAUGCCCUUUCCCCUGGCUUAAAGGGUAAACUCAUAUACUAAUAAAAACUCAAUAAUAUUGAAAAUAUUGAUUAUUGAUCCUACAACUACAUGGAAAAAAAAAGAGGCUAAUUCAAUUGGAGUAAACAUCAAACUAUAAAAAAUUCUCAUGGUACAAUGUUAUCUCUUUUCUUUCUUUUUCCUCUGAUCAUUGAAUUUCAUUUAAAAUUAAAUAAAUUAUAAGAUUUCAAUAAUUCUUCCUCCUUCCUCCCCGGAGAGUUGACAUUUCUAGUGCUUCCCACAAACAACUGAUACACUUGUUUAAUGUGUACGUUUGACUACAAAAUACCAACACGUUUAUAUUUAUUACUAAAUGUAUAAUAGAGCAAAGUUAAAACAAGUGGAUCUUUAAUUCUAAUUCAACUCUAGAAACUAACUCAAGAGGUGAUAAUUAUCAUUCCAUAUUAAAGAGACAUCAUUUUGUAAAGGAUUUCUGUGGGACUCUUCACGACAUAGACUGGAAAUCUAGUUCGUGAGUGAUUUAAUAUCCGAGUCUGAUCCAACAUCGGAAAUCAAAUGAAAAUUGGGAUGGGUUCUGAUAUGGUACCCCUUCCAUGUCCAAUAUUGACAUUUGGUGCAUGGAUAAUUUAAUAUUGGGGCAUGACUUCAUAAAUGAAAAUUAGGAAGGUCUUGAUAUGAUACUGUGUUAAAAAAAAAAAAAAAAAAAAAAAAAAAAAAAAAAAAAAAUGUGAUGUAUUAAAGUGCUUAGGAACUUAGUCACUAUUUACCUCAAUCCUAAAAAUUUACUCAAGUGAUGAGGAUCGCUAAAGUCACGAUAAAGAUUACCAUAUUUCCUUUGAGGGGAUAAUGUGGAACUCUUCGCAAAUACCUACUUUAAUACUACAACUAGGUAUAUAUAUAUGUUUUAAAUUCUGAAUUUAAUUGUACAUAUUUUAUUCGUUUUUGUAAUUAUUGAAUUGUGGCAUGCCGUCAGCAAAAUGUUUUAAGGCAAAAACAAACCAAUUUUGUGGUGGGUGGGAGGUGGGGCUUAAUUCAAACAACGAAAAAUGAUUUUUUUUUUCUUAGGUAAGCAUCGAGUCCCCACACUCAUUCGCCUUCAUUUCUGAUUCCAUAUCAAUGGAUUCUUGAUUUUAGUUGAUAAUACCUAACAUCCCUAUGCAAUCCAGACCUCAAAAUAAAAGCCAAAUAACUACCCGAAUUUUUUUCCCUUUCAUUAUCAUGAACUAAGUCCACUUUUUUUUGUAAUAUUUGGGUGAAAUUAAAUUAGUAUUCUUUUCUUUUUUUAAAAAGAAUAUAAUAUACGAGAUUUUCUAAUUUGUCAUUCAGUGCUCAUUUGACACAUUCAUUAUUCAUGAUUGCAGUGUACACGUAAAAUUUGUGGGAUUCUAACGUACCCACGAGAUCGAUGAACCUCUAUCACGUACUGUGUCAAUUUGAUCCUCGUGGAUUUGUGAACAACUAAAAUGGAUAUAUCAUUUAUGUUUCAUCUUAGAUAAAUGUUUUAAAAAAAGAGGUAGGGGUUGAGAGAGGAAGAUGACUUCUUUCUCUUGUACUUUAGUCUUUAGAGGCUUUAAUUUCUUGGGGGUACAUCUGAAGUUAGAAAAAAGAUAAUUAUAGUAUAACUGGGUUCAUUAAUUAUUCGUGACGUCGGAGCACAUUUGGUCAAAACCCCUAGUACUAUUAACGAUUCAAAGACCUAAUAUAACAAUAAGUAAUAAAUCAACAAUAUGAUCGUAAUAUUAAUUACUACAAUCUUCUGAUUGGGUAGAUUCCUAAAUAUUAGAAUAUUCAAUGAAUAUACAAACCAAAAACCAGACACAAUAUAAUUUUUACCCUCAACUUGUGGAAUAUUCAAUGAUGACGCAAACCAAAAUUAGAGUCGAUUUUCUCUGACUCACCAAAACUUGAAAAAGACAUCAUGAUAUUUUUUUAAAUAAAAACAAUCCUUAUUUUAUUGAAACAAUGCUUGUGAAACCCUAAAUCAACUAACCUAUUUGAUUGAUAAUCAAAAUAGCUAGGAGUUCAAAAAUACACUUCACAUCAGCAUUUAACUAUGAAAGGGACCAAUAUCAUAACCCCAGUUCCCAACACUAUUUCAAAUGAGAAAAAAUAAAUAUUAGCAUAAUAUUGCCUGACCUACUUUUUCUUUUUAGUCUGAAUGACCCUUUUUCUUUUUUUUGUAAUACUUUAAUUUCAACUUCCUACAUGACAUGUUUAGGACCACAAGAUUAAAGGACAUUUUGAUACAUUUGACACAACUUUAAUUUAAGGCUACAAGAUUUAAAAGUCUUCUUUAUUUUCUUAAACUUUAUGCCAAGUCAAAAUAAGUCAUUCUUUUAAAAAUGGUGGGACUAGACUAUGUAUGGUCCUCACAUUAAAGGAAAAUAAUUUAUGUUUCAUCAUGUUAUACUACUGUGGAUGAUGGAGGGACUAUAUAUGUGACAUAAUUGUGUGUGGAAAUAAUUUAAAUGAGGUGGCUUAUACAUAAGUCGGGAGUUGUUUAAGAUAAUGGGAUUACUUAUUUACUUACAUGAAUUGCAAUUUUGAGCCAUGAGAUAAACCAAGCGUUUACUAAACAAUGAAAGUGAUUUCACAACAUAAAAUGGUGGUUUGCAAGUUUGCAGCUAAAAAAAAUGAGGUUUUUUCAUUUACCGAUGGAUGAAAAGACGUCGUGCACGGGUCGGAUGGAAAAAAGUACUUCCUCUCAUAGUCAUUGAAAAUACCCUUAAUGGCUUUUAUUUUUCACUGAUUCCACGUUAGUUCGAACUCUAUUUAUAUAUUUCGGACAAUCUUCACCUUUUGAGUUAAGGUUCAGAGUUCAUUUUUUCAUAUUAUGUUACUAGAACCCAAGUCAUUCAUAGCUUACCCUGAUAUCGGCUUGCCGACUUAUAUUAUUAAUUGUCCAGAGAACUUCAGAUGUCCCCUCACGAUAAUGAGCCAAUUAAAGUGAAGGAGCUCAACCCUUCUUGCCUUUCAUUUUAAUGUGUCAUCACACACAUUGUUUCAUCAGCUGGAAGAAAAAUGUGAAAAUAUACUGAAACAUGAGAGGGGUGAAAAAUUCUAUCUCGUGUCCAUGUCUCCAAUUCAAUUUAAUUAACUUUAUAAAGAGAGCCACAUUGUUGGGCGUACACAUCAAUAUCUAUCGAUCUAUUACAUCUAUUUACUGCUAUUCUAGAUCGACUUUCCAGCUAUUUUAUUUUGAUCUCUGCUAAUUUAUUUACAAUAAAAACAAAAACAAACCCUAUGAAAUCUAGAUCACAAGUGGGAUCUGACAAGUAGUGUGAAUGGGAAUUUACAAAUACCUACUUUCCUUUGAAUUUACUCAUAUAAAUAAGACAAAUUACUAACAUACUUAUGAUACUUAAUUCUGAUAAAGAUUUCGUAGAAUCCAACAAAAAAAAAAAAAAAAAAAAAGUACAUUAAUUGAAAAAGAUUUCACCAAAUGAAAGAAGCUAAGAGAUAAACAAUCUCCUUAAUAUGGCUAGACAAUCCUCUUAAGUUUUUAAGAGAUAAGGAUGGAUACUUUAAAAGUGACAAGGAGAAUUGCUUCAAUUGGUCUGUUUUGCCCAUCUUAAUACAAUUAUGAAUCACAGGGCAUGGGUAACUUCGUCAUUAAUUAAAAUGAUGUUGAUCAUAUAAUUGGACUCCAGAUUCGUGUGACAUAAGCUAUGUUCAAAUUAUCGUCUUGUGACCAGAAGAGGAUGAAGAAAUAAUGCUCCCAUGCAAAAAAUUUGAGACCUAACUUAGGGAAAAUAAUUAGAAUAAAUGUACAGAUAAGAUAAUAGUGAGAUAUUUUAAUUUAGCGGCUUGUGUCGUUAGAAGCCCUACCAAUUUAGUACGUCAUAAAUAAUGAAUGAUUGAUUUAAUUGAAAAUAAUUGAUUAGAUUUACCAAAACUUAGAAAAAUCGACUGUGUGAUAAUUGCAAUAGAGGCUCAAAUUGCUGAGGUAGGGGAAAAUUAUUGAUUUUAUUGUUGAACAUAUCAUAUCAAAUGAUUGAGACGACUCUACUCAACGUACACCCUAUUUGCUGCAUCCAAUUCAAUGUUGGUAAACUAUUUUACUGCAUGCCACCUUUCGAUAUCUCAUUGGUUAAUUUUUGCCAUCUUUCCAUAUCUCACAGGUUAAUUUCCCCUCAAUUUAUGGUCAUUCCCAUCUUUCCCUCCAUGGACUCACUCACCAUAGACAUAGAGUCGUUGGAGUUGAAACGCAGGUGCCAAUAAAAAAUGGAGGAAAAAUGAAUAGGACUUAUCUGGUCUGGUUUAUAUCACCUGUGUGGUUUGCAAGUUAUUACAUAAUAGAGGUUUAUUCAGUGCGACAAAGACUGUGACAGAAAUUGUAGCGACUACAGGUUGUCCUAAGAUUCCCAAAAAAGAAAAAGAAAAUUUGAAGAUAAGUUCAUUUUAAAUAAUGGGAAUUUUCAAUUUUCUCCUCUAUUGUUGAUGGGAAAGGAAGAACAGUGUGCUUAUAUUUAGAAGCACAUUUUCUAGUUAAUAAAGAGAGUUGAAAAGAAAGUCCCCUCACGCCGUCGUUGUUGUUGCUCGGUUUGACUAAUUAAGAAUUUAUUGAGAUUCUAAUUAGUUUGUUUGAAUCUUAGAAUCUCUAAUUAAAGGUAAAAGAAUUCUAUAUGUGUCACUACGAAUAGAAAAAUUGGACGAAUUUCCUAUUUUGAUCUUUAUAGUUAGCAUAGAUAUCAAGAUAAAAAUAUUUUUUUUGAUUUUUAUUUAAAGUCAUUGAUGCAUAUGGAUGCCCAUUUAUUAGUUUUUGUUUCUAAAAUAUGUAAACUAAGGAGGAAGGAUUUGAAAAUUGGAGUAUUAAAUAUGAUUGAACUUUCUUUAUGCGAAUACGUUUUCGAAUAUACAAGAAGUAUAUGUGUACUUAUCAUUAUCUGUUUACUAAUUGCCACAAACAUGAUAAGUGUAUUGGGUAGCUUAAUUAUUAAUUAAGAUAAAUCUCAAUCAUCAUUCAUAUCUUGAUUGCCAAUUAAUUUGACUCUUUGUAAGGUACAUAUUAUAUGCCAAUGAUAGGACGAUAUGUCACCAAAUGAAUACAUUAUUAGUAAGAUCAUUAUCUAGCUUAAGUCUUUAAAAAAAUUCUAUAUCAUGAAUAUUAAUUCUAUUGCUUAUGAUUUUAAUGGCAGCUAGUAUGUUUUUACUUCCAAAUUCAAAUUAAAAUAUGACCAGCGAAUUAACUAUACUAUCAUUUUAAGAUCCUUUAACCCUACCUUUUGCACUUAGGGAAGCUAAUUAUUUAACAAAUUUUUAGUUAUCAGUACUGCUGCGUAUGCAUCCACAAUCUAAUAUUAAUAGCUGAAAAGAAAAAAAAAUAGUUACAUCAAAUGUGUAUAGAUACACUUAAUGGCAUGCGAUAUUUUUAUAAAAAAAACGCAUGGACUUGCUUUGAGCUAUGUGCUCAUACACAAAAUAAAAAAAAAAAAUAGUAGUAGUAGUUUUUACUUUUUGUGUAGAUACGAUCCUAUUAUAUUACAUCAUGACAGGGACAAUCUGGUGCAUUAAAGUUUUUCAUUUCGAAAAGAGUCGAACCAUAAGGGUCUAUUGUAUGUAUCGUUAUUCUACAUUUCUGCAAGAGACUGUUUCUAUAUCUUGAGCCCGUGACCUCUAGAUCACAUGACAAUAAUUUUACCAGAUACUUUAAAACUCCCUUAAUUUGAUUGUAUCACAUUAUGUUAAGAUCAAUAUAUUUCGGAUGAUUUAACUAUCUCAACCGAAACAUCAAUUGUGACGAUAUGAAUUUAGUAAGAGGGAAAAAUGUCAUAUCUAAUGUUUCAUAAAAAGCAAAGUAAAAUCCAUGGAUAUUGGCCGAUCGACCACAAUGAAAAGCUAAAAACUGUUGAAAUAAUAUUAUUUAGUACCCUUUCCCUUGGCUUAAAGGGUAUAGCUAUUAAUAAAUUCAAUAAUACACGAGAAAUCCACUAAGAAGAAAAGGGGAAAAUCAAUUUAGAGUAAAUAUUAUAAAUAAUUAACACUUGUUUAUCCAAACUCCAAAGAGUUGACAUUGUAAGGGAGCAUAAGGUUCUAGUGCUUCCCACAAACGUAACAUUUUAUUUAAUUUUUCCAGGCUCAAUUAAACAGAUGCUUUAUAUUAUAAUAAAUGACAUGUCGUCAGCAUGCUAUUACAGGUGAAUUAAUUAACUUAGAAUUUAUCCUUUUUUUUUAGCAACUCAAAUUUGACAUAAACAAAGUGCUUUAAUACUAGUAAAAUAAUGUAUAUAAAAAUUAAGCGUUCGAUAGAUUUAACGAGAAAUAAGAUUUAUUAUGUAAGCAGUGGUCCCCACGGAAAAAAAUGCAUCUCCGAUUCUAUACCAAUGGAUUCUUGAUCAUAGCUUAUAUCUAAUCUACCCCACACUCAACAAAAUAUAUAAAAAAAAAAGAAUUUAUUUAUUUUUGAUGAAAAAUGGAAGACACUUUUGGUACUAUUAUUUGAGGUUUUCUGUUUACAACAUGGAAUUUCUAUCUAAACAAUUUUUGGGAAAUGAUAAUUAUGAAACAAAAAAAAAGUUUAUCUUUCGAUCACUACUUCUUUUUCUUUUUUAUUAAUAUGUCAAGAGUAUGAUAGACUAGGGAUAUUGAGCAUUAGUCAUUAGAUGACAAUUCGCAUCGUCAUUAAUUUAAGAAAUAGUUAACAUAUUUCCUAUUGAAAUAUGAUCCAUACAAGGAAAAACGUUUGUUAGCGACAUUCUGAAAAUGUCUGUGUUGAAAUAUGACUUUCAAUUAAGUUUCAAAUUAGUGAAUGUUGUCAAAGAGAGUGACAAUGUCAUACACAAAAGGGAAAGGCUCAUAUAAUAAGAUAAGCAAAUUGAGCUUUUGCACAUUUUCGUUAAUCAGUCAUGCCAAGAUUUCUACGUAUUUCAUCCUAAUUAAAAACUUCUUUGGUGGUAACUUACAGCUUUCAACUAUAAAUUUUUUACACUUUUCAUAACAAAUAUAAGUUUGUCAUAAAUCUUAUAAUUUGCGGGCGAAAAAGAUCGUAGUAAAUUUAAUUUAAUUUAAUUUAGCAGCUAAAUACUAAAUUGUUUUUAUACUUUUUAUGAUCCAUAAUUUAGGAUUGAUGAAAACUUUUUGUAAGUAAUAUUUUUAUGACGAAAUUUAACUUUAAAUGACAAAAUGUCACAGAAAAGAAAUUCACAUAGACGAAAUUAUUGCUUACUAGAUUGGUUAAAAAUUAAAAUCAUACAUAGGACCAUCAAAUUAUUGAUGUCGUCCGUUUGUCGUGCACAACCAUGUGUCACCCUCAGAGGUAUAGCAAUUGAAAACCCCAAAACAAUGGAGUACUAAUAUAAAUAUUUAAUUGCCACCAUAAAAAAUAAACUACUCGUAUAUAUAGUAUUAGUCAUUAAAAUAUUGUGAUUGGCAAUUUCGAAAUUGUGGGAUCUUCAAGAAAAUGCGAACGUAAGCAAGAGACGACUUUAUUUGGCAGAUUGAAGAAUAUUCAAUAUGGAUUUAUGUAUAUUCAAGAAUCUUAAUUAUUAUUUGUAAUAAUUUGGUGGGAAGCUGUGGAUAGGCUGUGUAAGCCCCAUCAUUUUCUAAUCCAACUAACACUACUCAUUAAAUAAAAAAAAAUAAUUAGGACUUAAUAAUGCAGCUGACGUUAGCAAUCCAAGUGGGCAAUACAUGUAGUAAAACAAUUCAUAAUAUUUGAUUUCCAUGGACAAGUAAAAAUAAAAAGGUACUUCCUCCCUCCCCUACAAUUGUCUAAUACUCUAUUCGUUUCUAAAUAAUAAUAUUUUGUUGUCCCUAUUAAAAAAAAAAAAUUCAUACUACUUCUCAUUUUCGAAAAUCAAUAUAUACAGUGUUUUAUUUCAACUUUUUACCCCUUAGCCAUGUAUAGAAAGAUAUUAAUAUGAUGAAAAGAGAGAAGUAAUUCACACAGUUGAGUACGUGAGUUGCAUCACCCUCUAGUUAAUACUUUUCAUAAUAAGCGUGCAAACUAAAAAUGUGAUAAUUAUUUAGAAAUAAAGGAAGUAAAUAUCUAAGGUUUUUUAGAAGAAAUUAAAUACAAAGAUGUAAUUCACCAAAUUUCCCUUGUAUAUUUGCUCAUUUUUAGAGCUAAAACAAUACGUAAAUUGGGACGGAAAGAGUAGUUAAUUAAAGGUAAUUGUGUUUUCUUGUUAAGGUUGAGUGGUCCUCAAAUUAAGUGAUCCACUUUUGUGAAACAAAAACAAUGUCUAAUUUUAACUGUAGAUGAUGGGAUCUAAGUGACAUAAUCUUUUUUCACUUAGAAUAAUAAACUUCAAGAUACUGGUAUUUCAAAGUGUCAUUAAUUAACUAUGAAAAUGGUUAUCAUCAUCACAACUCACAAGGUGGUAUAAUUAAAAACGCCAAAAUAAGGUUAACAACAUCAUCUUCUUGUUGAUUUCUUGCAGGUCCCUUUAAUGACUUUGAUUUAUCCGUGAGUUAGUGUAAAGUUAGGUGGCCUUUCCUAUAUGAUGGAAAACAUCAGAUGAAUGACCUAAUAACUUUUUUUUGAUUUUUUUUUCAUUCGGUGUUCAGUAUUCAUAUUAGAGCUCGACAAAUCGAACUCGCGCGUGAAAGUCUCAAGUGGGUAAAGUCUCCCUACCAAAGACGACUUCAUAUCGGCCCAGGGCUCGAACGAGCCUCUGAUUAAGGAUGAAGGAACACUUACUACUCCACCACUACCUUUGCAAUAUAUAAUUUUUUUUCGGCUUUAAUGGCACUUAAUUUUUUCUCUAAUAACUCUUCUGAAUGGAAAUAAGCUGUUAAAGUAAUAUUAUAAAAAGGAAAAGGAAAAGAAUGAGGUAGUAGUGAGGCUAGAAGCACAGGAGGUAGGGAAGAGGGAUAAGUUCAAGUAUCUCGGGUCCGUGAUCCAGAGUAACGGUGAGAUUGACGAGGAUGUCUCGCACCGUAUUGGGGCGGGAUGGAUGAAGUGGAAACUCGCAUCGGGGGUGCUGUGUGAUAAGAAGGUGCCGCCCAAGCUUAAAGGCAAAUUCUAUAGGGUGGUAGUCCGUCCGGCCUUGCUGUAUGGAGCGGAGUGUUGGCCAGUUAAGAACUCCCACAUCCAAAAAAUGAAGGUGGCAGAAAUGCGGAUGUUGCGCUGGAUGUGUGGACUGACCCGAGGGGAUAGAGUUCGGAAUGAGACUAUCCGGGAGAAGGUUGGUGUGACUUCAGUGGAGUGUAAGAUGCGGGAAGCACGAUUGAGAUGGUUCGGACACGUGAAGAGGAGGGGCACGGAUGCCCCGGUCCGUAGGUGUGAGAGGCUAGCGUUGGAUGGUUUUAGACGGGGUAGGGGUAGACCGAAGAAGUACUGGGGUGAGGUGAUUAGGCGGGACAUGGAACAGUUACAGCUCACCGAGGACAUGACCCUAGAUAGGAAGGUCUGGAAGAUGCGAAUUACGGCAGAGGAUUAGGGCCAGUUCGGGUCGCUAGUGUAGGGAAUUAAUUGGUGGGGGUGUAUUCCUGUUAUGAUUCUGUAUUCAGUGUUUCGUGUUCCGUGUUCCAUGUUUAUUACGAAUCUGGGUGCUUUCCUCUGCUUUAUAUUCCUGCAAUCCUGCUUUACUCUGUUUUAUAUUCCCUAUGGGUGCCGUAUCUAUGUUAUGUCAUCUGCUGCUGUGCUGUACUAUGUGUUUGUGUGAUAUCUCGUGACUUGAGCCGGGGGUCUUUCGGAAACAGCCUUUCUACUUCAUCAGAGGUAGAGGUAUGGACUGCGUACAUCUUACCCCCCCAGACCCCACUAAGUGGGAAUACACUGGGUUUGUUGUUGUUGUUGUUGUUGUUGAAAAGGAAAAGAAUGAACAGAUAGGAUUUCAUUAAACUUUAUAAAGUGAAAAUACAGCCAAUUAAUCUGAUAUUUAACAUAACAUGAUAGCUUAUAUAUGUACCUAAAUAUUUGUAUUCACUACUAAAAAAAUCGGCAAAACCGACCAUAAUUUGUGGUCAGAUGGUCGGUUUUUUAUGUUUUAAAAAUUUUUUAUUUUAAAAAAAAUACGACCACAAAUGGUCGGUUUUAUAUUUUAAAAAAUCAAAAUAAUUAUUAAAAUAAUUUUAAUAAUAAUAAUUAUUUAUUUAACAAAUAAAAAUUUUUUAAAAAUAAGAAAACCGACCACAAGUGGUUGGUUUUCUUUAAAAAAAUUUAGUUAAAAAAUAUUUAUAAAAAUCGACCACGAGUGGUCAGUUUUUUAAAAUUCUUUUUCAAUUUAUUUUUAAAAAUACCAACCAUAAGUGGUCGGUUUUUAUUAAAAAAUAAUUAAAAAAUACUUUUAAAAAUCCGACCACAAGUGGUCGGUUUUCUAACUAAAAUUAAAAAAUAAUUUUAAAAAACCGACCACUUGUGGACGGUUUUUGAAGUAAAAAAAAUAAAAAUUAAAUAAUUUUAAGAAAAAAUUAUAAUUAUAUAUAUAGUCAAAACCAAAUAUAUUAAGCAAAUCCAAUAUAAUUAAUCGAUUACUAAUCUAAGUAUGUAUAAGAAACAAAUCACAUUAUAUUAUUGGAUAAUAUAGCUUGUAUACGUAUGUGAUCUAUAUAGUACGUAUUUUGAACUUGAUAUAGUCGAUAGUGUGUAUAUGUGUGUGUAUGUAUAUGUAUAUAUAUAACAUAUACAUAUUAUAUAGCGAUAGUAUAUUAAUGACAUAAGAUAAAUCAACCGAUAAUUUAUUUGAGUAUGUGUGAAAUACAAUGGGGUAGUAAAAUCGGGUAUGUGAUGUAUAUAGUACGUAUAUGAAAUACAUCACAUUAUAUUAUUGGAUAAGAUACUCAUGUACGUAUGUGAUGUAUAUAGUACGUAUUGAUAUAGUUGAUAAUGUGUAUAUAUAUGUGUGUGUGUGUGUGUAUGUAUAUAUAGGUAUAUAUAUAUAUUAAUGACAUAAGAUAAACCAACAGAUAAUUCAACUGAGUUUCUGUGAAAUACGUUGUAUAUUAUUAUGGGGUAGUAAAAUGGGGUAUGUGAUGUAUAUAGUACGUACUUGAAUGUUGAUAGCCAAUUGAAUAUAUUUAUACAUACGUAUAUCUAGUGUAGUGAUGAAAUAGAUAUACUUUUUUUGUGUCAAUAUAAUGUAGACACACGUAUAUUGUUGACGUUGUAAUAACAUAAGACAAAUAUUACGAGGUAUACGGAGAGGGGAGGGGAGGAAAGAAGUAGGGGAAGGAGACAGAAAACUGAAUCAUGAAACUGGCAUAUACUUACCAUUUGCUUUGAAUUUUGAACGACCGCCAAAUUUUGGCGGUGAAUUUAAGUUUUUUCGCUUAAAAAUUUUGUAUAUGAGUAUAUGUGAAAUACGUUGAAUAUUAUUAUGGGGUAGAAAAAUCGUGUAUGUGAUACUUAUAUCUCGUAUAGUGACAUAUGCAGUAAUCGAAAGUUCGAUAACUGAAUCUACAUAUCAAAAUAUUUUGAAUAAUACAUUGAUAUCAUACUAUUGAAGAAAUAGAUAUACUAUUUUUUGUCAAUGUAGAUACGCGUAUAUUGUUGAAGUUGUAAUAAUGUAAGACGUCGAUAAAUUAUUUGAUUAGCACGUAUAUNNNNNNNNNNNNNNNNNNNNNNNNAUUUAUAUAUAUACACAUUGUAUUAAAUUAAUUGGAUAUUGUUAUAAAUAUUAUAGCACUUAUUAAAAAAAUAAUUAAUUAAAAAUUAAAUUAAAUUUAUUAAUUUAUUUUAAUUUAUUAAUUAAUUUAUUAAUUGUAGUUCAUUCAAAAUUUAUUUUAUCAAAAAAAUUGUAAAAACCGACCACAUGUGGUCGAUUUUCAAAAAUAUUUUCUGAAAACCGACCACAUGCAUGUAGUCGGUUUCCAAAAAUAUUUUAGAAAACCAACCAUACGUGGUCGAUUUUUACAAUUUUAAUUAAAAAAAAUAAAAACAAUUAAUAACCCGACCCGACCC